AAUAAAAUCAAACUUUUAAAGUUCAGAAGCCCAUUACACUUUUCUUUUGCAAUUAAAUUCAGGUAUCCAUCUCAAUAUGCAUUAAUGUUUGGUUAAAGUUUCUGUGUUUUUUACCUUAAAAAACAAAAAGACGAAAAGGAGAAUCAAAAGGUGGGCUCUUUAAUAUUUGAAAUUGCAGGGACAUAUAAAAAAGAUAACUUUGCAGGAAAAUACAUGUAGCUAUUUCUACUAUCAGAAAAAUCGAAGUAAAACAAGACGAAGAGUAACUCCUUGGAUUUGACAUCCACCUCAACUCCAAGUCGUUCCUUGACGAACUGAGACACUUGGGCGAAAUCUAAAUUGAGUGCCACCAACCCACUCUUUCCUCUCUUUCCGAACAGCAUGUCCGGCUUCACCACCAGCUUCGUAGACGACAGCCAUGGCUCCUUGUUCAACAACUCGUUCACAUCCGUUGAUUGCGUCACCUUUAAAACAAUCAUCAUUACCAAAUUAGACAUACCCAUAUCUUGGAAGAGUAUAACAAUUCAAAUUCUAAAAAUGUUCAUGAACAGUAUCAAUAGAUCUAAAGAAGCAUGUAGGUGAAAUUCUGCAGGGACUCCCUCAACUAUAAGUCAUUUUGAAUAAAUCUUUUUUUUUUUUUCUAUUGACACUCCUUAGCUUUUGAUUGUUUUGAUUUGAGUUAUUUUCCUAAAUUGAAUUUGGUAUUGUUUAAAGAUUAACAGCUCUUCAACCAUCACCUCUUACCGUUUAAUCGGAUCUGCAGCUCCAUGAGCUAAAAAAGUGCUCAAAAUAGUGAAAUUUAGUAGAAUCACCAUUAAAUCCAAUAAAAAUUUAGAUUAAUUAUCACAAAAAUAACUUCAAUCAAAAGCUUGCGAUCUGUCGAAUUUAUUAAAAAAAAAGAUUUAGUUGAAGAGUAUAUUUCAAAAUGACCUACCGUUGAGGGGCUUCUUCAUAUAUUUUUAACAAAAUAAUAAUAAUAAUAAUAAUAAUACGAACAACAUUCCACAAACUACCUCAGAUUCAUAUUCCAUUUGAAAAUAACACCAUACUAAUUAAAAACAUCAUCUUUCGCCCAAAAAAACACCUCCUCUAAAAAAAAAAAAUCCAUUUUCCUGUGAAUCAAACCUAGAAACUACGGAAAUUCCCCUGAUCCGAGCUUCAAAUGAUGAGAUGUUCUACUAGGAAGCAUCAGAAGCAUUGAUUGAGAUCGAGAAUGGGAAGGAAAAUGCUAGGGUUUGGAUGGGAACCUGAGCCGAGGUGAUUUGUAGGUCGAUCCCGGCGAUCCGCUUCAGAUGCUCCUUCAAGAGCCGCUUCGAAUCGUACUCCCGGAUCUUCUUCCUCGCCAUUGCUCGAGAUCUCGAGAUCUCAAAAUCUCUCUCUCUCUCUCUCACUCUCUCUCUCUCUUCGCGAGAUCUCACUCCGAGCCUCGUACUGAGGCAUUUAUAGGCUUAUAGCACCGGGUUUAUUCGCCGAUUGAAGUUUAUUCCUGGACCCGGUUCACCACGUCAUCCGUAGACACUAACGUACUCAUCUCCCAGAAUCGAGGAACUGUUGCCUGCACCCGGUGUAUCCGUACACAUAAUGCACCAACGUCUUAUACUCACAAGGGUAAAAACUAGAGAUGUCAACGGGUCGGAUUCGGGACGGAUUUUUAAAAAUCCAAACCCGAACCCGACUCCAAACCCGAGACCCGAACCUGAACCCGAACCCGACGGAUUUUAAAAAUUCAUAUCCAAAUCCGAACCUGACCAAAAAUCCGAAACCCGAACUCAAAAUAAUUAUUUCUUUUUUCAAUAUUUCAAAAUAUAUUAUAUUAAAUCUAAAUUUUUGGAAUACAAAUUCAAAUAUAACAUUAAAUUUUUAUUUAUAUAUUAUAUAUAAUACAAAAUAAAUUCGGGUUCGGGUCGGGUUCGGGUUCGGAUCGAGUACAAUCAAAAUCCAUAUCCGAAUUCAUAUCCGUCGGGUUUCUAUUUUUGAUAUCCAUAUCCACAUCCAUUGGAUAUAUUCGUUUCAUUUGGGUUCGGAUUCGAAUAAAAUUUCGGAUAUCCAUACCCAUUUACAUCCCUAGUAAAAACUUCAACUUACCCCAUUUUGAUUUUAAUGCACUUUUAUUUUAUCACCUUAUAAUUCAAAAAGAGAGAGAGAGAGAGAGAAUAUGGUAGUCCGAUACUCACUUCAUUUAUUAUUUUUAAAAGUAAAUUAAUUUAAAAAUAUGAAAUAAUUAGAUUUCGAAUUUGAGACCUCGGGUAUCAACAAUUAAGCCCUUUACCAUUGUGUGCUAGAGAAGAUCAAUUAUAGUUUAAAAAGUUAUACUUAAUUAUCAUCUGGUUUGGCACACUUUCACUUUCUCGUAAUGUGAUUCAAAAAGUUACACUUAAUAUUAUUAUAUAAUUUUAUUUUUAUUUCACUAAGGAUAUCACUCCACAGUUUCAAAAAUUUUAUUUUGCUAUUCGAUUUGACCGCAAGUUUUUUUCACAAAAUAAAAAUAAAAUUAAAAGAUAGUUAAUUCAACUUUUUGAAUCAUUAGAUGACAAAUAAAUAUGCUAAGCCACAAAAAAGCAAAUUAAAGUUUACUAAAAUCAAAAUUCAAUCUAAUAGAUACGACCCACACACCGUCUAAAGAUUUUACAUACAAAAGUAAUAAGAUUUUAAAAUCUGUUACUAAGAUAUCAAUUAGUCUAAAUAAUCAAAGGCGGAAAAGAAACUAUAAUUUGAUUUAUAAGAAAUUUUUUUUAAAAUUUUUUUUUUCUAAUUUUCAAUGUGCAUGCAUUCUAAAUGUCAUAUAAUAUAUACAAUCAGUUAGAUUUUGAUUUUGAAAUCAUUAUUAUGGAAUUUAGAAUACAGAAUAUAUAAUGCACAACUCUUUUAGAAAACAAAAAAUUGCUUACUUUUGGUUUUUAAGUAGAUUUCAAACAUCGGCUUUCAAAAAUGGAAUAAAAGAUAGGCUAAAUUACAGAAAACUCCUCCGUCAAAAUUCGAUUUUUCAGUUUCCCCCGUCAUUUAAAAACCUACACUUUACCCACUUAUAAAAUAAAAAAUGUUCACAGAAAGAUACGGUGUGAACUGUGAUGAUAAAAUGACUAUUUUGCCCCUCACCAUGUUCACAGGAGAGAAGGCCAAGAAUAUUUUUGGCAUAAAAAAAUAUAUAAUAAUAUUUUACAAAUGGAACCCUAACGGAUUACUAACGGCUGGGUGUGAAGUGAAUAUUUUUUAUUUUACAAGGGGGUAAAGUGUAGGUGUUUAAAUGACAGGAGGAAAGUGAAAAAUCGUAUUUUGACAGAAAGAUUUUAUAUAAUUUAGCCAAAAAGAUAUCGUCAAUUCAAAAUCUAAUUCACCAAAAUGCAUUCCAUAAUAUUCAAAAGUUAUACACUUGAGAACUUACAAAGUUUGGAAGCCCGUCUAUUUUUUUAAUUUUUUUUACAAAUCAAAUACUUCUUAUCUUAAUACCAAGUUUUUAAAGUUAACGGAUUUUUAUAUUUUGGUACAUCCAUCAGGCCGUAUGAAUCACAUCACUUAGAAAUAGUUAAAAAUAGUUAAAAAAUACAUCUCAUAUAUUGCCCUCUAAAAACAGAAUAAAAAAGGUCGCAAAUUCAAAGUCUAAUUUAGUGAGAUAUAUUAUAUAAAGUCGUAUACCCGAAAACUCAUAAAAUUUGGACUUUGACUUUUAGCUUUUUAUAUUAUAAAUUAAAUAAUUCCUGUCUUAGUAAAAAUCUAAUUUAGUGAGAUAUAUAUUAUAUAAAGUCCUAUUACUCAGAAACUCAUAAAAUUUGGACAUUGAUUUCAUGUUUUUUUUCCCCGUAAAUCAAAUAAUUCCUGUCUUAGUAAUAAUAGGUUUGCAAAAUUUUGGGAUUUUUGAUUUUUGGGCACCUCAAAUUCUGUGGAUUAUCAUCAGAUCCUAAUUUGGGGGCAAUUUAAAAAAAAAAAAGAAAAAAGACAGUGGUGCAUGAAAUGUACGGACACACCCGGUGCAGGCAAUAAUUUCUCGGAGAGACGUGGCUUAUUUUGAGUGGGGGAUGGAGCUGUUUCGUGUUCGAGACAUGUUUACGGAUGGCGCGUAGUGUUAGUUACGCUUUCACGUUGUGGCGCAAAGCACAAGCAUGCGCCACCCCCACCUACUACCAAAAAUCCACCAAUAGAUUCGCUCAUUCGAGGACUAUAUAUAUAUAUUUUUUGACUUUUUUACAAACUAACCUUCUAAACUUUUAUAAUUUACGAAACAAUCCUAUCAAAUUUAUACUCAUCAACCUUUUUUAAGGCGCGUAAGGUUUUUUCCAAAACGCGGUAAAUCGUUUACUACACUUUGAAAAUCUCCAAGAUCUUUUAAAAACGGUGAAUCGUUCAUCACAUUCAUUAAGACGGUUAACAGAUUAACAGCUUUUGUAAAAAACUUAAGAAGGCAGUGAAUCGUUCACUGUCUUUAAGAGAAAAUUCCACCGCGGUUCUUACAUGGUAAAAAGAGGGUUAGUUUUUCAAAUAUAAUUUUUGCAGGAUUAUUUUACGAAUACUAAAAUUUUUAAAAAUUAUUUUGUAAAAAAGCCCUAUAUAUAUAAAACAAAGAAAUAUUUUUAGAAAAAAAGCGAUACAUAUAAUUAACGGGUCGGAUCCACAAAUGCUUGGAGUGGAAGUAAUUUUUGCCGUAUAAAUAUUAUUUUUUUGACGAAGUAAAUUUAAACUACACCAAUAAAUAAAUCAGUGGGGUCCAACCGUUUUCGGGCGAAAAUAAUUUUAAAAACGUGGUAAAGCAUAUCAUGUCUCAAAAAUUAGGAGUUAUUCACUUAUUUGGUUGUGUAUACCCUUACAAGUGAACUACGGAUGUAAUUGCAUGCAUAUUUAAAAUUACAGCAAUAAUUUUUGUAAAAAAUAUACUCACCUCCAUAAUCAACUUUUAAACAAAAAAAUAUUUUGUAUUUUGUAUUUUGUAUUUUGUUUAUUGUUACUUCUCGGUAUAUAUCUAAAUAAACUGUUCUUAUAGUUGCAAUAUUUUAUACAUCACAUUCAAUCAAUCUAAAUGCAUACCAACUCUAAUGUUAUAUUACCGACCGUCCCUAGAGCAAGUGACAAAGGACUUAGUGGUUGGCACCCGAGACCCAAAUUCGAAUCCUAAUUGAUUCACAUUUCUGGCUAAGUUCAUUUCUGAAUGAAAUAAACGAAGCGGGUAGCAUGCUACCUAUCUCUCUCUCUCCCUCUCAAAAAAAAAAAAACUCUAAUGUUAUAUUGUCAAUUGCAUGCAUCUCAAACUUCCAAUGAACCCUAAAAUAAUAACCCUAGAAACCAUUAGCACUAAUUUUUAGACAAGAUCCAUACGAAAAUAAAAAUUACAGUAACAAUCAGAACACAAAAACUAGUCGAAACUAAAUGUCUCCUAGAUGUAUGAACAAGAAGAUUCUCACAUAAAAAAAAAAAAAAAAAUUUCAGAGCAAAAGAAACAAUGAAGCUUCAGGAAAGGAUUAAGAGCGACAAAACCCAUUAAUCCAACUUAUACAGAGAGUUCCAUUAGCUUUUAGUGUCUGCGGUGUGUUCUGCAUGACAACCUUGGUGCAUAAAAUGUAAAAUCAACAACAUCUGAAAAAUCCAAAGCCAACAAAGUACAAACUGACUACGAAACGAAGAACCCGUCCUUCUCGAAAUCAUCAUUUCCGGCCAGGCUUUGGAUCCCCUCCCAGCCAAAACAGGACUGAUGGGAAAAUUUCUCGAAUCUGAAACCAAACUCUAUUCUGCUUCCGAUUUCUCACUAGCACAUAUACUAGAGAUAAUUCGCACUUGUAACAGUGCGACGCAAUAUGAUCGAUUAAUGCAUAAAGAACCACUCUCAAUUUUCAUUGUCAACGGCAGGACCCCCACCCCGCCUGACAAAGUGACCGCCGCCGCGUCGUGAGUGGCUCUGACCACCCCGACCUCUGUACCUCGAUCCAAAAUGAGGGUUCCCCUCGACUGCUUCGUCAAAAUUAGGGUUGGGGUUUGGUCGGGAGGACUCAGCAGGUUUAGAGUACGAUCCAACCGGCUGAUACUCAAAAUGCGCAUUGCUCUUUCGCUUGUCUCCAUUUGUGCUGAAAUUUGCUUCUCUCCCUCUAUAGAUCACCUCUUGCCCUCUACUGAAGCGGCUGUUGCGGCGUUGUGCUGGAUUAAAUUGAUGUUCAGAUUGGGCAGCUUCAUAUGUUGGAGCUUUGGUGGAUGCAUCUUGUUGUACUUUAUGUAUCUGCUCUUCUGAAGGAUUUUCAACUUUAGCCUCACUUCUUAUGUCAUUAACAUCACCCUUUGGAGCUAGGUUGCUUUCAUUCUCACUGUGACGCAUACUACUCUCGCCAGAGUGUUCCUUGUUACGCCUGUUUUUCUCCUGGUGGCUCUGAGGAUAGGCUUGAGAUUUCGGUUUCCAGUGAGAUUUUGCAUGCUCGGAGGAAGAAUACUUGUUCUCUGAUUUCGAAUUCAAAUUCAAAUCAGAGGCUGGUGUUCGAGUUUGGGUGUUAUCACCGGUUCCACUUUCCAUCGCAUGGUUACCGGAUUCGGUAUAAUUGCUUCCUCCAGCCUUGUUAACCUUUAUCUGCUGCCACCUCUGUUUAGAUCCUACUCCCUGAUCCUUAACUGCAGGAGGUUCAGUCGGCAAUAAAUUAGUAUCAGUAGUACUCCAACCAUCCGAUUUGAGCUGUCUUGCUUCUUGGCCAUCUGAUUCAUGCAACUGAUGCUGAUCAGAACUCUUGUGAACAUGUUGCACAGAGUCGGAAUCGACCAGAUUAUCGUCGGAAUUUGAUAGGCGAGCAGUUUCAGCUGGAUUUCUCUGCCUCCAAGAAGCAUGCUUUCUACCACGCUUAUUAACAGGCUUAUUAUUCUCCUCCCCAGUUUUGGUAUCCAAAUUUGAAUCUGCUUUUGCAGCUACUGAAACAUCCGCUGCAAUGCCCUUCUCAACAUUUUUAGCAUCAGAACUAAGUUUCUGAGAGUUCUCCUGCUGCAACAGUUCUUUAGCCACAGGCUUGGGAACAUACCUUUCCAUCUCAGCCCUUUUAGUUUUCACACUAGCGUGCAUAUCAUCGCCAACCUUUUCGUUUGAUUGAAUGCUAGUUAUAUUCGUAUUAAUCUGCUUACUUUCCUCAGACUGCUCGUUAGUCUCUGGAUGCUUAUUAACAGGUGCCCAGAUAACAGCCUCGCUCCCAUGAAUUUUGUCUACAGGCCUAGCACCUUGCUGGUUUCUUGUGGUCCUCCUAAAGGCUUGAGAUUUCGAGUGGUUGCUCUGAUUUACCAUUUUAGUUUCAGCAAUCAAUUCUUGGGAAGGUAUUUUGUUGCUUUCAAAGGAAACUUUUUCAGUCUUCUCAUCUGUAGGUGGUGCCAAAGAUGGUAAUGAAGAGCUUGCGAUAGCAUCAUCCAACUUGUUUUUACUCCUCAAAUUUCUGUUACCUCUCUUCUUCUGCUGCAUAGGGAGAUCCUCACUAUUGGGCACAUUGUCGAUUGCGGGUGUCUGAACUUUGGAGUCGAUGAGAUUCUUAGUGUUAUCCAUAAUAUUAGAAAUAAUCGGCUUUUCAACCUGAUUCUUCUCUUCAAAGGCAUUCGGCCUUUUCCUAUAAGCCAUCUGCUUAUGCCUAGGAGCUCUGCUGUCGUGAGAAACAGCUGACUCGUCAGAAACAGCUUCCGAGGAAAUUGGAGCUUUAUCUAAGGGCAACUCUGUAGGAGCUUCAACAUUUUUGAGUUCAGUAUAUUUUGCCUUUGCUGAUGGAACAGGCAAAAUACCAACCUGGGACUCACGCACAGAAUUUUCAGCUUUUGCUUCUUGUUUAGGGGUUGUAUCGUCAUUUUCUGGGAAUGGAUCAUUUAGUUUUUUCUGAUUUGCUGCCGCUGCAGAGCGCCUGUUUAACUCUUCCAGCUUUGCAAGAGCUUUUGCCUUUUGCUCCCUCGUGCGUUCCUCCUCUUCUUGCUGAAGCUGUUUCGCACGCUGUACUGCUAUCUCUUUCAUUUUAGUGCGCUAAGAAAAAGGUAACAGAAUACAACAUUAGGGCUGCUUAUAAAUACAAAACAAAAUUCACAACAAAGAUUUUACUCCUACAUGCUUCAUUAGAGAAAGAUAGAAAGGAAAGGAGAAGUAACACCUGAACUUACCGGAACAAUUCAACUAGUAUCAUAUGAAGUCCUAUGGUGGAUGUUCGAGUAAUGAUUUCUAUCUUUCCCUAUUUCACAAUUAAACAAAAAAAGGGCAUAACAUUUUACUUCUGAAAUGAUGUUAGUACGGCUCAAAGUUCCAAAUACCUAUGGCUUACUGAUCACACACUGCUUAAAUAAUGGUCAUGAUUUUCUCUUAUAUCCAUUGUUCCUAUCUGAUGCAAGUUGGGAGGUUAGUCGCCCUUCCUUUACUUGUUCCUUUAGGGUGUGUUUGGUUGGCCAUAAAAAGUACAGAAAAUUACUUUUCAGCUUGAAAAACUGUUUUCUGUGUGUUUGUUUAGCCGUAAAAAAAAAAAUGUAAAACUAUUUUUACAAAUUUGUGGAAAAUGGAGUGUUUUCGUUUUACACCGAUAUUCGGCGGAAAAACAAAAAUUCAAGCUGCUUAAAAAUUUUUCAUUAAUUUUUUUUUCCACCGAACCAAACAAAUGUGAAUUUUUUUUUCCUUUUCAACCAAACAAAUGUUGAUAAAAAAUAUUUUUUUCUACAAACCAAAUACUACAAAACAUAAAACUUUUUUUUCCACCGAUUUUUUUUCCACGGAAAACUAUUUUUCACGGUUUUAUGUACAACUGAACGCCCCCCUUAUAGCUCCAGGUCGUAGGGCCUCUUUUAGGGCCCUGUCCUUAACCUCCUCCAGAUGCCUCGGAGGAAUGCUAUCUUUCACAUAAGGCACUCUUUAUUAAUGUAUCAAGCUUGUAUCCUAUUUAAUGUAUCAAGCUUGUAUCCUAUGAGGUAAAUGAAACUAAUUGCCUAUAGCCUUUUCUCUCUCCACGCGUGCACACACACACACAAAGAGAGAACUGCAGGCAUACCAAUAAAGUAAAAUGAGAUUCUUGUAUGUUUAUUCCAUUCCUAAACAAAUAAAACCGAUCAAUGAAAAUCUAGAGUACAUUACGAAAAUAAGGAAACUUCUCAAAAAAAAAAAAAAAACUUCUAAACAAAUAUUAGUUAGUAGUAUUCAAGGACCUUUGGAAACCGAAUAAGAAUUAUUAACUAGAGUCUAAGAUUAGCAGGACCACCAAAAUGCGGUAGAAAAUUAGCAAAGGCUCCACACCUGUGCUUGGUAAUCAAUUGACAAGUCCAGAGAUGCAGGAGCCUCACUAACAGAUGCAUCAUGCGACUCCUUCGAAUCACUGUCUUGAGUUCUUCUUGUCGCAUUGCUUGCUCUAUGAACAUUAGAAUCUGCAGCACUAAUUUGAGAUUCUGAAAACCAGAAAAAACAAAACUUACUAUUACUAAAUUGUGAGCUUUUAUGACAGAAAAAUUAGUGUAACAGGAAAAUGGUAAGGACCUUUACCAGCUACAGUAGGAUGAUCUGUCUGAGAACUCAAAACCUUUGACUGUUUCAUCUUGUCAUCUUUGGACAAUGCUUGUCCAACUUCACUGUGGGCCUCAGAACUACGAGCUUUAUGGUUUAAAACCUCUAUUUUUUCUAUCAGCGUAGCAUUCUUCUUAGUAACAGUUUGGUGAUCGUGUGCAGUCGAAAUAGUGGUUUUAGGUUUCCCUGAUAAAAUGCCUUCAUCUGUUUGACUAGGAUACUCUGGCUGUUUUUUGGACACAUUGUUUGAGGGGCGCUCUUCACAUUUACCAGGUUCCUUGAGAAGACCUUUCUGAUCAGUAUGUAGCAAAUUAGGUGUUAAAGGCCUGUCUUUCCUUUCUUGAGCAUGAUGACUAUUUCCCGACGCAUCAUGUUGCUUAAGCAAAACCCUGUAUUGCCCAUGAGGUUGAUCAGAUUCCUUCUGCUCUUUGUUCAUUAGCGGCUCAUGUUUAACUGUUCUCGUCUGAAUGUGUUCUGGAUUAACCUUAUCAUUUUGAUUUGGAUAUUCACUAAGACCGCCUUGAAAGGAAACCUCUUUUUCCCCAGCAUUGCCAAAACCUGCUUGCGGGGUCCCAUAAUAGCCUGCAUAAGGCACUGGAGCUUGUGGGGACCCAUAAUAGCUAGGAACCAUGAACGUAUUGGGAGCCAAAUGAGGACGAUAAGUCUCCCCAUUAUUAUUAGGGUGAUAACCACCUUGUCUGACUCCUGGCCUGGGAGCAGCUUCAAAAUUAGGCUGGAACUGAGGAUAAUACAUAUAUGGUUCGCCAGGUGGUGGAAUAGCUGGUCUAAAUGGGCCGCCAAGCGGCGCUCCUCUAUACCAAACAGUAUCAGGAGGGUGAGUUGGAGGAGGGGGCCGCCAAGUGUCGAUCUGCUGAGGUGGCAUACCUAAGAUUGGGUAUGGCUGCGGCUGCGGCUGCGGCUGCUGAGGUUCUCUCUGCCAGCUUUUGUUUUGGGGAGAAUUACCUCCCGCCGGUGAGUAUUUUCCAGUCUUCAGUAUAUUCACAUUCACACUACCAUCUCCUGGAAACAAAGAACACAUGCCAUAUAGCAAGUUUGAUAAGUUUACCAGGAAUAGUGAAGGUAAAGUGCCAAUGAAAAUCUACUUGGAAGUAAAUUGCACCAGGUGGUUCCCAACUUUGUUAGGAGAUUAUAGUUCGAUCCUACCUUUAUAUUGUUAAACUUGUAUCCCUAUUUGUUGCAUUGUUGUGUUCUUAGCCUUUCAAUUAUACCUUUGGUUAAACUGGAUGGAAACGCACACAUACACAUAUGAGAAGUCCAAAUGUCACUUAAAUGGCAGUUAGAGGGUGAUUAAAUGGAUAUUUCCAUCCAUGUUAGUACACAACUUGAACAAAAGGAAAAAUCACAAUGAAAUGCCAAGGUUAGAGACCCAGUUGCCAUUGAAAGAAUGGGGACCGACCUAACAUUACAUUAAAAAGUUUAGGACCCUUUGUGCAAUUUUCUAAAGUCUAAUUUUGACAACUAAGAAUUCUGACAUGAAACCCACCACCCGUAGGAGUUUCUAGACCUUCAUUUGAGGUUGCCUCAAUACCAGAACCGGAAGUAGAACGCCCUUGAGAGCUAUGACCUGCUGAGAAGAUGACAAGUAAGAAACAUAUUUAGCAGAUUCAAGCAUAUAUUACUUUCAGAUAUAAACACCAUUUCCUUUAAAAGUUUAAAUCGAUAAUUUAUAAUGAAACUAAAUACAGAUAUUGGUGAAUGCAACAGCUCUCACACAUUUCACCUCCACAAUGCCAGUGGAAAAUGGCCAAGAAAAAGAUAAAGAGAAAUUCAAAGUCCUAGGGCAAUAUGAUAUGCUACAUAUAUAAAUUUACAGAACAGCUAAAUUGUGAGCUUAAAUUAUCAAAGACUUGACGAAGUCUACCGAAUCCUACUUAGGAGGCUACUUUCUAUGACCUAAACCCAUACUAAUAGGUGGUACAAGCCUUAAGCCCUUAACAGUCCACAUUGUGACACUCAAAUUAUAUAUAUUAAACCUGCCGACAUGAGAUGCAAAAUAUGCAAGCCAUACUAGACAAAAAAAUGUGAACAUACACUAACAUAAAACAUCAGAUAACAGUUAACUAGAAUAAUUGAGAACGCAUUAAAAAAUAGGCACCUCGCUGGACAUGUGAUUCAGAAUUCUUCUCAGAACCGAGCGUUGGAAAAUCCCCAGAACUCAGAGUGAAUCCUGUAUUCUUUGACGGCAUGGAGCCCUGCAAAAUUACAGAACAUGUCAGAAGCCUGCAAAUGUGCAAGUGCCUAAUCACAAAAAUAAUCUAGAUAAAAGUAGGCAGAAAUACCAAUUUCUCAGGCGUUCUUGUUGACCCCCAUGCAACAGUAUUUUCCGAUGAACUCUCAGCAAAACGAGACAGAUGAGAACUACCCGGUCUUGUUUCCGCACUUCGAGGGCGGUUAGCAGCAACUGAAGUGUAACUUGAUGCCAAUAAUCCAGAUGCCGAAGAUGGACGUGAGUUCGAACCCCAUACACUAGAAGGGUCUGAGGAUUUUUCACUGCCAGCUGUUGAUGGCCUUGUACCACUUCCUCCAGAAGUUGGGCGAUCAUUAAAAUGGCUAGGCGAUCCAGCACUUCCAUCAGUUUUUGGUGAUAAUAUUGUUGAAGAAGCCCAUGCAUUUGAUGCUGCAGAAGAUGGCCGGCUACCCCAUGUGAGCGUACCCCUAAUGCAUACACCACAAGCCGCAUCACAUGAUAAUAUUGAAUUGGUCACAUCACAUGAUAAUAUUGAAUUGGUCACACAGAUUCUCAAAUAUAAAUUACAAAAUGCUAAAGAAAAAGAAGAUUAAAAGAUUAAGAGUUAAAUAAUAAGUAAGGUAUAGAGGAAGAAACGGUAAGGCUCACUUUGGAACAAUCUCAACAUUGGGGUCCAAACCAUGGUUUUCCAACCUGAAAUGAUAAAAAUUAAUUAUUUUUCCAGAAAAAGAAACGAGUAUAGACGAUCAAUAAUUAACAUAACAAAUAUUAUUUCAUAAGUUAAUAGUACCUUUGACUGGGUAAAUUAAUGGGCUUUGGAACUUUGCCCAAAACAGUCAUGCCGGAUUUCCGCGAAGAAACCACUCUGUAGUAAAUAGAAGAAAAAGGAUAAAAUUUUCUAUCCUCUAGGAACGGAUAAUAUUGAGUUACGAAAAGAAAAGAGACCAAAAAAUUCCAAUUUUCAGCAAGUCUUUAUGGCAAUUAGAGAAAAUAAGCGGACCUGUAGGUACCUUUCCAAAUCUUCGAUAUGUUUCCUAUUCUGAUUUAUUAUAAGAAUCCUAACAUUAGUCCAUAAGUGCUUGGCUUAAUAAUUCACACACACGAUGGCACUGGAUUGAGAUAUUCCACUAUAGUUUUGCUGAUAACACCUUUCUUUAGGCCUACAUACCUUUUACCCCUUUUCUUGUUUAUAUAAUUAUAUCUCUAUUCUUUAUUGUUGUCUCCUAUGCACCAUCUAUCCCUUCUACUAACAAGUUUCCUUCCUUUUUAUCCCUUAAUGUUAAUUGCUCUAUCUUAUUUUUUAAUUACAGUUGUGACAAAAUAGAAAAGAAAAAGGCUCAUACUGCGUUUCAACCUACUGUGCAACCCCUAUCUGAAUUUGCGUCAGAGUAAUUACCGUUUAUUCUUAUAAAGAAAUUGUUUCUCGUUUCACAUACGUGGAAGCAAGUAGCUUAUUCCAUGAUUAACAAAAGAAGGUGCUACAUAAUAGAAAUCACUGAUGAAUGGAUUUUUCCUUCCAAAGACAAUGGACAAUUGAACAUGGACAGGGGUCAAAACUAAGAAAAAAUUAAGUAGGUUAACAAGAUCAGGGGCCUAGAACAAGAUAUGGUAAACAAGCAGCAUAGAAAAGUUCAUCUUCAAAGAAAUCAAUGAAAAGCAGAUAAAGCAUCAAAAAAAUAAAAUUGAAAUAGUGAUGGUUAGUUUCUAUAACCUUCGAUCUGCAGUCAGGAGACUUGAAGCCAUAACUGAUACAGUGCGCUUGCAAAAUCAUCCAAUAAUGUAUUUAAGCUGAAAGAAAAAAAAAAUGACAAUGAGUUCAACAAACACAAGACACGAGAAAAUUUUACUUGCAAUAUUAGAGGAUGCACAAGAUGUGAAUAUAUGUUUCAGACAAUAUAGGCAAUUACAAAUCCCAGAAUCUAGUGGAAACCCUUAUCAACAACCUAUUAAGACUAUUCAAACUUCUAAUUAAUUUACAGGUUAUCUACCUCUACAGUGAACUAUACAUGGUUACCUAAAAACAUUCUUCUGGCUGGCCCUCUUCUCUAACUCAAUAAAGACUUAUGCUUCACAUAACAUGCAUCACUAUUGGUGCAACCACUUUAUUACCUUGACCAGCUAAAGUUCCCAGGCCAGAGCCACCCAAUUUUAUGCGAUCAAUUGCCAAGUUAUUUUUCCAAUGAACGGCUAUAAAAAUUGGGACUAAGUAAAUGUGCUGGUGACAUAAAAUACUAUUAUCUUUUAAAAUUCUUUUUCUCACCAAUCUUGAGAAACCAUCACCCCAUAACUUCUUAUAUUGAAAGGGCAAUCGGCCAUGUUUCAUUUGGAUUAGAGAUGGAAUAUAAAAACGUAGUGCAAACAGAAUCAGAUUUGUGAAAGAUACCUAGGAAAAUUAAUUAUUUCAUUCUAAUAUAAAUGUCGCAUCACCCAACAAAAACUUAUCAUUAAUAUAUUAACACUAUUGCUAGCAGUUGAUAACUCAAUACUCAAACCAGAAAUCUCUAUUAUUGCGUUUUAAAAACAGAUUCACGAACACAUGAAGUUCUUGAAUAGCACGGUAUCGCAAUUAUAUAAGGAAGAUGAAGAUUUUAUGAUGCUUCUAGUAUUAUCAACAAAACCCAAAGAACUCACUGGAAAGUCUACCAAAUAGUUGGCUCAAAGAGAUUUUACAAUUGUUGAUGGUAGCUGCCACGACAGUCACCGCCUUUUCUACAAGCCCAAACCAUAUUAAAAAUUGAUCAACUAAUAACUCUACCAUAAUUUAACAGAAUCCAGUUUCUCCCAAAGCUAUGGAUCGAAUCAAAUGAAUCCCUAAAAAAACUGAGCAAGUACCCACGACCUAAUCCAAAUUCUAUCAAGCGAAACCAUCAUUGCUCACGAAAAUCACAAAAUUAAGGAGAUAAGACGAGCAUAAAAGAAUCGAUCUUGCCCAAAACCUAAUCCGACAACCCCAUCCUUCCCAUCAGAUCAUCAACAACACGCAAGAAGCAGACAAUAGGGAGCGGACACGAGGAUCACGAUCCUGAUCUCGGCAAACUCCGAUCGUGGGAAACCCUAACAGUAGAGGCUCGGAAGCAAAGCCCUAACCCUAGGGGUGGCGAGGGGAGUGGAAGGGAGGGGAGAGAGAGGGGGAGAUCGAGAACGCUUACGGCUCACGGGAGGCGGCGGAUCGCCGGCGCCGGAGAUGGGGGCGGAGUCGCCGGAGGAUGGCCGGAGAUCGCCGCCGCGGUGGGGACGCGUCGGAGGAGGAGGAGGAGGAGGAGGGAGAGAGAAGCGCGAGGGGUAGAGAGAGAGAGAGAGGGGGGGGAAGGGGAAAAGGAGCGAAAGGGGAGGGUAAUAAAGGGUGUUGCGACACGUGGGGUGUUAUGAGUCGUCAGAUUUAGUGUUUCCUGUGUGGGGAGAAUAGCCGGUGCAUGUGAUUUAUUUUCACUCCUCUGACGUAGCGGGAAUAUAUUCCGUGGACCGAGUCUAUAGAUCCACAAAUUGUGUGUUUUUUUAUUAAGGGAACUCACACAAAGCAGAGUAAAUUUUAACUUAAUUUAUUACCUCUAAACGUGGGUUAAAAAAAGUGGCAAAAUGCUAAAUAUUAAAAAUCACGGUAUAGAAUAGUGAUGUAAAUUUUUUAAUAAUUAUAAAAAUAAUAUUCUGUAGUAAAAUAAUGUUGAGUAUGAGACGGCAAUUUGAAGUCUAUCGAAUAUAUAUAUAUAUAUAUAUAUAUAUAAUCUGACCUCCUAUACUUUAAAAAUACAAGUCAUUGGUGUUUUGUAAAUUUUCGGCCCUUGGAUUAAGAGAUGUGCGGUUAGGAUAAUGUGGCCCUAAAAAUUCAAAAACACCAAGUGCUUGGUGCUUUUACAAGCACCAUAGCCGGACUCCAUAUAUAUAAUAUAUAAUAUGGAGUCGGCUAUGUGCUUGUAAAAGCACCAAAGCACUUGGUGCUUGUAAAUUUUUUACCGUUAGAUCUACAUCUUUGAACAUUUUCACCCGUUAAUUCAUAACAUUAAACCAACCACCCCACUCAACCCUAGGGCGCCCACAAUCAAUCCUAACCGCACAUUCCUUAAUCCAAGGGCCGAAAAGUUAUAAGCACCAAUGACUUGGUACUUUUAAAAGCAUAGGAGCUCAAUUUUAUAUAUAUAUAUAUAUAUAUUAUAUAUAUAUAUAUAUAUGAGAGAAGAGAGAGAGAGAGAGAAGAGAGAGUAGGGCUACUACACUUUUUUGAGUAUAUGAGUCCUUCGUACUCAUUAAGUUGUUUUCGAUGUUGGCUUUCGAAUCGACGAUACCAUAACCGUUAAAUAUGAUCUAGAGUAUUUGAAACUUUUAGAAAAAUAAAUUUCGUAAUUUUUCGAAAAACAUUAUAAAGUCCAUCAAGCGCGUAUAAAAUGAACGAUUAAAAUUGAACAGACAUCCUAAAAUGGAUGAUCGGAUCCUUCAAUUUAAGAUCGGAGUUAUUGAUCUUUAUUUAAUAGUGAAUAGAAUUUUUCUAUCAAAAUUCAAUCUAUUCCGAUUCUUUUUCACCGUUAAACUAGCAAAUAUCUCAUACUGGCCGUUAAAAAUUGUCAAUUUUGUAAGCUUUUGAUCGUAAGUAAUAAUAUCGAAAAAUUAUAAAAUUUGAUUUGUAGAGUUUUAAAUGCUCUAGAUAAUAUUUAACGAUAUGGAUCGUUGAUUCGGAAACUCUAUCAUCGAAAACAACUUAUGAUACGAAGGCGAUCGUAGCUCAUAAGAGUAUAGUAGCCGGACUAUAUAUAUAUAUAUAUAUAUAUAUAUAUAUAUAAUAAUAUAUAUAUAUAUAUAUAUAAUAUAUAUAUAUAUUAUAUAUAGUUGAGCUAAGAAUACUCUCGAUAGUAACGGGGCAUUUUCAUAGUCUAAGUUAUUUUCGAGAUAAAGCUUCAAAUUGACGAUCGGCUCCAUUGAACAUGAUCUAUACCACUUAAGUGUUUAGAAAUCAAAUUUCAAAUUCUUUUCGACAUUAUUUGGCCUAAUGAUCAAAGGUUUUCAAAAUUUGUAAUUUUAUAAUGAUGGAUAAGAGAUAUUUUGCCUGCGUUUAACGGUGUAAAGAUAUCCAAAUCAAUUGAAUUUUUGUUAGAAAAUUCUUUAAACUAUUUAAAACAAGAUCUAUACUCUUGAUCUUGAUUACAAGACUCCUAUUAUCAUUUUUUAAAGAAUAUUCAUUUUCAACCAUUCAUUUUCUGUUCACUAGAUGAAUAAAAGAAUAAUAUCGAAAGUGCGUGAAAUUUAAUUUCUAGGUAGUUUAAAUGGUUUAGAUCAUAUUUAACGAAGCCGAUCGUCAAUUUGGAAGCUCUAUCAUCGAAAACAACUCAAUAGUAAAACGCUCCGUUUACUAUCGAGAAUAUUCUAGCUCAACUCUAUUUAUAUAUAUAUAUAAACUAGGCUAGAAUACUGUUAAUAGCACCAAGUUAUUGGCGCUAUCAAAUUUUUAGCACUUGGAUUGAGAAAUAUGCGGUUAGAAUGAUGUAAGCCCUCUAGGGUUGAGUGAGUGGUUGGUUAAAUAGAAUAAUCUAACGAGUAAAAAUAAUUAAAGGGUUAAAUCUAAUGGUAAAAAACUCGAUAGCACCAAGCCCUUUGUGCUAUAGAUAGUAUAAGUCCGGCUAGGAUACUAUCGAUAGUACUAAGGGCUUUGGUGCUAUCGAGUUUUUUAUCAUUACAUUUGACCUUUUUAGUAUAAAUUAGACUAUAAUAUUUUAUUAUAAUAAUUUAAAAUUUUUGAAUUAAAAAUUAUAAUAAAUUAAAAUUUGAGACUCAAAGUGAUAGCAAUCUCAAAAUUUAAGAAGAUUAAAGAUGUGCUAUUAUAGCAUCUUUGCAAUGUUAUGAGAUUUUUUUAUUCUCUCGCCACUCAGUAUACCGAGAAAAGAGGUUCAAACACUCUUUUGUAAAUGCGAAGAAUCUGAUUUUAUUGUAUUAAAAUUUCAAGAUGGAUCCAACUUUUUAUAAUUAGAUAUUUUCUCUUUCCUUUUUUUUUUCUUUUUUUUUUUUGAAUUCCAACCUUUCAACUCAAUUAUUAUUAUCCCUCUUGCCCGAAAAAACUAAAAAAAAAAAAAGAAAAAAUAUCACCCCAGGAAAAAAUUUAAAAUAAUAAUUAAAGAAAGAAAGCUUGCGUGUCAUCGGACGCUCCAGAUCAUUUGAUCAUAUUUAUCCACGACGCACGCCGACCUAUCAUCGGACGGCCACGAUUGAAUCCUCGGGGGAGAUCGACGGCUCUCGCGGCGGAGAACGUCUCGCCACGCUAUGAUCCGCAGGGGAUCCCACGCUUUGUAAAGGACACGUGUCACGCCAUCAUUCCGCGGCUCCAAAAUAAGUCGCGCCUUGCCUCGUACGUCAUGGGGAGUUUUUUUUUUUUUUUUUUUUUUUUUUUUUGAGAGAUAGGUAGCACGCUAUCCGCUUCGUUUAUUUUAUUUAGAAAUAAACUUAGCUGGAAGUGUGAAUCAACUAGGAUUCGAACUUGGAUCUCAGGUACCAACCACUAAACUCUUUGCCACUUGCUUUAGGGACGGUCAGUUACGUCAUGGGGAGUUAUUGCUUGUUGGUCCGUGGGUCUAUACAAACAAUCCAUCAAACCAUACACACACACACACAUAUAGAGAGAGAGAGAGAGAGAGUUUUGCUAUAAUACUAUCAGUACUAAACGACUCGGUUUACUACCAAUUUAUUUUCGAUGAUAGAGCUUUCAAAUUGACGAUCGACACUAUUAAAUAUAAUCUAAACCAUUUAAACUGUCUGAAAUCAAAUUUCACGUAUUUUUGAUAUUGCCCUCUUGUCCAUCAAGUGAACAGAAAAAUAAAUGACCGAAAAUGAAUAUUCUUCAAAAAGUGAUAAUACAAUUUAUGUAUUUAAGAUCUAGAGUCUAGAUCUUGUUUCAAAUAAUUUAAAGAAUUUUUUAGCAAAAGUUUAGUUGAUUUGAAUUUUUGUAUUGUUAAACGAGAAACGUACCAUCAUAUUGAGCAUUAAAAUUAUAAAUUUUGUUACCCUUUAAUCGUUCAGUUAAUGAUGUCAAAAAAUCAUUGAAAUUUAAUUUCUAGAUAAUUUAAAUGGUCUAGAUCAUAUUCAACAAUACCAAUUAUCGAUUUGAAAGCUGAUCUAUCCUAAAAAACAAAUCAGUAGUAAACCGAGUCGUUUACGAUCAAAAGAUGUUGAAAAUUUGGUUGUGACCUUUUGAUCGUACGGACGUUUUAAAUGCUCUAGAUAAUGUUUGACAGUGUGGAUCGUCGAUUAGGAAGCUCUAUCAUCGAAAACAACUUAUGAGUACGAGAGUAAUCGUACUCAUAAAAGUAUAGUAGCCGGACUCUAUAUAAGUGCAGCUAUUAUACUCUUAUGAGUAUAGUAACUACACUACUCAUAACUUUCCCUUCAUCAGAUCUACUCCGAGAUUCAUGCCAGAUUUGAUGAAGGAGAGAUGUAACGGACUGCUCCGUUAGAAGCAAAGUGGGGCCGAUUUCGUUCACAUUCCGGUGAGUGUGAGGUUGUGUAACCACACUCGAUGAGCAUUUAAUGCUCACCCAGGAGCCGUACAUUGUGGUAUAUGUAUCUGAGCAAAUACCAGUGAGGUGGAUGGAGAUGAAGGGUAUUUUGAUCGGACGGUAAAAAAUCCGAUCCGAAUCUGUAAAAUCGAAAAUGAUGAUCUACAUUUUCAAAAGCUCAAAACUAAUGAAUUUUUUAUGCAAAUUGGCCAUAUAUGUGUGUGUGGUUUGAUGGAUUGUUUGUAUAGACCCAUGCACCAACAAGUAAUGACUCCCCAUGACGCACGAGGCAAGGCACGCCUUUUUUUGGAGCCGCGGAAUGAUGGCAUGACACGUGUCCUUUAAAAAGUGUGGGAUCCCUUGUAGAUCAUAGCGUGGCGUGACGUUCUCCGUCGCGAGAGCCGUCGAUCUCGCCCGAGGAUUCAAUCGUGGCCGUCCGAUGAUAGGUCGGCGUGCGUCGUGGAUAAAUGUGAUCAAAUGAUCUGGAGCGUCCGAUGACACGCAAGCUUUCUUUCUUUAAUUAUUAUUCUAAUUUUUUUCUGGGGUGAUAUUUUUUCCUUUUUUUUUUUUAGUUUUUUCGGGUAAUAAGAGGAAUAAUAAUUGAGUUGAAAGGUUGGAAAAAAAGCAACGUUAGCCAAUGAAAUCAAAUGAUGCCCAACUUUCCAAAAAAAAAAUAAAAAAAAUCCAAUUUGAAUAAGUUGGAUUCACCUUGAAAUUUUAAUACAAUAAAAUCAGAAUCUUCGUUUGAACCUCUUUUCUCCGUAUACCGAUAAUAGAAUAAAAAUAUCUCAAAACAUUAAUUGUAAAGAUGAUAUAAUAGCACAUCUUUCAUCUUCUCGAAUUUCGGCUACCAUUUUGAUUUUCAAAUUUUAAUUUAUUAUAAUUUUUAACUCAAAAAUUUUAAAUUGUUAUAAUAAAAUAUUAUAGUCCAAUUUAAUUGCCUAAAUACUGAUGUUUCACCGCUAUAAAAUAGUAAUGUACAAUAUCGACACACCGCCGUUCAACUUCACUACAAAUUAGAAAGACACAGCCAACUCAAAACCUUAGUAGAGGACCAAAAAUGCAAUUUAGCCUAUACAGAGACCAAGUGAGAUGUGGUAAAACAAUGCUCAACAGAGAUUGGAAACAAAUAAUUCAACCAACUCCGUUGAAAGAGAACAUCGAUGAUUUGUGAAUUUUACCUGCUUAAUGGUGAUCAUCGAUAACCGUCGUCGAUGAGGGAACAACCAUCUCGCGAUUAAAGAGAAGAUAAAAGGAGAAAUCAAUUUUUGAUAAAACAACCAGCUCUAACAGAAGCAGGAGACAUUAGAAGCACAGGUGUACAGAGAAGGAAAAAGAUCCAAGUUCUCCACCAGCUAAAACUUACAUUACCCACCAAAGAGCACACAAAUCUACAGCAAUAGAAAGAAGGAUUCGGAACAGUCCUUUAACGGCAUAAUUACUAGACCUAGUAACUAGAAAGUUAUACCUAACAGCAGCAGCAGCAGCAGCACCAGCACCUUCACCUGAACUUCGGCUUCUUCGACGGCGGGCCCUUGAAAUUCCUUCUAUCAGGAACACGCGACUUUGUAAAACGCGACUUUGGAAAGGCCUUCGGCUUCCUCCUCCUAUCGUCCUCGCUAUCAGACUCGUCCCCCUUCUCCCUAUCUGCGUUGCUCGCCUCCCUUUCUAACUCCUCCCAUGUCUUCCCUUUCUCCUCUUCAGAAUUUUCUUCGGAAUCAUCCUCAUCUUCUUCGUCAGAUUCUACUAACGACUCGCUGUCAGAAGCUUCAUCUUCCGAUUCAGAUUCGGGCUCAGCGUCGGACGGCUCGUAACCCUGGUCAGAUUCCUCUGUAUUUUCUGAAUCUGAGUCACUUCCUUCCAAAUUCAGAAACUCCCACCCACCAUCUUCGAUGAAUUUCUCCGGGUCGUCUAUGAUUGUUUUCAAGAUCGGGCGCCAGUUCAAGUUCAGCCUGCUUUCGUAGUAUUUCAAGUCGGUAGUAUCGAGCCAUUCUUUGAUCCCAUCGAGAGAUGUAGCCGGAAUAGAAUCAAUUCGAAGAACGUCUUUCUUAAAAUCUUUGAACACGAUCGCCAUGUCAAAGUUCUUCUGCCCAAAACCGACCCUUUCUAAAUUAACAAUCUCAAUCUCGCUUAAUGUGACUACAAGGAAGGGGGUUUCGAUCAGCUCGACCAAGCAACUUGAGGUAGGGACAAUGAAAGCAGAAGCCUUGUGAGGGACUCCAUGAAACCCUAAUUCCCUAAGGGGCAUAUCGAACUCCAAAUCCAAUCCUUUAAAUUGGGGCUGCGCCCAGUGAUCAUUUACUUUAUUGACAAAGUUCUGGAACUCCAUAUUAAUCCUAUUCUUCCUAUCCCUCUCACGCUGCUCUUCUUCAAUCUCAUCAGGAUCGAGCGCCGACCUACGCCCACCACCAAGAGUUUGCACAACAUCCAUCACUUCAACAUAGAAUUGAACAUCUUUAGUUUUCUUGUUGCCAACCAUUAUAUGGUUAUGCAGAUGGAAAUGUAGAAGAGUAAUCAUUUCUCUCUCCGCAGGUUGGAAAAAGGCAUGCUUUAUGUUUCCAUACAUGAUAUCAACCCUUUCAUCAGGUCUAGAGGUUGAGUACCUGCAUAGUCACAAAUGCAGCAUAAGGAAAUGAACCGCAAAAGCUGAAAAUUUCGGAAAUUGGUAAAAGUUUGGCGAAUCGCAUAGAAAACAUGGAACUAAUUGGCUGAUAAAAUUUCCCUACAAUAUAAAAUGCUAUAUUUUUCAUGUUCUAGUAUAAAAUAGCUACAAGCAUAAAGAAUAAUCAAUUUUGGCUUCAACUAAUUCGUAACUUUCUUUAAUUAUUUGGUACUGUGUAGCAUAGUCCUGAUUCCUUGAAGCUUUCUUACUCAGGAAUGUUUUUUUUUUCCAUCGCAAAAAUGUGAACUGCCUGUGAAUUUUCAAAAUUUUGGAGAAUUUUCUUUAAGUGAAAUAUGAAUACCUAAAACCAUUGAUGUGAGCUUCAAGGGUUCCAGUGAGCUUUCGACCCCGACCACCAAAAGAAGGGCGUAUCCACAAAUCUGGUAACCUCAUUGUUCUCAUCCGAUUAUUUGCCAGCUGGAGCUUCUCCUGUGUGACUAGAGUUGCCCUCUCAGCUCUUUCUGACUCUCUAGAAGCCACCUGUCUUCUUAGAGUCUUAAUCAAUUGAACCACUUCACUACUAUGCCUCGGAUCCUUUGAGCGGAAGGUGAUUUCUUUUAAAUAGAUUGCGCCCUGGAAUUUAAGAGAAUUGGCGUCAUGUGGACUAAAUGGUGUACCAGGAACAUUAAAGAUAAUCCGAAUAGUGCAGGUCCGAUUAUCCUGAUGGCUUGUCACGCUCUUGACGGUAGAAACAUGAAAGGGAACCAUGCUACCAUAUAUGGGUAAAAGAAUCGCUUCAUUCCUUUGAUCAACUUGUAUUAUUAAUUCCUUCGAAUAGGGUAUAUCAUUCACGUUCUUAUAUGCGACCAAUUCAUUCGAAGUCCUAACCGGGCCCCGGCCCUCCGCUGACCCAGACCCGCCACCUGCCAACCUGCGAGCUGUCUCUUCAUUCUUCUGGCGUGCCAGCUCAGCCUGGUGUUGUCUUCUCAGCUCUUCUUUGGACAUUUCUUGAUUAUCUGAUCUAAGUGUUGCCUUAGACGGGAAUGCCUCAGAACCAUUCGCUUCAUUUCUAGGCCUAGGCCGCUCUUCCUCCUCUUCUUCAUUAAAAGAGUAAGCAACAUCUUUAACUGCCUUAGAGCAAGCAGCAGUUAAUACUUCUGGGGGUUUCUCACUAACAAUAACUGUAUCAGCCAGCAGUAAAGAGAACUUCUCAGUCUUCUCAUUGUUAGUCUCUGCUUGGAGAUUCUGAAAACCUAGGGAAACAUUGAACACCAUCCCUGGCUUAAUGGGCCGGUCGUUUUUAGAAUUUAUGCCCAGCCCCGAUUCACGAAAUUCAAGCCCGAUACCUGUUCCAGCCGACUUGGUCAGAUUCGGUAGCAACUCUGGCGCUUCCUUCUCAACCACUGCUACGGCUGCUUGAUAAGCAGUGCUGACUUUAUUACCUGGCUUCAAUGCAGCUAUAGCAGAAUCGUGAGCUUUCAAAAGCACCUCAUAAGCUCUACUCUGGGACUUAGCAGCAUCAAUUAAAAAAGUUCUCGCCACAUUGGAGCAAUAGCUGUUGUAUCUCGAUCCAAUCGCGCAGAUAAUAACACUUGUUGAAUCAUAGUAUAACUCAUCAUCGUUACUUGAUGCACUUGGUCUAAGAUCAAAUUUACCUCCACUUUGGAAUAUAGGAGGGUAGCAUAUGUCAACAUUUUCCACCUUUAACUUGACUUUGACCUUAGAUGGAUCUAGAAUAGCUUUUUCUGUGUCAUCCAUCAGAGCAGAGUGAGUAACCUUCUUUUCCUCAUCGAUAAUAUUUUCCAAUUUUGGGACCACAAAAUUUUUCAUCACAGAUGAGGUUAGAUAAGCAGCUUUUUUCACACAAGUAAGCUCCAUCGCAUCCUUCACGGCAAAUAGUUCAGAGAAGCCAUUUGUUGCAUCAGCAAGCUGUAGUGAAGACCCGUUUAGCUUUUCUGACCAUGUUUCAAGAAGCUUCCCUUCAGGGGCCUCUUUCGCAAUGUAACCAACAAUGGGUGAAUCGGAUUUGGACUGAGAUCGAACAGCUUGUAAUAUUUCAUCCAUUAAAGCAGUCCCAUCAUCGUUCUUCGCUUUAACAUGUACAACAAUAUCAGUGCCAACAGCUUCCUUUGCGGACCUCUUUACGGUUUCGAGCAGGUUGGCCUUCUUUUGGCUGCAUAGGAAAUGGAUCUGCUUGCUCAUGAAGACCAUUAAGGUUUCGGGGAAUUCGUAUCCAAGAAGCCAGAUGUUGAGAGCUGAAGAUUUUAAGUAGCGGAGAUCUUCAGAAGCAGGUGGAGUUGCAAUCGCAAUAGCAUCGGAUGAGCCCCAGAAAUCGGAUUUGUACUUCCUCCAGUGAUCAUAGAAGUCCUUUAGGCGCUUGCUGAAGUUCUCAAGAUUGAUUGUGUAGGAAGCAGAGCUGCCCCCAGAAGCCGGUUUCAUGCUCCCAUUUUGGCGAUCAGCCAUGAUUGCAUUCAAUCAACAACGAGACAAUCUUUGUAUGUUACUUGGAAAGAUAUGGCCUGAUAGGAAAGAACAAAUCUUUUAAAUAUAGAAUUAAAAAGGGGACGGCAGGAAAAUAAAUAAACAAAGAUACACCACACAGUUCCAAUGAUUAACAAUAAAGUAGCAUCUCUACUAAGAAAAUAGGCUUGUAUUUGUCCAGGCUAAGCCUCUUAGAAUGCUACAAUUACUUAUUCAGCCAAGAAAUGUGCAUUAUUCAAGAAUCUUGUUCAAUGGAAGCAGGAAAAGUAGGACUUCCUGUUGAUCUCAGAUGACAGAUUUAACUUGAUUUCAAUCUGAACAAUGCAAAAGAAUGAAUAAAAGCCCACAGCAGCAAAGAGCAGAGGAAGAAAAGAAUAAAGGAAAAUCCUAGUCUCACCAAAAAGAAACUCAAAUUUCCAAUAUAACAUAUACUAAAUGGAUGAGAUGCCUAAAGCUCUAUUUAUAGACAUUUGGAGAUAAAUCCAUAUCCCACUGGAUAUUCUAUCGCCUAUGGAUUUUCUCCCUCGGAGAGAUAUAUACUCUGUUCAAAUUUCUAACAAUCCUGAAUAUCCUAGUUUCACAAGGAUACAUCUAGUAAAGCGAUAUAUCCAAUCUAAAUACAUCUAACCUUACUUAGACAUGAAGUUAAAAUUUUCGAAGUCUAAACUACUAACAUUUUUCAAAGUAUAAUCUAAGCUGCAGGGUUGGCUUAUUGGUGUGGUGGGGUUGUCAGAGCAAAAAAGACGAGAGCGUCCAGAUGGCAGAUACAACAAUGUAGUAGAUCAGUGUCGAAAAUGGUAGGUACAAAGACGUCAGUUUUGAUGAUGGACACGAGAUGGCAGUGGGUUUAACUUGAGAGGGAGAAAAGAGAAAGAGUAGAAAUAGGAGUCUCGCAAGAAAAAGCAGAAACUCCCAAUAUUUUCUUCUCCAUAUACCCUGAUUAUUUCUGAACUAAAUAACACCUAAUCCUGAUAAACUUUGUAAUGCAAGCAAAAUUCCUAAUUUUUAGGUAUUUUUGCUUUAAAUAUCCAAAAAAUACAAAAUAAAAUCCCCCCAAUAUCUGAACAUAAAUUGACUAGAAAGUUGACUAAAUUGAUGGAUUAAUAUAAAUGCAAAAGCACUAACCUAAUCCCGGACAGCACCAUCACCGACUAGUAUGGCCAUACUCAAUCUCGAUUCGAAUCACAUCUCUGAAGAACAAUUAGUUCAUUCAACCUUUGAAUGUCUAUUCCAUUCCUUUGGCCAUACAGGUGCCCAAUCCUGUUAAGAACCUCAAAGUGUAGAUCAUCCAACAUGAGGCGAUGGCAAUUGGUUGAUCUAGUUCAUGGUCUAGGAAUGAACUUCUACCCACUGAGACUUUGUACCUUGAUCCUGUAAAGGUGUAACCACUGGGACCUCUCAAUCCAUCUUCAUUAAUGUUUUCUAGCUAUACUAAGUGCAGGAUAGUCAAAUCCAGUAAAUCUACAGAGUUGAUUGUCUUAAUAAUUCUAAUUGCAGAAAUGAUUCCUAGCAUAAAAAAAACUUGCUAGCCCAUCUUUUACAGCAAACUUAAUAUCAAAAGUCGUGGAUUUCCCACAAUAACAUUGUGCAUCGUAGGCAAUUCUUUAUGAGAACUAUUCAAAUCAAACAUGAAAUAGCACUUUUCUUGAACUUAUUAAGCAGUGGUAAAACAACAAUUAUAUGCUUAAAUUUACUAAGAAGACAAAAAAAAGGGGGUUAUUCUAAUGGGCUGAACUAAAUGUAUAAUCAUUUGACAUCUACAUCGAAAUCAAAAGCAGAAAGGAUAUAUGUUUCGAUCCUUCCAUUUCACCUCCCAAACCUAAAUUUCAGUUCAAUUUUAAGUUUCUACUGAUGGGCUGAAAUAAAUGUAUAUUAAUUUGACAUCUACAUCAAAAUCAAACAAUGAACUAACUAUCCACCACAUCAACUACAAAAUCACAAUCAGAAAGGAUAUAUGUUUCGAUCCUUCUAUUUCAUCUCCCAAACCCAAAUUUCAGUUCAAUUUAAGUUUCCACUAAUGGGCUGAAAUAAAUGUGGAUUCAUUUGACAUCUACAUCGAAAUCAAACUAUGAACUAACUAUCCACCACAUCAACUACAAAAUCACAAUUGGAGAGGAUAUAUGUUUUGAUCCUUAUCUUACGCUUCCCAAACCUAUAUUUCACUUCAAUCUCAAGUUUCAACCCCUUCCUCAAGCGGAUAAACAUCUUCUAACAGUUUCUAAGACUGAUUUCACCUACUCGACCAUAUUCCUCUCUCUCCAUCUCGACGCCUUUUUCAUUACCCCUUCCUCACGCAUUCCAAAAUUGCUCCCAAUUUCAGCAAAAAAAACAAAUAGAUAUCCAAAAGCAGAGCAAAAAACACCUGAUUACGUACGAAUUCCAGAAAAAAAAACCCCCUAAAUUUCCACUAAAUCGCCCCAAAAUUUUCCAUCAAGCACAAAUAACAUACAAUAUCAAUCGAAAACACGAAAUCAAACACAAAAAACACGAACCAACAAAUCAGUGAUAAAAUUGACGAAAAAAUCAGAAAAAAAUAAGGCGACAAAAAGAGGAUCAGCUUACGAUUCGAGAUCGCGGAUAGUCGGGCGGAGCAAACCCUACAAACAGGUCCCGCACCAAAUCCAGCGUCCUCCAGCGCCGCAAACCCUAAUCUCUACCUCUUCCGAAGCGGCGGAGGAAGAGGGGGAGAGGGGUAAGAGGGAGAGGGGGAGAGGGGGGACGAGAUGGGGAGGGCGAUUAGGGUUAGGGAGGGGGGAAUGUGGGGGGGGCGUAGAGGAGAGGAGCGGAGAGGAGACGAGACGGGGAAAUGAAAGGAAGAGAGAGGGGUUUAGAGAGAGGGAGAGAAAUGAACAAGCGAGCGCUCGAGGGGCGGUUAUAAGGAAAAAGGUCGGGUCGGGUCGGGUCGGGUCGGGUCGGUUCGGGUCGGGUUACAUUUGACUCGGAAUCAAACCCGACCCGUUAAAGAGUUAGGACGGGUCGACUCGCCGGCUCAACGGGUCAACCCGACCCGCUAAAACUGCCAUUUUUGUUGUCAAGAAGAGGCAACAACACUACUACUACUAGGGGUCGCAAUCCUGGCAAUCCAGCUCGCUGUUCACGAACCAUCGUGUCUUCGGUUCGAAAUGAAUUUGAAAUUGAAUCGCUCGUAUGGUAUACGAGCCGAAUAUCAACUGAAUUUUUUAGUUUAUUUAAUAAACGAGCCGAAUACAGGUUGUGGUCAGCUUGCUCUUGUAUGGCUCGAAUACACAUAUUUUAUAUUUAUAUAAUAAUAGAAAAACUUUUAAUACUAUCCAUAUAGUUUUGUACUUUCUUAUUUUAAUAUUCUGUAAGUUAAAGUGUAUCAGUACUUUCAUACCCAGUAAUUUUAUUUUUCUUUUUUUGUAAUUCUCUCCACUAAUUUUUUUCGUUAGAUUAGAUCAGUGACAAAGUUAAAACAAAAGGGUACUAAAGUAAAUAUUCAAUAUAUUAUAGAUUGGGUAUCUAAAGUUUUCUGUAUUUGAUUUAACGAAAAGUUAACGGAGAGGCUGACGAAAAAAUAAUUAUGAAACCACAGGGUACUAAAUUUAUACGUUUUAAACCGCAGGGUACUAAAGUGAGAAAGUGCGAAGCCACUAGGGUGAUAUUUGAAGUUUUUCCUAUAAUUUAUAUAUAUAAUAUAUAUUUUUAUUAUUUAAUUGUUAAUUUAAUUUAAAUAUGAAGACCGACUUGAUUAUAAAAAAUCUCAUUUCUAUAUAAAACUUCAAUUAUUAGAUCAAAAUUUAAUGGAUAAGUUUUUUAAUACUUUUAAUUUGUUAUUCGUGAGCCAGAAACGAACCGAAUACGAGAGCCAAACACGAGCCAACCCAGCUCGCUCGUGUUCAGCUCGUUGACGCUAACUACUGCUCUUCUCUGCAGUCUUAAAUUCUAAUAUUUAUAAUAAAAAAAAAUUAGAUAAAAGUUUAAGCAACUUAUGUUAUAUGAAUCAUUUUGAAUUAGCUAUAUAAUCAUCUCUACCCUAGAAGCUCCAACAACGGCAGAGACUUUUGUUUUUUCCCUUUUUACUCUUAAGAAACUUUGGAUUUAUUGUAAUAUUGGUCCUUAAUAUUUGCAAGUUUUUUUAUUUGGUCCCCAAUUCUUUUUUUCAAGUUAAUUUUAUUUAAUUUGAAAUUUAUAAAUUUAUUGAAAAUUAAUUAAUGGGACUACUAAGUUAAAUUUAUAUAUUUUUAAUAAACUUUAUACUAAUUUAUAAUAUUUUAACAAAGUUUUUUUUCUUUGGGUCCGUUGAACAAAACGUAAAACCGUACAAAAAUUUUUUUCAUGAAAAAAAUAUUUACGCUUUAUAGUGCUUGGUUUGUAAGAAAAAAAAUAUAGUUUUUCAUCAACAUUUGUUUGGUUGAAAGGAAAAAAAUCAUAUUUAUUUAGUUUAGUAGAAAAAAAUGAAUGAAAAAAAUUUUACGUAACUUGAGUUUUCGUUUUCUGCCAAAAAAUAGUGAAAAUGAAAACUUCAAUUUCACCCCAUAACAAAACAAGCGAAAAAGUAUUUUUUAUACCGAAAAUAAUUUUUUGGUUCCUUUUACGUCAAACCAAAUGCCCUUUAGUAUGGAUGAAUAUUUAGGGUAUGUUUGGUUUGAAGAUUUUGAGACUUGGAAUGAGAAUCAUAAUAGAUUUUUUCCGUUGUUAAUAUUUAGAUUGAGAUAUCAACAUUUUAAUUUCCAAUCCGGAGGGAUUCGCAUCCCUCAAAAUUGACUCCCACCUUAGAGAAGGAGACAACUUUGAUUCCGAAGUGAUUGAGAAAAGAUACAUUUUUUUUUUUUCACUAAUAACUAUUUGAAUUCAAAUAUUUUAGUUCCCAGAUAAAUUUUUAUUUGGCUAAAUUAUAGAAAAUCCUUAUAUCAAUACCCGCUUUUUCACUUUCCUUCCCUGUCAUUUAAAAACAUAUACUUUGCCCUCUUAUAAAAUAAAAAAAAUUCACUUCACCUCUUACCAUCAGUACCCCGUUAGGGUUCCGUUUAUAAAAUAUUAUUAUAUAUUUUUUAUACCAAAAAUACGCUUAGCCUUCCCUCUUGCCGCCUCGCCUUCCUCCGCUACCUCGCCGUCGCCCACAUCUUCGUUCGCACCCACAAACACCCCUCACCCUUCUCCAUCGCCUCGCCUUCGCUCUCGUUGCCCGCCCACCUCUACAUCCACGCCCACAUCGAUUUUCUCCCUAUUAUUGCCGGAAUAGAGGGACGACGAGGGUACAAGAGGAGAAGGGAAGCAGGUGGAGAAAAAAAUGGAGAGAACCGCGGCCAAUCGAGGCGCAAACCGCGGCGGAUGAGCAAGAUAAGGGAGGAGACGAAAAUAGUGAGAGGCAAAUUGGUCAUAUCGUCAUCACAAUUUACACCGUACCCCCUGUAAAUAUUUUUCAUUUUACAAGAGGGUAAAGUAUAGAUUUUUAAAUGACAUUUGAGGAAAGUAAAAAAAUCAAAUAUUGACAUGAAAAUUUUAUGUAAUUUAGUCGUUUUGUUUUUAUCAUUUCGUUUGCGAUUUCGGCCAUCCCUAUUACUAUUUUGUUUGCGAUUCCGGCCAUCCCUAUUACUAUUUUGAUUUCGAUAACUAUUUUGAAUCAAAUAUGCCCUAAAAUCCAUGGCCAAAAGAAUAUUACAUGCAGUUGUCAAUGGCCGAGAAUUUACAAAAUGUAAUAUUGUGUUUCAACUCCAUGCUUUUCCUUUUCUCAAAACAAGGAGCAAGAGAAGGAAAACAAAAAAGGGAAUUUUUUGCAUUUAGUUCUCUUCAAAAUUUUAUUUUUAUAAAUGGUCAUAAUAAAUUUGUUUUUUUACAAAUAGCUUUUUCCUUACCCUGCGAGCACCUAAGAAGUGUUUUAAGUUGAAUAUAGUGAUUAAAUCACUAUGUUUAAAUACAGUGAUUGGAUUAUCGCGUUCCUUUAGAAUGUGAAUAUGAACACGAUGCUUCAAUUGCCUUGUUUAAACACGAUGAUUUAAUCAAUCACGGCGUUCAACUUAAAAAUAGCAGCGUGAUGCUCGCGUGGCAAAAAAAGAUCAUAUAUAUAAAUAUAAAUUUAUAAGGAUCAUUUAUUAAUUUUUUUUGGAAAAUAUUAUACACCCUAUCUGGAUGUACAAGUUACAUUCCAUCCCUCCAACGGGCAAGGAAAAAAUUAUUAGUCACAUUAAGUGACUAGUAAAAACACCCCACCCAUUAGAUAGAUGGGGCGUAGGAUAUAUACACCCAUUUGGGGUGUAUAUGUAGCAUUACGUAAUAUUUUUGAGAGUUAAAUGUAAAAAAGCCCUAAAAAGAGAUUUUUUUUUAUAUUUAACUCCCUACAAAAAAUUUACAAUUGAUCCUAAAAAUUUACAUUUGCAUAUACGGCACUCUCCUUGUCAUGCGAGUGCCACGUUGGUAAUUUUUAGUUGAACACGGUGAUUUAAAAAUUUACAAAUGAUCCUAACAAAUUUAUAUUUACAUAUACGACCCUUUCUUUGCCACGCGAGUGCCACGUUGGUAAUUUUUAGUUGAACACGAUGAUUGAACCACCGUAUUUAUAUUCACACUUUAGUCCCUUUUUUUAACUUACGAUUAAUAAAAAAAAACAAAAAGGAACAUGAUGAUUCACGGUGAUUGAAUCACUGUGUUCAAUUUAAAAAUGCCAUCUAGGCACUCGCGUGAUAAGGGGAGAAUUAUUUAUACAAAUAUAAAUUUAUUAGGUCUAUUUAUAAAAAAAAAGUUUUGAAGGGGCUAUAUAUAAAAAAAAAAGAUUAAUUGCAUAUAGGUCCCUGCAAACAUAGUGAAUUACAAAUAUAUCUCCGUAAAAUUCAACUUUUAUAAAUUAUCCCUACAAAAGUCCUAAUGUUUUCAGAUAUGUUUCUGCGUUAGAAUCCGUUAGAAAAGUUUAGUUAACCAUAGAUUAAAUGCUUUACCCUAGUUAACUUUUGACAUUGUUACCCUUCUUAUAUUAUAUUGUUAUAACUUUUGAAAGAACAUAUUUGUGAUGGUAAAGUUGGAAAUAUAAAUAGUUUUCUAACGGUUCUCUAACGAUAACAAACCACAGAGACAUAUAUGAAAAUAUUAGAACUUUUGCAGGAAUAACUUAUGAAAGUUGAACUUUACAAGGAUAGAUUUGCAAUUAAAUAUAUUUGCGGGGACCUGCAUGCAAUUAACCCUCAAAUAAAAAACCCUAAAAAAAUGAAUGGGCGGUGAUCUCACGGGCGUGGUGACCCGAUUCGAUCGGACUCAUGGCGGAGAGAAGAAGCUCCGCUCCGUCUCCGUGUGGGAUUUGUUCCCUUUGCAUCGACAGCGAGAGAGAGAUUGUUUGAGAGAGAGAGAGAGAGAGAGAGAGAGAGAGAGAGAGAGAGAGAGCCAUGUCCACAUCUGCGUGUGUGUUGCGGUGGAGCUCCCAAGCCCACUUGAGAAGAGCGGAGAAAGGGGGAGGAGCCUCCUCCGCCGCCGCCGCCGCCGCCGCUCACCGCCCCCAAAAACCCGCCCUUUUCUUCGCCGGAGAACCGCAAACGAGGCGCUUCCCCAAGAAGCUGCUGUUCCCAAGUCGCAACCGAUUCGACCAUUCACCACUGUUAUGCAGUGGCAGGAAUGCAGGUACGUUUCCUUACAUUUCAAACAUUUUGAUUUGAUUUGAUUCGAUUGGUUAUGGAUAUAUUGCAUCACUAGUCCCCGAACUAUAGCCGAGUUUCACUUUGGUUCUUGAAACUUGUUGUGUAAAAAUUACUUUUUUUUGUUGAUCGUGAUGUAACUGUAGUUAUCUCAUUUUGUUUAUUUAUUUUAGAAAAAACUUUAAAUAUCAUUCAUAUGAAUUCGCUCUUUCUCAUUUUAGUAUUACGUAAUUUAAAGUGUAUUACUUUUAUAUUCCAUGUGUUUUUUUUUUUUAUCUAUUCUACUAUUUUUUUUUUUUUUCUGUUAAAUCAGUGACAAAGUUAAAAGCAAAGGAUAAUCGGUAUAAGCAGUAUUUUCCCUUCUUUAUGUUCUUUUUGUUUCAUGCGAUGCUAAAAUGGGGGAACCAUGACACGUAAAUGUAUGUUAGAUUUAAUGGAAGUUUCACGACCAAAGCCAUUUUGUGAGAAAUUUUUCAAAAGUAGAAAAUUUGAGACUCAAAUUUUAGUUUACUUUUACCUUUUUGGUAAGUAAGUAUUAUGUCAACCUUGUGCUAUGCAAUUUAUCACUCAGUGAAAUGCUUUGGAAUGAGGAUAGUGGCUAACCCAUGAGGAAAUUGAUGUCUCACAUUCUAUAGAGCUACUAAAUCUGCUAUUUUGACUUAAAAAAUUGUAGGCAUUUGAUCGAAGUAAUUAGUUUAUGAUACAGAGACCGUGUAUCUAUCGAAAAAUUCUAGAAUGUCCCGGGUAAAUUGGUGACUUGGCGUCACAAACCAAUCAAAUAUCUCCUUUUAGAGAUAUAUGCCCAUCAUGAUUAUAAAAAAAUAUUUUUAUUGUACUUUUGUUUGAAAAGAAGAAAUGUGAUUGGCUUGUUAUUGAUGAUGUGGUUCGAGCACGACAGUGUAGAAUUUCGUGUAUCUAUCGUGGAGAAACUGUUGCUGUUUGAUGACUGAACAUGUUACUGUCAUACUAUGUAUGCAGCUCGCAGAUUGAGGUCGGCGUUCCGUGUUCAGUAGCAUAUCAGUGUUAUUCAGAUCGGGAGACCAUUCCUCAAUGGAUGCCAUUUAUCUCGUCCGUUAAGGUAUAAUACAAAGCCGAAAUCACUUGAUUCUUUUAGAUACAUAUCUAUUUCUCCGAUAAAUUUAUAGAAAGAAAAGACAUCUGUGUUGGCUUAAAUGGGCCAGCAUCCUGUUUUGUGGCGGGAGGCUGUGUUGGGCCGAGUAAUAUUCGAAAUGGCGUGAGGCUAGGUGAGCUGAGUUAUAUUCGAAGUGGCGUGAGGCUGGAUGGGCAGAGUCACAAUUGAGACUCGUGGACGCCGUAUCUGUACGCUUUAAGUGAAUUGGAUGCGUAUUUCUAAUAGCUCGAGCUUUUGAGAUUAAUGGUUUGCGCCAACGAUCCGACAAUAUGGAUGUGAUAUAGCUAUUUCCAUAACAACAACAUGGUAGGAGAUGAAAAAAUUUAAUAUACAAAACUCACACCUUCGGAACACGCGAAUCCUGAAAGUUGUUGCAAAUGUUAUGUAGUGUUAAUCUUAAAUUGUACACGAAGUUUAAGUUCGCUUGGAAAAUGUAGCAUCCGAUCGGUUGCAUGAUGUUUUUGAAGUUUCUUGUGUAGUAAAAAAAAUUGCGUAUUAGCUGACAUUAGGAUGACAUUUGGCAUCCUAAUCAGCUGAUGUUGGACAAUGUGGACUUGGCUAGGAUAAUACAUAACUUGCUGUUACUUGUUUUCGAUAUUUGUUCGUAGUAGGACUUAAUUGUGGACUAUGAUAAAAGUUUUAGUUAAUGGAAGAAAGAGAUUUUUUCAAAUUACAAUUACUUUUAUUCACCUAAACAAGGAGGGAUUCGUAAUUAAAUUAACUUCUCUAGAUUUGAAAAACGUAAAAGGAGUUAUUGUUAGUAGAUGUAAUGGAAUGGUACUUCUGUAGGAAGUAGCUGAGAAAUGCCAGAAAAGUGAAGUUUCCAUUGGGGUGACAUAAUGUUGUUCCGCUUCGCUUCUGGAACAAGUCUUGUGGAGAAAACAGAAGCUGGUCAUUGUCCAAAAAAAAAAUGUGUAGAGCUUCUACUGUGGCAAGAAGUUAAAAUGAGUUCCUCGACCCAAGCAGCAGUUUUAAUUUGAAACUUAUGUUCUAGCUGCAGAAGAAGUUGUUGGCGGGGAGGGCCUGUUAGUGCUUUCUCUUAUAGCUUUACUUAAUUAGCAUUUCUGUAGAAGUUCCAGCCAGGCCCAACAAGCCCUUAUUUAUGAUGUCCGGUUUAUAUCAAAAGGAUUGCGACUCUGAAGAGAAAUUUGAAAUGUUCAAAAGCACUUUGAUCGGUAAAAACCAUUACUAACACAUUAAUUCUUUUGAAGCCAAAGAAUGCUUAGUGCAUUAAAAAUGAACUCACUCUCGAAUAGUUAUUUUCAGAAGCCUUCCAUCACUUUGCAAUUAGGGAAUUAAAGUAAGUGAUAGUAACAGUAUUCGAAUCUCUUAUGCAGAUGAAAAAAAUACUGUUACAGUAUAUUGUCGUUCUUUGUUUUGGUCGCAACCUUUCUUUAAAGAAAAUUUGAAAAAGAAUCUUUGGUGAUACUAAUUUAUGUACAAGCUGUUAACAGAUUUUACAAGACAAGCCAGACCUAUCUCGCUGGUCUUUGAAGUACGAGGUGUUUGGUCGAAAUGUUGAGUUCUCUUGGCUUGCCAGAAACAUGCAGGUGAGUGUUCUAAAGAUCAAUCUUAAGUUUGAUAUAUCUCUUAAUUAACAGCAGUUUCUUUGAUUAACAGCCCAUUCCUAAUCAGAAAAUUCAUUGGCGAUCUCUAGAAGGACUUCCUAAUAGGUAAAAGGAACUUCGGGCAUUUCAUUUAGAUCCACUCGCAUUUUUACGUACCUUCUGCGAGAUCCAGUUUUACUACUUCCUAAAUAUCCCUCCUAACAUAGAAUUCUCCGAAAACUGGAGUCUUGCAGUAUUUGGUAAAUAUCGUAGAUUGCAAUGAACUAAUUUUGUUGUGAUGUUAGGAAUUCUGCUAUCUACUGCCGAUCCAUGUUAAUAUAAUAGUCUAAAGUUAGCCAACCUUGUGUGUCUGCAGAGGUGCUGUCAGAUUUUUCCCGACAGGCCCAUCAUCGUGUAGAAUCCAAGUGAGUUUUGCGACAUACUUGUUUUGUUUUGCUCUUAGCUUUCUCAUAUCUGUUUUUUUUUAUGUAAAUAUAGUUGAGCUAAUUGAUAAUCCCAUUCCACUGAGUUGCAGUUGACAGUCUCAUAUGAAAUCCCCGAAAUCUUGGCGCCGGUUGCAUCGGUAAGUAAGCAAGCACCUUUUCAGGUCUCUGAAAAGUAUGGUCUGAGUAGAGCUGUUUGAAGAAUGAUGAUAUAUUUUCCAUCAAAAUCUUCUGUAACAACUUCAUGUUGUAGCUGAAGCAGAAGUUUGAAAUUAGAGCUUUUGCUUUGGGGCAAAGGCUUAGUUUGGAAAUGUUUUCUCCGGACGCAAAUGCUUUGAGGCUUAGUUUGGAAAUGUUCGCAACUUCGAUGCUAAAUUACGGCAGAAAGCUUCCCUAGUGGACGUGCUAAGAACACCAUUCCAUGACUUUCGAGGAUUGGAGAUCCAAACUGCUUUCGGAUAUUUUGGGAGUUUUACAGCAAUAGAGCUUAUGUAUUUGGGGAAACACAAUCGCAAACUAGACCUCAACUCGUUUUAGCUUUCCGCUGCAGCAAAUGCUCAUUUCAGCUUCGUGUUAUUCUCGGACUGGAGAAACAGUUCGAGAAGCCUAGCCAGACAUUCACUUUUAGUGCUGUUAUCUGCAUGCUUUCUUGAAGUUUUAAAAAAGUCUGUGGUUUUUUUCUUCUUCUUUUUUUUCCAGGCAUUGAAACCCUUCCUCGAAGGACUGCUUACAAACGGCUUGGAGCGGUUUGCGACCUUUGCGAGGGACUAUGAAAGAAAGAUCCCGCAGCGGUAAGCUUCGACUUCGAGUGUUGUCUUCAUAAGGAUUAUGAUAUCUCGGCAAUCACAUUGUUUGUCUUGAUUCAACCAAGGUAAGGGAAAAAGAAACAAAAAGAAAAGGAGAGAAAACAAGCUCGUCCUGUAAAAGAAAAUGAGACAUUGUAAACUUUUCAAACAUUCUCAUUUGAUGUAUUAUAAGUUGUUCAUUCCUUAAAUGAUUGAUUAUAAUACGUUGCGAUAAUUAAUCAAGUUGUUUCCUACUCAGUAUUGAACAAUUCAUGUAAGAAGCAAACUCAAUGAAAUUGGUUUUAUGUUUUAGUCUUCUUUCUGAAAAUUUACUCCAAUGUUCUUAAUAUGAUCUUCUCAGAACUCGCAUUUUAUUAUGAAUGCCAUGUUAAAAUUGUAUUUAUAUUUGUUAAAAUAUUAAAUUUUAUUGAAUAAAAUAUAGUUACAUGAAAUUUGAACAGGAGAGUGAACCUUUAAUUGUAUCGUGUGUCUUAUUCAUGUUAAUUUUAGUUUAUAUUUAUAUAUACAUGCAUAUUAGUGUAUAUUAUUGUCAGAAUAAUAUUUAAAUACAAAUUCAACUCAUCUCUAAAUCUUAAUUCGUUUUAAGCAAGAUACGGUAAUGAAAAUUUUCAGAUCCGCAUCCGAAGAAAAAUAUGGUUGUUGAUAUGGUUUUAUCAAAAUUUCAAUAUCCGACCGUUUUCACCCCUAAUUAAAUCCCUUUAUUAUUUUGAGAUCCUUUCAAAUGGUGAAAUUUCUAGCAUGUUUAUUACACACAAAGUCACAAACAGAUUCCCUGAUUAUAUUUUAGUUGGAGAGAAUAGCAUUCACUUUUUUGGAACUAUUAACUUCUGCAGUAGUUGCAGCUUCUGACAAUUUGGGGAAAUGCUGCUGCUUCCUUUUUUCAAAGCUAAAACUAAAAUUGUAUAGCCCAAAAAUAGUAGCUAGAAUUGCAAGCUUCAAAUUCUCCUAUAAACCUUCUAAUAGCAGUAUUUGUACAGCACAGUAUUAAACAACACUAUAUUUUACAGCAGACCCAAAAACGGGCCUCGAAAAGCACGAAUCUCUCUUUUAACCACUUUUGCUGCGACGAAAAGUUCAAACAAGAUUAUCAAAUUUUGUCAAACAAGAUCAUCAACCUCUCUUUGGGCCUCGAAAAGCACGAAUCUCUCUUUUAACCACUUUUGCUGCGACGAAAAGUUCAAACAAGAUUAUCGAAUUUUGUCAAACAAGAUUAUUGAACCUCUCUUUUAACCACUUUUGCUGUGACGAAAAGUUCAUACAAGAUUAUCAGACAUUCAAACAAGAUUAUCGGACGUAGAAACUCCAAUUUAAUUUAAAGCUUCUAUUUCUGCUGCUGCACGAAGCUGCCUUGUGUAGAAGCUCCAAUUGAUCUAAGAAAACAAGUACGAAUCUACAACAGCACACCGAAGAGUUCAUUAAAAUUCACAUCAAAAUCUUGAAAAAUUUUGAGCAAAUUUAUACAAGAAAAGGCGCCACACGAAUGUGCUCUAAAUAGUUUAUUCCCGAAGCUGCUUUUGUUGCAUCGUAACACGCAGAGGUGUAAAUAAAACGCAAAUAAUAAUACGAGCAAAUACUCAUGCGUCAUAUCGUCAAUCCACAACUACUUGAAACAAUAACAACAAAAGGUGAGAGAAAUCAGAGAGUUUUACUGUUUUUAACAGAUACAAAAAUUAUUCCAAAAAUAUGAAAACAAGAGUUCAAAACGACCUUUUUAUAUAUGGAUCGGCUUGUCGUAGGUCGCCAUCGCGGCCUCCUUCACGGCCUCGCUCAUGGUCGGGUGCGCGUGGCACGUGCGCGCGAUAUCCUCGCUAGAAGCCCCGUACUGCAGCGCUAGAACCGCCUCGUGAAUAAGCUCUCCCGCAUUCGGUGCCAUUAUAUGCACUCCUAGUAUCUUAUCCGUCUCCUUCUCCGCCACUAUCUUAACCAACCCUUCCGCAUCGUCUAUUGCCUUUGCACGGCUAUUUGCCAUGAACGGAAACUUCCCGACCCGGUAGCUAACCCCCAGCGCCUUCACCUGCUCCUCCGUCUUUCCAACGGAAGCCACUUCGGGGUGCGUGUACACAACACCCGGAACCAUAUCGUAAUCAACGUGGCCUUCUUUACCCGCAAUGAACUCGACGCACGCGACGCCGUCCUCUUCUGCUUUGUGUGCGAGCAUGGGUCCCGGAAUCACAUCCCCGAUGGCAUACACGCCCUUCACGUUAGUCAUAAAGUGAUGAUCGACCAGGAUCCUUCCUGCCUUGUCAGUUUCGACACCGAUGGCGUCUAACCCUAGACCGGCGGUGUACGGACGAUGUCUGGGGCAAACUCGACUACAGUCACUUCCGAACCAAGCCGGCCCCAGACCGAGCCCAUUUCUAAACCGAUGUACCCGGCUCCGAUGACAACCAACUUCUUUGGGACUUCAGAUAAAGCUAAAGCACCGGUUGACGAAACAAUCUUUUUCUCAUCAAUAGUGAUUCCAGGAAGGGGCUUGACGUCAGAACCAGUGGCAAUAAUGACGUUUUUGGCCUUGACGAUGGUGUUGCCACCGUCGAGUGUGUCUACAGAAACUUCCGAAGGGGAGAGGAACUUUCCGGAACCUUUGACAUAGUUGACCUUGUUCUUCUUGAACAGGCCUUCUAUGCCGCGAGUGAGGCCAGAUACUGCUUUGUCCUUCUGGGCCAUCAUGGCGGGCAGGUCGAUCUCGAGCUGGGAGAACUUGACGCCAUGGCUUGGGAAGGCAUGCUUGGCUUCAUGGUACAUGUGAGAGGAAUGAAGGAGAGCCUAGAAAUCAUGGAAAUGGAGAAGCAACAGGCAUGAUCAAGAGAGCAAUUACAUAUGAAACAAAAAAUGUGAUGCAAUACAUAUUAAAGAACACAAAACAUAGACAAAUGAAUUCCAUUACUAAUACAUUACAACGAUUAUAAUAUGAAAAAGAAUGUAAAUAAAAAAUAGGAAUUCGUCAAGAUGAUAAAAACAACUGAAAUUCUGUAAGCUGACUCCGAUUUCAAAUAGCCGACCAAGCUUGCAUGGAUAUACAGUCUCAGAACCAGUAAAGAUUCAACGAUAAAGAAUCCCAGUAUGUUUCAGCAAUUAAAUAAGAGAAAAUCAAAAGAAAGACUUCAGGAAAAUUCAUUAUAGCACUGCUUUUACACUAGGAGGACCCUGCUUGGCAAAUCCAGUGAUACCACUAAUAUGUGUCUUGAAUUGAUAUACAUUUCACUACAACUGAUAGCCUCUUGAUAACAAUUUCUAAUGCUUGUAACUGGUUGACGUGCCUAGAGAAGACUCUACGGACUUCUCUAGUGUAUUGGUCAGCCUUCCAUAUAGUGAUGGACGUCUUUGGUGGGAAAACAUGAUUGUAAUUGUGAAAUGGGAAUGGAGCAAAUUGAUAGCACUUGAUUAGCAGCAGAAAUACUUGCCUCCUUAAGAGCCCAUAGAUGGUAGACGAAAUUAAUGAUUGUUCAUCUUAAGCAUUUGGUGGCUUUUCUUUUUGCCCAAUAAACUACACAACAAGUCCUCACAGGAGGAUUUGGAUAUCACAACUGAGAAAUUCAUAACUAGCUGUGGUAGUGUUGCAAUAUCUAAUUAUGAGGCUACAUCAUCAAUAAAUUUCCUGCAUCCUCAAAUCUGCUCAAUCUUCUUCUUGGUCUUCUUCUCCAUUACUCGUAUACUUUCUUUAUUCCCUAGCUGUGGUAGUGUGUGUUGCAAUAUCUAAUUAUGAGGUUACAUCAUCAAUAAAUUUCCUGCAUCCUCAAAUCCGCUCAAUCUUCUUGUUGGUCUUCUUCUCCAUUACUCGUAUACUUUCUUUAUUCCCUUCUCAUUAUGCUUUCUUGAGGGAAGUUUGUGCAGUUUUCUGCGGAAGUAAUUGGAAAAAAUAACAUCUUGAAAGCAAAAUCAUACAGAACUUACUUGAACUAUCAACCAUUUUGAAUUGACUAACAGACCCUUCAAAAUUUUGAUUUCGCUACCCAACCUUCGAAUUUUUUUUAUUUGAAUCAGUUAACGAUAGCUUGACUUCAAAAUUUAAGCUAGUUAUUUACUUUAAUGAAUUUAUAGUUGCGAGAAUUGCAUGAAGUAUACUAACUAAAUCUCUAAAGAUAAACGAUGCAUUCAAAUUUUAAAGUCAAAAUGCCGUUGACUGACGCAAAUCAAACAAAAUCAAAAUUUUGAAAGGUUCGGUACUCGAUUCAAAAUGGUCAAUAGUUCAAGUAAGUUCUGUACAUUUUUACCUAUCUUGAAUUGGCGAGUUCGACCACUAAACCCUGGUUUUAAAAGGUGCACUCCUUUGCAACACUACUAUGUAAGGGUCUCAGACAAUUUGAUACUAAAAGCUGCAACUGCCUGCUGCUGAUCUUAUAAUAAAAUCGACAAAUUCGUGUCAAUGUGAAUGCACUAUUGAAUGGUUUAAGAUGCAUUUCCUUCCCUCCUCUCCGCAAAGUCACUAUGCCUUUCUCUACAAAUAUUCAACAGUAAAUGUGUAAGAAAGCCGCCUCAACUAUAGGACAUUUUAUAAUAGACCCCUCAACUUUUUCUUUAUCACAUCCCCUCAAUUUUUAGACAUUUUGAUUUCAGAUCUUUCGAUGUAGUAUUCCUGGGAUUAUUUGGAUGCUACAUAUAAGAAAAGGAGAAGAAAAAGAAAGGAGCAAUUCUGAUAGAAUCAACAGCUACGCUCGCUAUCAGCCGUAAACUGUUAAUGGAGCUGGUAGUUCUAUCAGCCGAAAAGCAAGCAGGCCCUUUAUCCUUAACUAACAAAGAAAAACCCAUUAUCGAUUUUUUUACCAUAGUUCGAAAACACCGACGUUGAAACAACUAUUCUCAUAUCUCAUAUUGUAAUUCAAGUCCAAAAACUUCAUAAAAUUGAAAUGUUUUCAUUUACUCAGUAACAGGCAUGGAGCAAUGUAUACUACACCCUUCCUCCUCCUACACUUCAUCAAAUUGGAGUAUUUUCAUUUACCCAAUAAAAGGCAUGAAGAGAUGAUGUAUACUACACCCUUCCUCCUUGCAGUUGGAAAGCUAAACUAAUCCACUAUAAUGAUAGGGAAAUCGAAAACUUUGGUACAAGAGUAGUUACAAAAGAAUAAAACUAAGAAGAAAAAAGGGCUCUUUACGAUCCGCAUAGCAAGAGAUCUCCAAGGAGAUCAUACUAAGCAACCGAAUCAAGCACCAUAGUGUCGACUAAUCGAAUCGAGACAUCCAAUAACCCUAAUUCCCAAAUCGCGAAAACCCUCUCAGUAUCUCAUCUACAGCAUCCGAACACAACUCACAGAUCAAAAAUGAAUAUCCUAACACACAAAAUUCCGACGCAACCUCAUCCAAUCCAUUCCCCACGUAAACACAACCACUCCAAACAACUCUUAGAUAAAAAAUGCACAACCUAUCGCACAAAAUUCCCACACAAGCUCAUCCAAUCCAUUCCCCACAGAAACACAUCCAGAUCAGAAACCCUGCCAUUCACAGCAUCUCAAAACAACUCUUCGAUCAAAAGUGCACAACCUAACGCGGAAAAUUCCCACACAAGCUCAUCCAAUCCAUCCACCCACAGAGACACGAUCAAAUCAGAAACCCUAGAGAUCGAACCGAAUCAGGAAAACUCAAAGGGGUUCUUACCUUGGAGGGGAUGCAUCCGACGUUGAGGCACGUGCCCCCGAGGGCUCCGCGCUUCUCGAUGCACGUCGUCUUGAGCCCCAGCUGCGCCGCCUUGAUCGCCGCCACGUACCCCCCCGGCCCCCCGCCGAUCACCACCACGUCGUUCUCCUCCGCCGCCGCCGCCGCGAAGCUCCGGCACGCGCCGCCGCUCCUCCCCGCCGCCGCCGCAGGGCGGAGGAGGUCUCCGGCCCUCCGCCGCGCAAGACUCGCCAUCGCCAUCGCUUCCCCUUCUUCUUCUCCUCCUCCUCCUCUUUUGCUUCCUCUUUUUUGUUUUCUUUUUUCUUUUUUUUUUUUCCUUUUUUCUCGAUCGAUUGAGAGAGAAGAGUUUUUCUUUUUGUCAAGUAUAAUCGGCGUUGGUGGGGGGAGGUGGGGAGAGGAGUAAAAUUACGAAAAUGCCACUGAGAGUGGCUCGACCGUUGGAUGGGUCUUAGAGACACGUGGAGAGGGCCAUAUCAUCCGUCCGAUUCGACGUAAUCCUGGCCGUCUGAUGGAGAUGAUAAAACCACGCUUAUUCUUAAAUCGUACGCCUCCUUCCUCGUCGAAGAGGAUAAAAGGGAGUACGGCGAGAAGAAAAAAUGGGGGUGAAUUUAGACGUGCGCCGCAUAUAAGGAUGUGGGGUUUAUGGACCAUCGAUUCAAAAGAAAAUAGUCCUCACAAAGGCAACCUCUUCAACUUGGUUUUUUUUUUUUUUAUAAUUUUUUAUUCUUUUGUGUAGAUGUGAAAACAUAAUUUUGGAAAUUUGGAUAUCACUAACAAUGCCUAUCUCAAGUUUUUGUAGAUAUUUGCAUCCUUUUGACUUUAUUUUUGGACUUCAAAUAAUCAGACAUGAUUUUAUUUUUGGACUUCAAAUAAUCAGAUAUGUGACACUUUGAUUUGCAAAAUUUAAUUUAUUAUAAUAUACUUCUACAAUCUAAUUUAAUCAAUUUAAUGAUAGUGUUUCGCUGAUGUGGCAACAAUGUGACUAUGUGACUGAUUCCAGUUAAAAUAUUACAAUUGAUUAAAGUUUGAGCAUAGUUUAUGCACCAAAAGUGUAAUUUAACUAUAAUCAAUGUUAGAGGGGUUUAUUUGAUUAGAGCUGCUUAAAUACCACUAAAUGAAGUGGUUCUCAAACAAAAUUAUGUGUAUCAUCAUAAAUGAAGUGAACCAGAAACAAAAUUAAUAUGAGAUCAGUCCUAAACAUUCCAUAAGAUGAUCUCAAUCCAAUUUCUGAUUCCAAUUUUCAUCAAAGAUUACAGAAAAAAUAACAACACAUUGGAAAGUUUUGAGCACAAUAAAUGCAGGUGAUAUGGAAUCAAAGAUACUGAUGAUACAGAACCAACAAGAGCCUCUAUAAACACUAAACUAUUAUGUUACAAUUAAAGUUACAACAACAAGCUUCUCUCUCUAAAGAGAGAAAAAAAAGAAGAGGAAAAGAACAAGGAAAGAGAGUUGGCAACAACAUAUCAGCGCUGCGAUCCUGUCUGUGGAGGUCUUUUGAGAUUUUCCGGUGGUGGCGCUUGCCCUGUAACUUCUAUUCACAGCAUAUCGGUUCGUGUUCUCUGUGUAGCUUCUCCCAGAGACAUAAAAGUAGCCUUGGACUCUGAUAGUGGGCGAGGAUAUAAUCGGGUUCGCAUCCAGCAUUGUGGAAACGGUCGUCGUUAAUGUAGUUCACCUCUUCGCCGCUAUCCUUGUACUCUUGAAUCCAAAUUCCCAUCGCCACAUCUUCGAGUUUGAACAACUGAGAUAUAAAUUUAUCACAAAGAGUGGCAGCAAUCAUGUGCUUCAUAUCAUUAGUUAAUAAGCUCGAAACUCAUGCGAACAACAUACAUGGCUUGAUGAAUUACCAAGUUGACACUCAAUGAAGAUAAUAUGAAACUCACAACGGGAGUAUGGACUCAAGUGAAGCUUCUGCACAAGUUAUGUUUCAAUAGAGCUGCUUGAAAAAUCACUAACAGCUUUUAGAUAAAUCCCCCCACCAUGCAUAAGCAGAAUCAGAAGUUUCAAAUUUAGAACUUCUACUUUUGAGGCCUAGAAGACGAAUACAACUCUUCAUAGCAGCAGAAGCCACAGAUUUUAAUUUGCCAAAUAAGUUGAUGGCUAGCGGAAUACAAAAGUUGCUCAGAAGCUAACUCUAAUAGCUGAUAUUUUACUUCAACUAAAAAAUUCUUAUUGAAUAACUAUGGAGGAUUAUAUUAUAAACAAAUAUAUUAGGGAGACUUGUAGUUUUGCCCCAGAGGAAGCCAAAAAGAGGUAGGAAAGAGACAGGAAAAAGAACAAAGAAGAUACAGACAUCAAAAUGAAUGGACCUAGAUAUUUGGGUUGCUGUCAACGCACGGAUACUAAAGAUUGACAUGCCAAGCGAAUAAGCACCCACAGCAACCACCAAUAUAUGCAACAGAUGGAAUAAGCAUCAGUAAUCAAGUCUUACUUGGAGCGUUCGUUCUUGGUGACCCUGAACGAUAAACUUGGCAAUAUCUCUAGAGAUAAUGUAGCCGGGACCAUGAGCCCAAGGUGGAUAAGACUCGCUUGGCCAUUCCUGCAUAAUGAAUUUUUCCCCCUUACUUUUUAGAGAAAAGUUGCAUAUGGGUCUUCAUGUGAGAAUUUUAAUAGAGGUAGAUAUACCUCGGGACUAAUAAACCAUUUGCUAUCCUCAUCUCUAUGUGGUGAUGACUGAAACGAAAUGAGACCAUACAAGAGCCCAUGCGGAUCACUUUUUUUGAGAAUAGAGACAACUUCGUCGAUCCUGACAAAAGCAUCAUCAUCUGUUUUCAUGAUGUAUUUUGCAGGAAGAAUUCUGGUCUGCAAUAUUAAGGUAAAAAAAGGAGAGGAUAUUAUUACGCUCUAAUCACUUUCGUAAAUUUACUCAAAAUCCUCCAAGGUAUAUUUUGUCUUAAAAUAACUAAAUUUGAGAUGCUAAUCCGCGAGAUGAUGCCGGUGAAAAUAUGCAUACUUGCAAAUUUGAAGAGACAUUACAGUGCUUAAUGUAAAUGAGGAUCAAACUUGUUCUAUAUCAUUAACUAAAUAGACCUAACGAAAAAAAGGGUUUGCAUGUGACCAUUUCUUUAUAACUCAAGAGCUAUAUAACUGAGAUAUUACCAAAGGCAUAAUAAGCAUAACUCCAUACAGAAUUUGCCUGAAUUAGCAGUACCCCAUUUUCGUAAUGAAUUGGCAUGAGCUUCAAUCUAUUUAGAUGCUUAAUUGAAAUGACUAAACGAGACUUAAACUAGCGGUCUACUAUAAACUUGUAUAUAAGAAAGAUAUGCAUUACGAAGGGAAAGAAGCAAAAUCUUCCACAUCAACAGAAGGAAGCAUACCCCAAGUAUGCAAACAGCAACUGUCUUUAACGUGAUCAAGCUAUAAUAGUCAACAAAAGGCAUAAGCUGGAUAUCACCAUAUAUCUGAGCUUCUUGCCAUAGUUCCAGAUUGACCUGUUUAUUCUUAUGCUGCAUAUUGUAAACAAAAUAAGAAAGGUACAUUACUGAUAAUAUACUUUAAAAAACUCAGAGAUAAUUAGUCGCAUUAGAUUGAAAAUGCUGAUGCUAUGAAAGUUGAAUUUCAAGCAUAAUUACCGUAAGCAAUGGGUACUUACAAGACCAGUGAGAAAUCUCACAGCAACAUCUCCUGAGCGAAUGGAUUCAUAUUGCAUCCAAGACCUCCUCAGAGCCAUCCGCCGCUUAAAAUUAUUCCCAGUUGAGAAAACCCCAACCAGCAAUAAGACCCUUCUCUUCGGCACCGGAGGAGCUUUUAGGAGCUCCACGUCACCAACUAAAUCGAGAUCUUCAGAAACCGGGAGGCCAUUCGCCAGCACGGAUAACAGAUCCACAUCACCAGCUACCCUCACUUCACUUACUGACCAGGGUUCGAGUCUCUAACGAAUAUCAGUCAGUUGGCAAUUAUACAAAAGCCCAUUUGAUCUAGCUUCUAAUAAAUGCUUUGAGCUGCAACCAACUUUAGAAGAAUCAAGUUUGUUUGGCAAAGAGAAAAAAUCUAUAGCUUCAGCUGUGACAAGGAGCAGUAGUAAGCUUGUAAACUCUACAAGCAAAAGCUCCAAUUCGGAGUUUCUGAUGCUGAAGGGAUUGUAAAUGAACAAAGCUACUGCUUUUCUGAACAGCAGUACUCCAAACAGCACUCCAUUGAACAUCGUUGUCCCCUCUAGUCGGGCCAAACAGGUGCUAAGUGCCCACAUGGCUUUGCUGCUAGAAACCAGAUGUUUGGCAAAUGAAAAGUCGAGCAUUGCUCUACCAAGAGGUUAAAUGAGUGUUUAGGCCCCAAAAGAGGAAGCUCUACUUUGAAGCUUCUACCAUAUUACAGUUGACGAGAAUUUACAUAAAAAUCUUGUAGAGCUUAUUUCAAUAGCUCUACCCAAAGCAUAUUGCAGCAUAAGUUCCAGCCUAGCCAAACAAGCCCUAACUAUAACAAAAAUAUAUCAUAAGUCUCACCUCCCUAUAUGCAAAUGACGUCUCGUGCCGCCCAUUCACGGUCAUAUGGAACCCCUCCAACCCAGCCCACAACGUGGCGGUAAAAGGAUGACCUUCCGCAAAUGGAAAACUAACACUUAAAUGAGCACUUCUCUUCAAACUCUUUCCGACAUCAUCGGAUUGACUCCCAUUUACAUUCUCCGGACUCGCACUCUCACCAAAUUGCUCAGUGCAUCGAACAAGCCCAUCAACUGCACUAAUUCAAUUCAUGUCUAUUUGAAUUACUCCUAAAGAACUACAAUUACAACUUUAUCACAAUAUUUGUAUCAAAAUUAUCUAACUCUGGAAAGAUAUUACCUUUAAUGGUAGUGUUAGCAGAAGCCAAGGAAUGAGCAGGGCAUAGCUCCCAUUCUCCCCAUCCGUGCGCUUCUGUCCACGAAUUCUGAGCAAUGGCGGGAUCAUCUCCGGCGAAGGUCACAUUGAAAUGGAGCACUAUAGGUGCAUCCGAGCCGCCGCCGCCGAAACCAGAUCCGACAAGCUCGAUCUGAAACCUGCUAGUGGUGCCGUUUCCGGCAACCGGAACGCCAAUCAAUGUGAUCGCCGAGUCCUCGACGAGGCCGCACGGGAUCGCAAGAGAGCUGCUGUUUCCUGUAACGGAAAAGGGGCAACUCCUCUCCCUCGAUUCGGCACUAGGGUUUGUUUGAGAGUUUAGGGCGGCGGCGAGCUCCAGGUACGCGGCGGCGCCCUCGCGGACGCCGUCGGCGGUGGCGGGGAGGGCGUCGGAGCGGGCGAGGAGGGGGCGCAUGUGGCGCCACACCAGCUUUGAUUGGUGACCUAAUUGGGGCUCAACGGUCGAAUUAGGGGGCGGGAACAGGUCGUCGAGCCCCGGGAGCGAGGAGAGGAGGUGGGCGGGGCGGCGGCGGCGGCUCCGGCGAGGAGUGGCGGUGGUGGAGGAGGAGAAGGGGAGGAGGGCGUAGCGGAGGGCGAGGAGAAGGGCGAGGGAGAGGAUGAGGGUGCCCCCCGUCCAUUUCUUCAUCGCUGCUACAACGACAUUGGUGGGGAUCGGAGAUCCGAGGCUAGGGUUUUGGGGUGCUCUCUAGGGUUUUACCUCUUUCGGGAACAUUUUAGGGUUUUGGGUUUUGAGCGGAGCGAGAUCUGAGGAGGAGGAGGAAGAAGAAGACGACGACGACGAAGGGAACGCCAUGGACACGGGAAAUUAUUGCAUGCACCGGGUGCAUAAACACACCCAUACACCGCACUUUCUUUUAGGGUAAAUUGCACAUUUGGUCCUCGAACUAUGAGGCUGCUGAUAAUUUAGUCCUCAAACUUUAAUUUGCUAUAAUUUUUUGUUCGAACUUUUAGAAUUAUUACAAUAACGUACCACAAUUCAAUUAAUUGACUAAACUUUAGCAUAUAAUUAAUAUAAAAGUAAUAUGAUAUUUUAAUUAUUGAUGCAUCAUCAAUCACAGUAUCACUAUAUCACCUCUUAAGUAGCAAUAUAAUAAUAUUUAGCCAACAAAAUUCAGUUAUAGGACUUGAUUGUAAUAUUUUUAAAAUUAAAAUAAAAGAUUAUACUGAAUUAAAGUUUAAGGACCAAAUUGUCAUCAGCCUUAUAGUUUGAGGACCAAACGUGCAAUUUACCCUAAGCCAUUCGAUCUUAUUAAAACUCAAAUUUUAUUAUUUUUCGAUAUUUGUUUAUUGCUUAAAUGAUUUCAAAUUCAUGUUAUAUUAACCAUUAAAAUUAGCUAAUUUUUUAGACUACUUAAAUACUAAAUAAAUAAUGUCAAAAAAAUUUGUAAAAAUUGUAACCUAAAAAUUUUAAAUAGUUUAAAUCAAGUGUAGCAGCACUAAUCUUUGAUUUGUAUUUUCAUGGUUAAUGAGAGAAAAUGAUAAGUAUUCUACUUUUGUUCUUCUUUAUAAAUUAUAUAAUGCCCCUCUCUUAAUUAUUGACUUCUUAGGCUAUUUGAUGCUGAAAUAAUAAUAAUAAUAAUAAUAAUGAAUUUUUAAAAUAUAUUAUUUUUUAAAUAUAAAAAAUAGAUAUUAAAUAUGAUAUUCAUCAAAUUAAUUUUAAUUUUAGGGUUAAUUACAAACAGCUCCCUGUAAACAUAGCGGAUUAUAAAUGUAUCCUUAUAAAGUUCAACUUUUUUAUAUUAUUCCUAAAAAAGUUGUAACGUUUUUAAAUAUGCUCGUACCGUUAGAAUCCGUUAGAAAAAUUUAGUUAACCAUAGAUAAAAUAUUCAAUCCUGAUUAGUCAAUGAGAUAAAUUGAUAUUUUUAUCCCUUUUAUAUUAUAUCUCCUUCUCUCAGUCAAAACCGUAGUAAUUGGAACUCUUUUUCUUCUUACUCUUGCUCUUGCUCUUGCUCUUGCUCUUCCUCUCUCUCUUUCAUACUAGUUUCGAAUCUGUAACUUAGAAUUUCUUCAUCCCCAUUCAUCUACAACACGUGUUGUUUCGCCUAUGUCGAAUGCGCGUUGCUUCCUUAUUCAAUUUUCUCUACGAUUUUUUUUUUUUAUUUUGCUCAAAAGAAAAAGUUUAAGAGAAAAGGAGUAAGAGAAGAGGUUGCAACAAUGGUGGACAGAGUUGGAUUUUAAAGAGGGAGAAGAUAAAGAAAAAGAUGACCAUUAAAAUUUUUUUGCGGGAAUAUCUCUACACAAUUAUAGCAGUUGGGGUUUUUGGAAGGAUAUAUUUGUGAUGAGAAGAUUGACAUUUCACUUAUCUACUGUUAAGAAAUAAAUAAUUUUAUAAUUGGUGCUGCUAAAUCACCUCAUGUUCAAAAAGAGCUAAUGCUUAUGUUUGUUCGGUAUUUUGGUUUGAUAUUGCUUCACAUCCUAAAAAUACGUUAACAAAUCAAAGGAACAAAUAUAAAUAUCACUAAACUUUUAUAAGGAUAAUAUAAGAAAGUUGAACUUUGUAGGAAUAUUUUUAUAAUUUACUAUAUUUACAAGGAGUGGUAUACAAUUAACCCUUAAUUUUAAUAUAUUAAUCAUCAAAUGUUGGUUGCAGCUUUUGUACAUACAAUGCAAGCAAAUAAGUUUCUCCAUGGGAGCUGUUUUGAGUGAUGACAGGUUAACCAAUGGAGAAGUUUAUCGGAUCGGGUCGGGUUGGGUCGGGUCGUGGAUAUCACCAAAAUGUACCCACUCAAUUGGAUGAAUUUUUUCGGGACGAAUCUCGGGCGCGAAAUUUUCUCACCUUGUCGAGUAUGAAACUUUUUGAGGAGACCAAAGAACCUAGAGAUUGGAGACGGAGAGCGAUUGAAAGCAUAUGGUCUGUGAGUAUGGGCGCCGAUUUCAUAUGUUUGUUUUACUGAAAGUGCGAUGAAAGGUGAAGAGAUUUUCGACCCUAAACAUCCGUAACUUCACCUUCGGUCAAAUUUGAAACUUCUCAAAAAUUGCAUAGUUUACUUCGGCCCAUUCCAGACCGAUUCAAUAAAAGAAAAAAAAAACAAAAGAAAAUAAUAUAGUAUUAAUUAUCUCUCACUCAUGAAACUUUUGCAUCAUCGAGUUCUACAACUAUACAAAAAAACAACGAAAGAAGAGUAUCUUUUUGCAUAAAUUUUAAUUUAUCUGAAAGUCUACUUUAACUUGAAUUUUGUCUUCAGUAAAAUAAAUAGAUUUUAAGAUGUAGUCGCGAUCAGACAAUUAUUAGUAUAAUUAUAACACAUGUCUACAUGGCCAUAUUAUAGAAAUGAGUAAUACUAUACUCAUAAAUAAAUUUUAGAAUAUUUAUAAAUUAUUAUAAGCGAAGGUAUUUAAUUUAGGGAGAAGCGAAAAUUACGAGGAGAUAAGCAUGAUUUAUACUUUCAGGCUUCGUUUGAUUCGGGAUUAAGUAAGAACUAGUUAUUAAAGGAAUAGAUUUAAAUUCAGAUGUAAGUCUGGAAUAAAUCAACUUUGCGUUUGGAUGAAAACUGAGUUGUUUCCGAAAAUAAUAAAAAUAGCGUUUGGAAAAAUAAGAUGGAAUAAGAAGAAUAGUGGAUUGUUUUAAUAAAAAAUAAUAAUAUUGCUCCAAUUAUUAUAUUUGAAUUCAAAUUUUUUUAUUUUAUAUUUAAAAUUUAAAUUUUAAAUAGAUAACUUUAAAAUAAAAAAAAAUUCAAAAUUAAAAUCUAAAUUUUUAAAUCUCAAAUUUAAAAUUUUAAAGUUAUAAAUUAUAAAUUUUAAAUUUUAAAUCAAAUCUCAAUUUACAAAUAUAAAAUUUAAAUAAUUAAAAAUAACAAUUUGAAAUUUAAAAUUUAAAAUUUAAAAUUUAAAAUUAUAAAUUAUAAAUAUUAAUUUUAAGAUUAAAAAUUAUAAAUUUUUAAAAUUUAAAAUUUAAAUUUUAAAUUUUAAAUUUUAAAAGGGAAUUAGCUAACCCCAAAAAGUGUUUGGGGAUAAGGGGGGAUAACCCCUUAUCUCCCCUUAACCUCGAACCAAACGCUAUCUCAAAGUCGAAAUAGAUCCAUCCUGUUGUAAUAUGUUUUAAUAGCUUAAGUAGUGAUUUUGUGUUAAUACCAACAUUUUAUACUUGAUCACAAAUUCACAGAAAAUGAGAAAAAUGAAAUUAAAAUUAUAAUAUUUUAUUGACAAAUAUAAAGUCAUAUGAAUUGACACGGGUGAUUUUUAAAUGUUUUAAAAGUGCAUUUGUAUAUUACUUAAGACCAAUAAAUAAUUAUAACUGCUAUCACUUAAAUAUUUAUCUUAAUUUUCACUAAUUGACACUUGUAAGAGCAUCCUAAAAAACAAAAAGGCUACAAAAAAUAAAGAAGUGUAAAGAUUUUAAUGAGGGUGAAAGAAAAAUUACCACGUGACAAAACUAUUGCGAAAUCACAUAUGUUAAUAGAUGGGGUUCAGUUAAUCUAUAUUUAAAAUUUCAGUAUCCUUCGCGACUCAUAAAUAUUGCUGAAUUACGAAUUACCGAUUCAACCAUUGAAUUGAGUGGCGUCAGGAAAAUAUCAUAAAUAUUUAUUUAUUUUUUAUUUUUAUGCUAUAUAUAUAAUAAAAAAUAUAUCCCAAAUAUAUAUAGAAAUCUAUAUUAUUUCCAUAUAUUAUAAUACUAAAUAUAAUUAAAAUUUUAUGUAAAGAGCAGGUUGUUAAAAGAGCUAACAUAUAUGUCUAGUUAAUUAUUGAAAUACGAAAUAAAAAGAAACUCAACAAAUACUUAUAAAAGCCCUCACCUCCAUUUUUUAUAUACAUAUAUAAAUAUAUUAACAUAUAUUAAUAUAUAAAAAUAUGGGUAAAAUUAGAUGUAAACCCUUCAGCUAAAAGCCAUUUUUAAAUAAGGCUUCUAAGCUUUAAUUAUUUUUAUUUACAUAAAUUUAACUAUUUUUUAAAGUUUUUAUUCUUACAUAAAAUAAUUAUGAGAGGAGUGAAAUUAAGAUUGAUAUAUAUUCUUAUUAGAUAUAUAACCCAACGUAAAUCUUGACAUUAAAUCCACAUAAAAUUACUUUUCAAAAAAUAAAUCCAAGGUUUUAAUAUUGGUUAUGAGUUCAAGAUGAUCUUGAAUUUUAAUUUUAAAAUCAAAUUGAUAUCAAAUAAAUUAAUUUGGACUAGCAUUCGAUUUGCUGUAAAUAGAAGGACUUUUUUUUUGCAAAACCUCUCUUAUGUCCACCACUAUAAGUACUGUGAUGAAUAGGGUGCAUUUUAUUUUUGUAUUCAUUUACUGCUUCAGAAUCCAUCCGCUGCAACACGCAAAAACAUUCACCGAUUUUUUUAUUAAUAAUCCAAUCAAUUUAGAUUGUUAUACAUCAUUAAACUAGAAAGAAGUUCAUAUUUUUCUUAAAAUUGUUAUUUUUGACAUCGCUUGAUCCCUGAAUAAAUGAUGUCGAAAACUUAAACAUAUAAGAUCAAAUAUCACAGUAUUGAUUGUCGAUAUAUACAAACUCCUGAGCAUCAAAAUAUGAUUUUAUUGCAACUAUCGGAUAUAAAAUAUUAAAAAUAAUAUAUAAUUUUGCAGCAUAAACUUUUAGAGGAGAAAAAUAUCGAGGUUAAAUAUGAAAAAAAUAGUUAAUAUAAAAUAAUAAAAACACCAUUUUCCAUAUUUUAAGCUUUAGACAAAAAGGUUUUAUCACAGCAGUAGAACAUGCAUGGCCCUCCUACUGCAUGUCAAAUCCCUUAACUUUCAAAAAGUAUUAAAUUAAUAAUUUUAUAAGUUAUCCUCUGUAUAUUUUUAUUUGCUUUAAAAAAUAUAUUAAAUUUAUUAAAUUUAGUCCUAUUUCAAACCAGCUUGUAACUUAGCAGGUCUCAUUCCAAUUCAUUAAUUUGUUACAAUAGGUUAUUCAAAAAUGAUUAUUAUUAUUUUUUCCUCAAAAAAAGACAUACGCGACCUUAAAUUAGAAGCAUAGCAUAACAGAGGCUCGAAUCAUCGACCUUUAAAUAGAUCGGGAAUUGGUUUCUUCAUUAGUAACCAAUAAGGUGUUUGUCUAUAUAUUUCAAAUUUUAUCGAAAAUAUUCAUGAUGCGCUGUCAAUUGAAAUUGAAGCAAUAUCGAAAGCAACCAAUUUUUUUUUUUCGAACGAGUUCAGAUAUUUUCAGACUCAGCAUUGAUUCUCAAAGUAAUCCACUUCAGGUCGGACCAAUCCGAAUUGAUUACUUGGGAUGCUAAAACGGAGCUCAAAACACUUUAAUUCUUCGUUGACGAACGUCACGUCUUCUCUUUUGGAUGGAAUUUUCACUUCUCCAGAAAAUGCUAUGCGAGUUGUUUAAUUUGUUGCUUAAAUGGGCCAGCAUCCUGCCCUGUAGCGAGAGGCCAUGUUGGGCCGAGUCAUGCUCGAAAUGGCGUGAGGCUGGAUGAGCCGAGUCAUAUUCGAAGUGGCGUGAGGCUGGUUGGGCUGAGUCACAAUCGAGACCCUUGGGCGCUGUAUCUGUAAGUUUUAAGUAAAUUGAUUGCGUAUUUCUAACAGCUCUAGCUUUUGGGAUUAAUGGUUAGCGCCAACGAUCCGACAAGUGAUAUCUGAGUCUGAGGUCACGAGUUCGAUUCCCGUGCAUUCUGUCCUGUGACGGGAGGCCUUCUUGGGCCGAGUCAUGUUCAAAAUGGCGUGAGGUUAGUUGGACCGAGUCACAAUCGAGACCUGUUGGCGCUGUAUCUGUACGUUUUAAGUGAAUUGGUUGCGUAUUUCUAACAACUCAAACUUUUGGGAUUAAUGGUUAACGCCACCGAUCUGACAUAAUUAGCUAAUUAGGAUCUGUGUAGUAAAAAAAUAUAUUGUAUGUCUAUCUUUUAAGGACUUUUUCAACUCUGCAUUGUUCCAUUUUGUUUAAAUAAAUUUUCACUCUCGAAUCAUUUUCCUAAAAAAAUGGAGGGGGAAUUACUCAAAAUCAGUAGUUUGGCGCUUCCUUUGAAAUAAUAAGGUGAUUGGACAACAAAUUAAACAAAACUAAGAAAAUUUAAUCAUCUCCCAAAGUAAAGUAACACCUGUGAACAAUCUAAUAAAGUACUAAAUUCUUUUGAUUUAUUAAUUACAACCCUUUUAAUUAAUCUACCAUCUUUACUGUCCUUUUAUGUGUCCUUAGUUUUAUCAUUUAUUAGUUUUAUCAUUUGUAUUUAGCUCUCUUUUACAUAGAACCGUUAACAAACUACAAAAUGAAAAAAAAAAAAAAAAAAAAGCAAAAAUUAAUAACAUUGUAAUUCGACGGGAUUGGAACUCAGAAUCUCUUAUUUCAAUACCGUGCUCUAUAUAGUCAAGCAGGAUUUUAUUAGAAUUAAUAUGGUAAUAAAAUAUAAAAGUUAGACGCACAAUAACAAAAAAUAAAAAAUAAAAAAUUAUGGAGCAAAGUGAAAAGAAAAAAAAAAAAGAAAGAAGAUAAGGUUAGGAACCAACGUUGCAGUUAACUCCUUUUUCCUGUAUCUGCAUCCAAAAUUCAAAAAAAAGAAAAGAAAAGAAAAUAGUUAUCUUUUCUUAUUGUAAAAAGAUCAUAUUUGUGUAAUUAUUUUGAUUACUGUAUCUUAUUUUGAUCCGCACAAUUCUUUUUCUUUUUUAUUUUUUCACUACUGUUUUAAUUUGUUGAUAGAAAGUCAGCGACUUACUUUUAAAAUUUAUAUUGUCGUGAAAUUUGAUAUUUUCACAUAAAAUUAUGGGUGAAAAAAAAUGUAAUAGUUAAUAUUUUAUUUUUUUUUUUAUCUUCUAAUCAGUAAUAAAUCUCGCAACCAUCCAGAGUGAAGCAAAUUAUACUGUUUGAAUAAGUAAAUUUACAGAUAAAUUUUAAUUCAUGAUAAACCAAAUAAAAAAAGCGAGUAUUUAUGGUCGAAAAUAACUUUACGCGCCUCAGUGUCGCAGAAUUUGGAAAUUAAUGGCUUGUCUCAUGGCUUAUGCAAAUAUGCCUACAAAUUAAGUACUGGAAAAGGUAUUAAUUAAUUAAGGAAUUAAUUUGCAGUGUCCCGUGACUACUUAACCUUACAUUGCAUACUCUUUAUCUCUCUAAUUAAUCUAUAAUUAUAAUCUAAGCCACAAAUGUAGAGAGCUAAAGUACACCAUGCACAAAUGUUCACGUGAGCCUCUCUCUCUCACUCAACCACACAUAUUUCACUUUAAUAAAUAGAAAAAUAUUAAGGACUCUCUCCCUCUACAAUAAAUUUUGUAUUUAAAGACAUUUUAAAUAAUAACUAGCGAGACUUUAAAACAUUGGUAAUAAUAAGCUCGACGCUUGUAAAAGCGUCGAAGAAAAAGUUGUUAAGUUAAACAUGCCGAGAUAAGUAUACCGACGCUUUAAUAUAGCGUCGAAAUACUUUUAUAAGUAUUUGAUAAAAAUAUGUUUAUUGACAAUGCUUAAUUAUGGUGUCUGCACAUGUCAAAUAUUGAAGAUCGAUGCUAAAAUCAAAUAUCGUCCAAAGAGUAUCGUCUAAAAUAUAUUUUGUUGCAGUGUCUCUUCCGCUCUCUCUCGUAUUCUCUUUCUUUGUGCAAUGUAUUAUUCAAUGUCUCUUAUUUUAAAUGACAACACUCAUUUCAUUUGUUUAAUGAGUUGAUACAACUUUUGAUUGCUUUUACAUAAGGUAAUACUUAAAUUUGGUAUUUGCAUUAUGAGUACAAUUUGUUCUAAACAGGUAGCUUAAUGCAUAAUCUUUGCGCUUAUUUAGCUUGGAUUCUGAGUAACUAAAAUUUCAAACUUUUGUUAUAUAUUGUCAGAAGCUUUAAUUAGCUUAAUUUCUCCAUAUAUAGUAGAAGAUUUGAUUUUAGUAAAAAAUAAAAUUUUACUGCUUAUUUGAACAGCUACACACAAGCUAUUGCAAAAACUUCAGCCUCUUUUCCUAAUAAUCACAUCAUGUGUGGGUUUUAUCACAUGCCUUGAUCAACAACAUUUUAAUAAUUCUAAGUAAAAGUAAUAGUAAAAAUAAUUAUUAUAGUGUUUUAUAUUUUUUUUUUUUUUUCUUGCCAUGAUAUUCUUAGUAGAGCACAAAGGCUACCUGUGAAGAUCUGGAAUCUUCUCUUCUCUCAUCAAUGAAUUAAUUAUAUUAAACCAAACCUAGGCUUUUAUUUGGGAUCCUAGAAAGAAGCAAUUGUCAUAUCAACACUUUUAAGAGGACAAUCAACAUAUAUACAUUGUAGAGAGAGAGAGAGAGAGAGAGAGAGAGAGAGAGAGUAGAGAUUCAUGUGAAGUAGCAAAGCAAAAAAGGACAAAUUGUGAUGCUCCAACCAAUAGAGUAUGCAUAAAUGUCACCACCCCACAGGUACUCCCUACAUGCAUUUAUCUUUCUCUAUUUCUCUAUUUCCAUCCCCACCCAACAGUAGCCUUUGCCUCCAAACUCACUCUCUCUCUCUCUCUCUCUCUCUCUCUCUCUCUCUACACUCCACUUCCUCUCUCCUCUUUCCCUCCUCUCUCUCUCUCUCUCUCUCUCUCUCUCUCUCUCUCUCUCUCUCUCUCUCUUUCUCUCUCUCUCUCUCAUCCAAUUCAAACAUUGCAUGCACACCACUUCCUACAUCACUUAUUCUUCCUCUCACUCUCACCAUUUAUACUCUUUUGAUUGAUCAUCAACAUUGCAAUGGGGAUCUCGAUCCUCCGCGGAGGGUGGUCGAUCCCCUCCUCGAUCGCGAUCGUCCUUCUUCUAUCGACUCUCCGAGCUUCGAAUGGAAGAGCACAUUACCACAAGCACAAAUAUAAUGAUCACAACAACAACAACAAGUACUAUCAUAGUGGAGACUACCACAUGAGCCAUAUUUCCCAACCCCCUGCACCAUCUCCUGCUGAGCCACCAUCUCCUAGUGAUGAGUACUCUAGUGACUCUAACUCAAGCUCAGGUUCAUGUAGUGUGUUCAAUGUUAGGUCCUUUGGAGCAGUUGGGAAUGGGUCAAGUGAUGACACCCAAGCUUUUAGGUCGGCGUGGAAGGCCGCAUGCGCGGUCGAAUCCGCCGUCCUUCUCGUGCCGUCGGAUGGCGUUUUCACGGUCACCUCGACGAUCUUUUCGGGGCCCUGCCUGCCCGGGUUCGUCCUCCAAGUAGGUUAAUGAACCACCUUCGAGGUCAUAGUAUGAUCGACAGAAUGAUUGGUAAAAAACGUACAAAACUUAUCUAAACUAUCGACCAUUUUGAGUUGUCAGCUAUCUAACUUUUCAAAAUUCUGAUCUUACUAUCUCACCUUUCAAUUUAUUUGAUUUAGAUCAGUCAACAACAUUUUGACCUCAAGAUUUAAAUAAAUUAUUUUAAUGGAGUUAUAGUUGCAAGAUUUGCAUGAAACACAUGCACUAACUAAAACUCUUAUAAAUAGUCUCACAUCGAAAAUGAUAAAUAUGUGAUCAACCAAAUAUAUAUACACAAAAGACUAGAACGGCCGUUUUAAUAACUUGAACUUAUGCAUUUCACACCACGCGGUCAAAACCCUAAAAUAAGUACUUACCGAAGUUAUAUAUACAUAUAUCUUAUGUUGUUUACGUAGGUAGACGGAGUGCUGAUGCCGCCCGACGGGCCCAACUGCUGGCCAACGUCCGAUAGCCGUCGCCAAUGGGUUGUUUUCUAUAGAGCUGAUGGUAUGACUCUCAAAGGAGAAGGCACAAUUGAAGGCAAUGGAGAGGAGUGGCGGAGUCUCCCUUGUAAACCUCACAGAGUAUGGAAAAUCUAAAUUUUAACGAGGCUAAAAUACAGAAAAUCUUUUUAUAAAUAUAUAUUUUUUACCUUUUCUUCUGAUUUUCAAAAAUAUAUAUUUUACCGUCUUAAAAUUUUAAGUUGAUGCACUUAGCCUCUGUCCAUCAGGGUUCCAUCACUGUGACGUCUAUAUUUUAUAAUUUAUACUGAAAAUAUUCUUGAAAAGACAAAAAAUAUUGAAAACAUCCCCCUUUUUUUUUUUUCUAAAUAGAGCAAGUAAGAAUAAUUUGGUCAUUUCGCCAUCCCUAUUAACACCGGAACUCUUUUCUAAAUUUUGAGGAGGCAAAAUAUAGAAUUUUAAAAGCCAGAAAGAAAAAUUAAAAAAAAAUGAAUAUAUAAAAGUGGGGUUUUCUGAUUUUAAUAUAUUUUAGCCUUUUAACUAAACUCUCAAAUCACUCAUCCAUUGUCUAAAGAGUUAUUAUUAUUAUAUACAUGAAACUAUAUGUAAAGCUAUAAUUUGAUACAAAUUUUGUUGGCCUUUUUAGGGCCCAAAUGGAUCCACAUUGCCCGGCCCGUGCGACAGUCCUGCGGUGGGCUCAAAAUAUUUCCUAAUCUCCAUUUUAUUUUGUUUAUUUAUUUUGUAAAGUUUAAUUUUAAAAUUGAUUUAAUUCGUUUGUGUGUUUUUUUUUUUUCUUGUGAUUUUUAAUUAUUUUUUUAGCUGAUUAGGUUCUUCAUGAGCUACAAUGUGACUGUGCGGGAUCUGCGAAUCGAGAAUAGCCCGCAAUUUCACAUUAAGUUUGAUGGAUGCGAGGGUGUGCACAUCGAGGGAAUGUCGAUAAACUCGCCCGCUUUUAGCCCUAACACCGACGGAAUCCACAUUGAGAACACAAAAACUGUGGCCAUAUUCAACUCCAGAAUAAGCAAUGGUAUGAAUAAAAAUCAACUUAUACCAACUCAAUUCAAAUUUCUUACUUAAAUUACUUAAAUGAAGUGAUUAACACCUGAAACUUUUUGAAAAAUAAUGUUAUACUCUUCGACUUUUUGUUCUUAUACAGAUUCAAAAUCUCAAUUUUUAGAUAAUUUGAACGAGAAAUACAUUGAAUCAUAAUUCGUCGAAAGUUUAGGGACUAUCUAUAUAUAUAAAUAUUUACACUUGAAAUUUUAAUGCUUAGUGAAUGAAUGAAUGAAUGAAUGAAUCAGGUGAUGAUUGCAUCUCCAUUGGCCCUGGUUGUUCUCAUGUAAGCAUAGAAAACAUAACAUGUGGCCCUAGCCAUGGUAUAAGGUACUUUUGCAUUUUACUCCCAAAUUAAACUUUCCUUUACAAUUCAGUCCUCCAAAUUUGUGCAAAUCAUAGCAAAAAUAAAAAGAAAUAAAAAUGUAUCUUGCAGCAUUGGGAGCCUUGGAUUGCACAAUUCUCAAGCAUGUGUCUCCAACAUAACAGUGAGGAACUCGAAAAUCCGACACUCGGACAACGGGCCCAGGAUCAAGACCUGGCAGGGCGGCACGGGUGCGGUCUCGGGCGUCCGGUUCGAGUCGAUCGUGAUGGAGAAUGUGAAGAACUGCAUCGUCAUCGACCGGUACUACUGCCUGGCCAAGCAGUGCUCGAACCAGACGUCUGCGGUCUACGUGUCGGACGUGUCGUACGCCAGCAUCAGGGGGGUCUUACGACGCGCGGGGCGUGCCAGUGCGCUUCGCGUGCAGCGACGCGGUCGCGUGCACCGACAUUGCGAUGUCGGACGUCGAGCUGUUGCCCUAUCAAGGGGAGAUGGUGGCUGAUCCCUUUUGUUGGAAUGCUUAUGGGGCCAUGGACACAAUGACCAUACCCCCUAUGUAUUGCUUGCAGGAAGGGAGGCCUCAGUCUCUGCAAGAGAACCCUAUUAUUGGUUGUUGAUGUGGAAAAUUCGAGGGGCGGCCUCAGUCUCUUGACUUUCAAAAAAUUAUAUUUUAUUUUAUUCUCUCAAAAUUUUAAGCUGAUACACUUACUCAACCCCUUUCCAUCAUAGUUCUGUCACUGUUCCAUUUAUUUUUUAUGAUUUAAAAUUAGAUAUACCGAGAAUGCCCUAAAAAAUGACAAGAAUAUAUUAAAAAAUUAAUCCUUUUCCUCUAGAAUAAGUAAGGGCAUUUUGGUGAUCUCGUUCUCUCUGUUAAAGCUGUAAUCCCCUAAAAGCAUUUCUCAAAUUUUGAGGGAAAAAAAAUAAAAAUUGUUAAAGUAAAAAAAAAAAAAAAGAAUAAACGAAAAUUUACAUAGAGAUUUUUUGUAUUUUGGCCUUAAUUAUUUGUUUGCCCUGAAGUCACUACAGGUUAGGUAAAAAUUUAAUAGCUACGAUUAAUGCAUCUAGUAUUCAAUAAAUAGCUACAACUAAUGCAUAAAUGCAUCUAGUGUAGUUAGCUAAGAGCUUAAUGAUUGAUAUUCGAUCGAAAUCUAGUAACUUUAUAUUUCUUGCUAAGUCUAUUUUUAAAAAAUGAACGAAAUACAUAACAUACUAUCUUUCUCUUUCUCUCCACACACACGCACUUUUUUCUUUUUCUUUUUCUUUUUCUUUUUUUCUGGUGGGAGAUGAAUAAUGUUUGUGGGGAAUGAGUCAUUCAUAGGCUUGUUUCAAAGGGAACAUUUUGAUUGUACAUAAUGAGAAAAUGUGGUUUGAGAAAGCAUGUAAAGAUCAAUUUUUCUAUGUUUAAGAGUUUUACUAGAUUGUAUAUUCAGAGUCAUCUCAGCUUUAACUCGAUUGUAAUUUAACAUCUGAAAUUUAGAAAGUGUAAAUUUACCAUAUGAACAAUCAAUUCGUUGUAAUUAAUUGAUUCGAACAAAUUUUUUGUCAAGUUUUUUGGUACAAUGUUAACAAGUAAUUGUGAAGCUACAUGCAAAAAUAUGGCGCGCCACCACCUCUUCUUCUAUUACAUUUUCAACUCAACACGCAAAUUUCAACCAAAUAACAAAUCACCACCUAAAUAUUAUCCAGAUUAUUAUAUAUCUAAACUCAAACAUUUAACUGUUAGCUUAAAUAGACCAGCAUCCUGCCCUUUGGCGGGAGGCCACGUUGGGCCGAGUCAUAUUCGAAAUGGCGUGAGGUUGAGUAGGUCGAGUCAUCUUCGAAGUGGCGUGAGGCUGGUUCGACCAAGUCACAAUCGAGACCCGUGGGCGCUGUAUCUGUACGCUUUAAGUGAAUUGGUUGCGUAUUUCUAACAGCUCAAGCUUUUAGGAUAAUGGUUAGUGCCAACGAUCCGGCAAGUUGUUUCAGAGUCAGAGGUCACAGGUUCGAUUCUCGCAUGCUGUAAAUAUGUGCAGGUGCUGGAGGAGGGAUUGUUGGCUUAAAUGGGCCAGCAUCUUGUCCUGUGGCGGGAGGCCAUGUUGGGUCGAGUCAUGUUCGAAAUGGUGUGAGGCUGGAUAGGCCAAGUCAUGUUUGAAGUGGCUUAAUACUGAUUGGGCCAAGUCACAAUUGAGACCCGUGGGCGCUAUAUCUAUACACUUUAAGCAAAUUGGUUGCGUAUUUCUAACAGCUCGAGCUUUUGGGAUUAAUGGUCAGCGCCAACGAUCUGACAAUUUAACUUCCAUGUUUCAAAAUUUUAAGAAAAAAAUUUCCUGUCAAGUGGCAUUCAUAUGCUGAUCACGAUUUUCAUAGAGAAUUAGUUGUUUUCUAAAGUAAUUAUAAAUUUUCCAAACUCACAGCCUCGAAUUACAUCUAUAUCAAAAGUUUGGACAGUUUCAGGGCUUUAGAUCCUCCAAAAUACUGUCUUUAUGAGUUAUUAUUAUGUCGGCAUACAUAAUGUGGAGAGAUCCUUGAUUGACUUAGGCAUCUGAUGUAAAAAUAUCACAUAUAUUUGCUGACAAAUCAGUAAUCCAUAAGCGUCACAUUCUGAGGUCUCAAAAUCUGUUUCACAAUCAACCGUAGCCAUAGAUCUUCACACAAAUCAUUCUAUUUAGAUUCAGAUAAAUCGAAUAUAAAUUAAUCGACCAAGUUUUGACCCUUACAAAAAGGCCUUCUUUGUAAUAAUCAUAAUGCGUAAGGGAUACUUUAAACUAAUCAUAAUUGAGAUGAUAAAGAGUCGACCUAUGGGCAAUAUAGUAAUUUUAUGUAAAAGUGACACUUGAAAAAAUAUUAUAUUUCUAUACAAUAUGAAAAAUAAGGCACUCAGAACGCUGAACUAGAAUGCUAUUGAUACAGUAAAUAAAUAAUGAUUAUCAAAUAGUAAAGCCUAGAUAUUCAAGGACUAAAAAAUUAACAACAAAUGCUAUUUUUUUUUGCCAUCAAUAGUAUUCCGGCGACACCAAGGCUCUGCAUUUAUGCACCGCAUUAUUUUUAAUAGCUCUUGAAAUUUUUUUCUCAUGAAAAUUUACUUAUUCAAAUAGUUUACUGUUUUAUAAUGAUGGUAGAUGAUUCACUGCUUUAAGGAUAUUAAUGGGUAUAGAUAUAUGAAAUUUUAUCUGAUGCUAGAUGGAUAUAGUUUCGAAUACGAGUAUAAAAAAUAAAAAUUUGACGAAUUUGGAUUCAGAAAUGAAUUUUGUCUGAACACGGCAUGAACCCCAAUUGAUUAUACAUUAAAUAAUAUAUAUAUACAUUAAAUAAUAUAUGUAUGAUAUUUUGAUAUUAUAUUUAAAAUUUUUAUUUUAAAAAAUUAAAUUUAAUGUAAUAUAUUUUGAAAUACGGUAAAGAAAAAUAAUUGUUUUAGGUUCGGAUUCGGAUUUUGAAGAUAUUUGAUUUUUUAAAAAACCAUCGUACUAGGAUUCGAAUUCAGAUUUCGGAUUUGGUGGUCUGUUUCGCUGGUUUGGGUGUUUCAAAAUUCAUCGUGAAUCCGACCCGUUGACAUCACUAACUGGCUUUCCCAAAUGCAGUAUCGGUUCGGAUUCAGGUAAUGAAUUAAAUCCGACCCGGAUCCGGGCUAACUCUGUUCAUGUUUAUUCCAAAAACCACUGCCUCUCCUCUCUUCUCUCCUUCUCUUCUCUUCGCCGCCGCCGCCGCCGCCGCCGUCGCCGCAGCUCUUCCACCGCCGGCGCCGUCGCCGCCGCUCCGCCACCGCCGGCGCCGCCGCCAUUGGAGGUGCGAUCUUCAGUUCUCCCCUUAAUCGCGAUUCAGUUUUGCGAUUUGAUUCCGAGAACCCGCUCGAAUCUUUUCGGUAAUUCGUAGCCCGCAGAUCCUAUCGAUCGAUCGAAUCCUAGUUUCUUGGAUCAAAUGGCGUUGUCGAGAUGAUCUCGUUAGGGUUUUGUGUUUUUCGCUUUAUUUUUUUGAAAAAAAUUUAAUAAAAACCCUAAUUUGUGCUAUUGAAUGCUAAUUGUGUUGGGUGGCAGAGUCAAAAAAAAAAAAGAAAAGAAAAGAAAAAAGGAGAUGCCCUCGCUUCAGACGGCGUUACCUCCUGAGUUGGCAGAUAACGUAAUCAGGGUUAGGGUUUCUAAUCCAAUUCUUUUAUUUCCUUUUACAUUAUAUAUAUAUAUAUAUAUAUAUAUAUACAAAAGAUUUUUUAUUUUUAAGAAAAGAUCUCUUUUUGUAUAGUGCAUUUGCAGUUUACUAUCGUCUGGUUCAAGAUGUAGAGAUUCUAAAAGGGUAGCAGAGUGUUGCAUUUUAUGAACCCUAGGGCAGUAAAGUGAAAUAUAUAUAUAGGCCAUGGCUACUAUACUAUUAUGAGUAUUGGAGCUCUCGUACUCAUAAGUUGUUUUCGAUGAUGGAGCUUCCAAAUCGACGAUCCACUCCGUUAUCCACUCCGUUAAAUAUCAUCUAGAGUAUUUGAAACUUCUAGAAAAUAAAUUUCGUAAAUUUUCGAAAUCAUAAUAAAGUCCAUCAAGCGAGCAUAAAAUGAACGGUCAAAAUCGAACGGCGUCCUAAAAAAGGAUGAUCGGAUCCUUCAAUUCAAGAUCGGAGUUAUUGAUUUUUAUCUAGGUAGUGAAUAGAAUUUUCUAUCAAAAAUUCAACAAAUUCCGAUUCUUUUACACCGUUAAACUAGCAAGUAUCCCAUACCGGCCGUUAAAAAUUGUCAAAUUUGUGACCUCUUGAUCGUAAGGUAAAUGAUCUCGAAAAAUUAUAAAAUUUGAUUUCUAGAAGUUUUAAAUGCUGUAAAUAAUGUUUAACGGUAUGGAUCGUCGAUUCGGAAGCUCUAUCAUCGAAAACGAUUUAUGGGUACGAGAGCGAUCGUACUCAUAAUAGUAUAGUAGCCCGGACCCUAUAUAUAUAUUUAUAUAUCAAAAGGAUUAGUGUUUAGGCUUAGGAUUUGGGGUUUAGAGGGGCAUUGAUGAUAGUUUUAUAUGUUUAGAGGGGGUAUUAGUGAUAGUUUUGGAUGAUUCGUGGAGUAUUGUUGGUAUUUUAGAUUUUGGAGGGGCAUCUAUGAUAUUAUGUGGUGGUAAAAACUGCUACAUUUUACCGCACUAUGGCUUGUAAAAUGUAGUAUUUUGCUGUCAUCUUUAAUGAUAACUCGUUAUAGAGAAAAACCAAAAUAGAAUCCGAUUUGGGGGCAAAAUGUGCGCUACAAUUUAAAAUCACAGACCGGCAAAGUUCUGCCUUUUAUGAACCAUAGAUCGGUAGGGUGCAAAUCAUAGGGUGGUAAAAGGCGCUACAUUUUACCGCACUGUGGUUUAUAAAAGGUAGCACUGGGCUAUUAUUUUGAAUGGUAAUUAGUUAUGGAGAAGAAAUAAAGUCAAAACCAUGAGAGGGCAAAUUGCUAUACCUUGAACCACUGGGUAGUAAGCUACAAAUGCGGUAUAACACAUGGGGGUUUUCGAAGUUUCCCCCCCUUUUUUUUCAACUUUUUUCAUUAGAAUUUUUUACCAAAUCUUUUUCUGAAUGAGUAAAUUUAUGUGUGUUUUUAUGUUGUUUAUUUAUGUAACUGCAGUUGUACCGCGAAUGCCUUAGGAGAGCUAAGUACAUUGGUCAUCAGGUUUGCCUUAUUCACACCAUCAUUGCUCUUUUUUUUCGCCUUUUCUGGUUAUUUUCUUUUUCUUUUUCCUUUUUUAUUAAGUCUCUAGUUUGUGAGGGACAGAAAAGGUUGACAUCAAUUUGUUUUGUCAAAAUAUUUGAUAGAAUUAGCGCCUAUAAGAACGACGACAUUGUUCCUCUGAUAGAAAGUCCAAAUCGUGUUACCUUUUAAUGUUUAAGUUUGACCAGGAAUAUGCAAAUAUGAAAGGUUUAUCCUUACUUGAGAAGAUGAGUACGUUCCAAGCAUAUAAGUAACGGUUGUUCUAUAGGAGGCCAAUUUUGGACUUGUUAAUUGUUUAUGGUCAUUGAACAUUUGAGAUGUGAGAACAAUGUGUUGUUGCCAGUAGUCGUGCGCUCUUAUGUGCCUAUCUUAAGUAACGAUCUCUAUACUUGAUAUAAGGGCAUGUUAGUAAUGCCAAGUUUAUGUUGAUAACUGUAGCGCCCUUUCUGUACCAAGUGGCUUUGAUUAGCUAAGGCUAAAUUUUAAUCUUAGGGCCAGUUUGGAUGCGAAGUGUAAAAAAAAACUCCUUGGAGUUUAUAAAUUGUGGUUUAAAUAUAGAGAAAAUAGAGAAUCUUGUGACUCUCUAGGAUUCCAUAAUUUUAUAUUUCAAGCUAUUUGGUUACACCCUUUAUAAUUCUACAGGAUUUCUAAUAACUUGAUUUCUUAUGCUUCGUUCUCCUUGAGCUAAGAUCUAAUGUAUAACUGAUGCAAAACUAGGACAUUCUUAAUUCUUGAAGAUACAUUGCCUCUUCUUCCUCAAACUGUACAUUUGGUAAUUAAGUUUCUGCAUGACUAGUUGGAUUAUUAUAUUAACAUCUAAAAUCUAGAGAGAGAGAAAGGAGCCUUACUAGUUAAGAGGGAACACCUCUUCGGCCAUGAUUAGAUCUAGAGAAAGAGAAAAAGAAAGAGAAAAGGGGGCAUGGCGGAAGAGGAAGCCUUGCAGGCGGCAACCGUGAUGGCGGCGGCAGGUAGGGGGCUCAGUUAGGAGGGAGAGAGGGAGGGGACAUGGGCAUGAGUUGGAGGUAGGAGGGGGUCGUGAGAAGGGGAGGGUGAGACGCGAUCAGAGCCAGAAAUUUGGAGUUUCUAAAUACAGAGAUAAUAGUAGAUGUUUACUUUAUCCCUUUUUUUCAGGGUAUAUUUUUAACUAUACUUUAAAAAAAGGUUGUAUUUUGAUCCAUCCAAACACUUUACAGGAUUAAUUUCCUAUGGAUAUAGAAUAGUUUAACUAUGCUUUGUUUUUUGGUGCAUCCAAACGGGCCCUUAUUCUAACCUCUUCAAGAUGUGAUCCUAUAUGAUUUGAACAUUUAUCUUUCUUAAUUCUGAUCAUUUUGUCUCAAUGUUCUCGUGAACAACCACUUCAUCUUUUUGUAUAUUGAAUCUAUCCUGCACGAAACAAGAUGGAUGAAACUUCAGUCGGAAAUUAUCGAAUGAAAAAUCUCAACUUAGCUUUGGAAAUUAACUUGACCGCCGAAAUUCAGUAUUAACCUAAUUUACUGAAUUGUAAUAACAUUACCCAUCUCGCCACCUUCCAUUUUCUGUAUUUUUCUUGACUUCGUAUGUCCCUAGACUCCAUUGCCUGCUGACAAUGUCUUCUAAAUCUUAAUUAGGUAAUUGCCUGGUUUUGCUUUUGUUGUGGUAUAUGCUUGGUUUAUUUUCGAAUCUUGAGCUAACAUAGGAUUAUAAAGUAGAUUAAAAUCAUAUUAUGAUGCCUUUUCCAGUAAGUGCAGUAGCACCAGGUCAACCUUAUAUUUGCCCGUUCAUCUCAUCUCACCUCUUUGUAAACUCUUUGUAUUUAUUUCGUUGGCUCGUGUUGAAGCCUUGAGUAGCGUUGUUUAUCCUCAUUAUCCCGCAAACCAAGCUGUCAUUUGCCAGAUUAGACAAAGGUAGUUAUGGUAUUGCCAAAAGUUAGAAGACUUUUUCUCUACUGAAGAGUUAUUUUUCUGAAUUAUCAGAAUAGCAUCCUCCUUAUAGAUGUCCUUCGUUUUAUCCUGCAAAAAGUGAAAACUAUUCCAAUUAUCCUUGUAGACAUUGCGUUUAUCAUUGUAUCUAACAAGAAUAUCAGGCCCACUGAAUGGGCGGGGACUGUAUGACGGUGCGGAUCCCCCAACUAUGUCCUCGCAACAAGCUAAAUUUUCUUUCUCUACUUUUAUGGAGAAUUCAAAUUUUGCAACGUUGUGUAACUCUCUCUCUCUCUCUCUCUCUCUCUCUCUCUCUCUCUCUCGCAUAUGCAGCAACACAAUACCGAGGCUGUUGUUAGCAUGGUGAGGCAACAAUUCAAGAAACACAUGCAUGAAACUGAUUCCGAGAAAAUACAGAAGUUGAAGGAUGAGUAAGUUUUUUUCAUUUUCGACUCAUCACUCUGCAUCUUUUCUAGAUUAGUAGUCAUUAAUUUCCACAACCUAUUAUGACUACUGCCUAUCACUGCAGCGCCGCAAGGGGGCUUAUCAAUCAUAUGCUCUACGAGUCCGAGAAGAUGUCCGGCCGCAAGUUCUCCAGCUCCAAAUGAUCGUCACAAACUCCCCGCGACGUGUCUGCUCGGUUGAAAUACUUCGCAAGCGGGAGCUUCAAAGCUGUCCGCUGAGAGUUGUUCGACAUUUUCUAAUUUAUUCGCUAGUCUCGAACCAUUCGCUACUGCACUCAUAAAGCAUUUCAUUCCCGUUCUCUGGAUUGCACACAAUUUUGAUGUUAAGAUGCAAUGAAUCCAGAGUUUGUAAUUGAAUUCCGUCUCUGUUCAUACCUGGGGACAGAAAUAUGCUUAAGACAUGCAGAUCUCCUGAGUAGCUUUUUGCUAGCCCUGGAUAACCACAUGGCGCGAUGAUUCUGUAUUAUAUGGUUUUGAUGGUUGAAGGGGGAAUAAUCUGUAACUAGGGUUUGACAACAACUAUAUUAUCAGUGGAUGCUGCUACUUCUUUGAUUGGCAGAAACAAAGACAUUUGGUUUCUCUUUUGGGAAAAUUGUACUAGGGACACCUAGGGAUGCAAACGGGGCGGAUCCGGAGGCGGGAGAGUUUUCCCACCUCCCGCUCCAUUUCUUAUCUGGGCGGGGCGGAUUCGGGGCGGAUUAUUUUUCAUUUUAUUUUUGGCUCCCACUUACCGCUCCAUUCGGGGCGGAUUGGGGCGGGAGCGGAUUUUUAACGAAUCGGGGUAGAUUGAAGGAAGAAAAGAGUUUUCCGUCUCCCGUUCCAUUUACUUGGCGGAUCGGGGCGGGUUAUAUUUUUCUAUAUUUUUUGUUUCCACUUACCACCCCAUUCGGGGCGGAUCUGGACGGAGCUCCACCAACCCGGAUCCAUUUGCAUCCCUAGGGACACCCCCCUUGGACUUCAGCUUUUUUUGUGAACAGGCGUCUAAAUUUUCAAUUUUAGCAAUUAGAUUAAUUUUAAAAAUCUUAUCAAAUAAUUUAGUAGACUUUUCUCUCCGAUUAAUGAUGUUAAUUACAUAAUGGUUUCGGUUGUAUGUAUUGUAUAUAUUUUUGAGUUUCCAAACGCAAAAAUGAUAACUUUUUUGUACUCUCUAAAAUGUAAAACAGGUGGUCAAAAUUGAAAGUCGUUGUUCAACCCUCGUACUUAAUUAUUAAAAGUGGUAGAGAAAAAAAAAGAUAUCAAGAAGAGAAGAGCCUAUUUGAAAAGAAAAUCAAAUUGCCAAAAUGUCGAAAAGAAAAAAGAAAAAAGAAAAAAAACACAUAUCCUACAAAUCAAACUAGUAUUGCCUUCGUUACAGGUUUAACCAUUUUGCUCCAUGGAAGACAUUUAUUUUCCUGUUAAAUUUAUUUUUUUAUUUUUUUAUUUUUUUUUGAGAAAUAGAUAGCUUGCUAUCCGCUUCAUUCAUUAGGAAAAUAAACUAGGCUUACAUAAUGGAGGCAGCCAGGACCUCCGAAGGAGAGAGUGACAAAAGUGAGAAAAGAAACGAAAACAAAGACAAAGGGUAGAAGAACGGAAGCGAAGAAGCAUAUCCCGAAAAAUCGAAGUAAUCAACGUGGAGCGGUCCAGAUGUCCAGCAAAAGCUUAAUCCGAUCCAGGCACCAGGUAGGGUUGAGGGCACUGUCUCGAAAGAUUAUAGCAUUCCUUUCCGUCCAAACUACCCACCAGAUGGCAGAGAGGGUUGAGAGAGAAGAAAGUCUCUCGUUGGUGUCUUUGAGACUGACUAGUUUAGACCAGAGAUCUCUCACAUCGUCAGAGGACUCGGCCAGGGCUUCCAAACCGCCAACGCUGAGCCGUAUGAAGCGAACAAAAAUAUAGGGACUCAUGAGAUGGUCGCAGUUCUCAGGAUAAACGGCACAGAAAAUGCAAGGUUGGUUCGCUAACCACCCUUGUUUGUGGAGCCUAUCUGCGGUGGGGAUCCUCUUCCGAAGUAGUAGCCAUAAGAAAACUUUGAUCUUUAUCGGUAUCUUCAAAUUCCAAAUAUGUCGACCUAAAGGGUCCCACUUUCCUGAGUUCGUGAGGAAGCGGUAAAGGGACUUGACUGAAAACUUUUGGUUAGAGUUCCAACACCAGGUUAUUAGAUCCGAAACCUGGGCAGGGCGAAUGGUCUGAAGCGAGUCCAGUAGCAAUUCCUUUUGUCUACGAUAAUCCUCAGAGAGAGGCUCCGCUGGACCACGACAAAUGUACUGCCACCUGUCACGGCCUUAGCGUUUCUGUUCGCAAAGCCCGUACGGCGCCCGCCUUCCUACUCGAAGAUGGGCAAGCCUUCGUCCCUGUUGCUAACCUGGACCUUCGCGUCCUACGACUAAGUAUGCAAAGGGAGUGACAGAAAGAGAGAGACAGAGGUUCACUCAAAAAUACUUAGCACUCCACUACUUAGAAAAAGAGAUUACAACACACAUACACACUCCCUCUUGUGUCCUUUUGGCCUUAGCCAAACCCCACUAUAUAUAGACUCCUAGAUACAUUGAAUCUAGCUUACACUAACUCUCUCGUUAUGACACACAUUAACUCACCCUCAUAAUGACCCAUAAGUCCAAAAGUCACCCUAUUAACUCUUGGGAGUUUCAUAACCCUUAAACUUCCAUCAUUGAUGGGAGAAGUUACAAAACCCUUGUCUCCCACAGCGGGUUGAGUUUGGAUCUCUUUGACAACCCGAUUCAACCCAUUUUCAACCCGUUUCGCUGGCAGAUUUGGGCCACUGUCAAGGAAAAGUCAGCGGGAAACAUUUUGUCCGUGACACACCGCCAGCCAUUAUUUUCAACUUCCCUACACAUCUGACCUAACAUCACCUUUAACAUAAGACUCAAAAAUCUUGGCCUCAACUUUCCUAGGCCAUUCUUGUAUUUUUCACCUCCAGCAUAAGCUUUACCAUCAACUUAAAAGCGGAGAGAGAGAGAGAGAGAGAGAGAGAGAGAGAGAUCUAAGAAGACAUGUCAGGAAACACCUAGAAUAAGCACUUCAUCUCAAAUGAACACCAGAAACUUACUACCUAAAGCAAGAAAACAAAAACAGAGAUGGUGUUUUUUUCUUUUUUGUUAUAUUCAAAUAUGAUGACAGGAAGGUUGAAGAAAGAAAGAAAAAAGAGAACAAAAAGAAACUAUGGCAAAUCUGUUGAAUAUAUUUUCCUCCGAUUCAAAGAGAAAUUUUUUUUUUUUUAAAAAAAAGCAACAAAAACAAAAACAAGAAGGAAAAGAAAAACUCAAAACCUCUGAUGAAUAAUAUCCGGCGAGAAUAGACGGAGUGCCCGAUUCGAAUCCAAAGAACCCAUACCAUCACAAAUACUAUAAUCAGAACCAUGUGAGAGGACACUACCACCAUUUCUGUUAAACUUUUGCUCUUUCCCCCUUUCGAAGAUUCUUCUAGUAUCAACUUAAAACGAUCCCCGCACAGAAACUUCUCAUGUUGAUUCGCCGGUCUUCUGAACCCUAAUAUGCAUCGAGCCGAUCUUUACGACAUCACCCGAAAAGCUCGACGAGUCGGCUUCUUCGCUUACACUAGAACUGAUCGAGAGGGAGCUGACUUCCCCGGCGAGGUUGCCUACUACCUGGGCAGGGUCAGAACCUCCUCUGCCGUCGGGGCCCAAAUCGACUGGUUUGCUAUUUGGAGGGCUAAGCACUUUAACCUGCCGGUAGGUAACGCCAUUACGCUUUUUCCCUUCCGGCUUUCGAGACUGAUCAACCGCAUUAUCUUCUUUCGCAAGUUUAACAACAGUAUCAUUUGAUUGCUUUCCAUCCACUCGAGGCUCUUUGUUCUUGUUCGAAGGCCGAACAGCAGUAGUAGACUUUGAUUUGUCCCCGUCUUCCGUCCGGAGCUGAUCGACACCAUCAGCUUUCGGAUUCUCAACAGCUGCUGCAUUUUGCUGCUUCUCUUCAGCUUCUGGAAGACGCUCAGCUGUAACAUUCGGCUGUUCCCUGUUUUCUCCCGAAGAACGGCCUGCAUGAGAUGCCGAUUGAUUAUCAUCUGAUUGUGGAGUUUGGUCGAAAUUACCGUCCUGCCGCUUCUCGUCUGCGCUUUGAGGCCGGUUCGGAAUAUCGAUUUCUAGUGUGUGAUCUGAACUCGGAUGCUUCUUGGGGGAGGCAGUUACUACACGCUGAGUAGCAAGAGUAGGUGUGAAGAGAGGGGCGUCAUGGCUUCUUAGGAGCCUGAAUCUUCUUUCCUUGUUACUUUUCUCCAGCUCUUCGUACUUUGGGAAGUCAUCGAGAAUGCUUUCCCUCAACAGACUGCUCUUAAAGAUUUUAAGCAUAGUUGUGCCCGGAAUGUACAUGACCUGUAUCCAGAGAAGUCAUAAGCACAGUGAUAAUACAAAAAAGUGACUCGGUCGGAACAAUGAAACAUUAGCAUGAGUCAAGGUUAGAUGAAACUAGGAAGUUCAAUGAUCCUAAGUUAGCAAUUAUCCAGCAUCCAAAUACAAAAAAAAAGAGGAGAAAAAUUCAGCUAUAAAACAUGGCUAUGCUAAUUAUUCGUGAAUCGCAAAAUAGAUGGACGUUCAGGUUGAGGUUGAAUUUGUUCGGAAGGAAAAAGUUGGUAUCAUAGUUAUACAGAGAUGCAAACAUAAAUUAAUAAUUACAUCAUACAUAUUAUUAAUUCCAUACAUCAGUGUAUUUUAGAAUGUAUAAAUGAUCAUGUCUUAGUAUUUUGUAUGUAUUGUGCGAAAUUAGAGGCUUUCUUUUAAACAUGUAUGAUUUUAAUUUUGGUAGAAAGAGAAAAUGAUGGGGUUGAUUACAAAUUAGCCUUAAACUUCACCACAGGCUUCAAUUUGGUUCUCAACAGUUAUAUCGACUCUGAUUUCAUUUUCGUACAGCCUAAGUUUCAUUUUUUGUCAUUAGUUUCUAACUUUAACAAACAAAAGUCUACAGAUGGGGCAAGUGCAGCACUUCUCCGGAUGGUAGAUUAAAGAAAGAGUCAUAAUUAUUAUGAAGAAUAAACAUCAGGGACUAGAUUGUUAUAAUCUAAGAAGCGUGAAAUUGAAACUCUGGUCAAAUGAGGGGACCGAAUUUUUGUCGACCUCAUUUUUAAAUUUAUUAGCACGCAAAUAACCAGCACAACCAAGAGCUCAUAUAUUGAUACAAUAAAAAAAAUUAGGGUAAGCAUCCAACUUGCCUCUUGGGUAUCUCUGCUAUGAGUUACGGGUUUAUUCUCAUUGUUUUCUAGUGUGAUUUGCCGAAAGUUAGUGUUUGGCACAUCCUUGAUGAUGUGCCAUUUGACGGAGAAGCUACCACUCCAUUUAUCUUGCUGCCAAAAAUCCAUGUCCCUUUGGAAAUCCACACGACCCAACAUCUCGGCAACACCGCAGAAUCUCCCACUGCCAUUAACCUGAGAUUAAAAUUUGCUCAUUAAGGAAUAGAAGUAUAAUAGAGACAAGGAAUUUGACAUAUAAAUAGAGCCCUACAAAAUCCGGAAAUGGCCACUUACGGAGAAGAACAGAAAGACGGGGCAGUUGACACCCUUCAAAGCAGAUAACCUUUGAGCAUCUUCGUAUGCAGCAUCCAGUUUCUUGUUCCCAUUGGGCGUGCUUGACCAUACAUUAUACUUAAUGCUCUUGUGAACAUCGUCCUCGCUGUAGGAUUUGAUGAUAAAAAAUUUGGCAUAUGGAUACUCGACUGGAAAGUCAUCUCGGUUGUAUUGAUCGGUUUUUAUGACAAUGAUUCCUUGUGGAUUAGCGAUGGUUAGUUUAGACGUAUAGGACUUAACGGUGAUCGACGAAGUUGGCUGAUCUCUGACCCUAUUUGCUGUAGUGCUAAAUGAAUGUGGUCUUCCAGCACUGUCAGCAGGCUUCAUCUUAUCAUUUGGGAUAAACUUACGAGAAUUAGAUCCAAAGUGCAUAAGGCUAUUGUUCAUUGGGAAUUCCACUUUCGAUGAAGGUUCAAAUGAAGGAAUUCUCCUGUUGAAAAAUUGCUCUGUUGCAUGGACAGGACCCGAAGAAUUGCCAGCUAGAAACUGGAACGCAAAAAUAUAGCAAAUGAAAGACAUGUUAAGAGCAGGCAAAUGGUAACUAACCAUAAGAAGAAAAGGAUAGCCAAGAACACUGCUAAUUAAUUCAUUAGUACUCUGCUAAUUAUUUACUUAAACCCAUAUACCCAACUCGUCCUUCAUCCUGCACUUGGGCGUCAAUCGUUUAAAUCCAAUCUACUCAUAUGCUAACCUUAAAAGGAAUGUAACAAGAUCACUAAGAGUAGGCUCUGCCCCAUACAAUAUCAUUAACAUAAAAUAUUUUCUUGCAUUCCAUAGGGAAACUACCUCCCUUCCACACACAUGCAGAGAUGCACUUAUGUUAAUAUAUGCAUACGAGUAUAUAACAGAGAGUGUGUGUAUAUAUAUAUAUAUAUGAGUACCUGGGUAGCCUGCUGACUCCCAAGUUGUGUGGCUGACUGCUUUCUUGGUGCCAAAUUAAGUAAUGAUCCGUUUGAAGGGAGUUGAAACUGCUGGGAAGAAGAAAAGGAAUGUUCCAAUGUUGGAUUAAGUAAAGAAGCCCUCUGUGAAUCUACAGGAGCGGUCGCAGAAACUAAUGGAGCAGAAUUCUUCAUCCCUUCAGCAUCAGCUUUACUGGGAACCGAUGUGAAACCACUGUACAAGGACUGAUCAGAAGUGCCAUGAGGGACAAACUCCGUGCCAGUUGGAAUAACUGGAAAAUAGGAAGGUGAAGUAAUUUGUUGAUGGUAAGCAGGGUUAGUUAAGUAUUGCUGCAUUCCUAUAAUUGAACCAUCAGGGCCUACAACGGAGCUAGGCAUGUAAGGAUUGUAUGGGUUGUAAUGAGACUGUGGAUAUCCAUAAUUAGGUGCAUAAUAUACAUAUGGUGAGCCUUCAGCCUGUGGACCCUGUGGAAGUUCAAGAUGCAAUGUCAGGAAAUAAUGGGAGGAAACUAACUAACUAGAGAAAAGUGGAAAAAUUGCUGGAGCUUAUGAGAAAUGUCGUAAAGUUGCUAGGAAAAGGCAGUAGCAGCUUCCAGUUGACAUGCCCAUUAGAAGUAGAAGCUUCAAAUUAAAGCUUCUGCUUUUAGGGUUUGACAACUUAUUUUGGUGUCCCACUUUAGUAAGAUCAGGAUUUUUCGGCAUGCCAAUCUCAUAAUUAACAAUUUUUAGAGUAGAGAAACUUCUCUAGAAGCCAGAGCGAAUAGGCCCUUAAACUUACCACGUAAUGAAGAUCUUGACCAUCUGAUACAAAAACACUUUGGUGGUCAUCCCAUGCACCAGGUGCUUCAGCUCCUGCACAAGAAAGUUAUUGAGAGUUGGACAAUACAUUCAAUGUGUAAUAGUACUCUUCAUGAUUUAAGAUGGUUAUUAUAUCCGAAAUUCACCUGUACUGUAAUAUCCAUAGUAGUCAGUAUUAGGAGGAUAGUAUAGAUCCUGGCCAUAUAUGACCUCAGGUGCAACUUCACUACCGGAAAAGCCAAUCUCUUUAGAGGUAGUAUCUUGAUGCAUAAUGCAGUCUUUGAACAACCAAAGGUCCUGAAAACAGAAAAUAAACCAAAAAAUAUUACUACUGAGUACUUAACUUAAAGGCUCAUGCAAUCUAAUGGGUUAACACAAAUCAUAACAUUAACCAAGCCGUAAACCCUACACUAAUAUCCAUUCAAAAGAAGAAAAUUGCAAUAAUUUGUAUGUGAAUGCCAGAAGUGCUCAAAUUUGGUCAUUUCCAGCAAACACCGCUGGAGUAUGACUAAGCCAAUCAUUUGUUCUCAAUAUCUUGAAAGUAGAUUUCCUAUUGCCUAAAGUUCCAAAACAUAAAAUGUUUCAUAUUGCCUAAAGCAAGGUUUUAAGUGCCCGUCGACACGGGCCGUAUCUACGGUGCCGUACCUACGGUGCCGUACCGUGCCAACAAGACAUUGGCACGAUACAGACUCCAUGCCAAUGGCACAGCUCAAAACUCUCUAUUCUUUAAAUUAGUAAAUAAAAUCCUCAAUAAAGUUCAAAAGAUAUGAUAAAAAGAUAUAAUAAAUAGUUAGGAUAUUUUGUUGCUAAAGAAAAUAAAUAUUUCAUACUAUUAUGUGUCGGCACACAAGAAUUUUUUUGACCGGCAUGCCCGGCACGCACAGUGCCGUACCGUACCGUACCGGCAAGUUUCCGGCACGAUCCCCUACCACGGCACUUAAAUCCUUGACCGAAAGUUUCAAAACAUAAAAUGAAAUUGAAUUACACAAUAUAUUAAUCAGCCAACCAAUUGAAUUUACAUAAGAAAAUUAACAACCAGAUACAGAGGAAUAAACUAAACAAGAAGGGCAUUGGCAACUAUGCUUGUUCUGUAAUAUUUUUUACCUUUUCUUCAUUAAAUCCCGCAUAUUUCAAAUGCACUCGCUUAGCACACCAAUCAAGAAUGAAACAGCAUAAUGUGCAAUUACCAACAACCAAUAAUCACUAAAUCCUCCCAUGAUCAAAACCAAUUUAUUAAACAUAAAAUAUAACACCCAUGAAAGCAAAUCUUUAUCCAAGAAUUACGAUUCCAUCAACACAGGGAGCAAUCCAAUUGACCAAUUACUAACGCACCAACAAAGGGAGCAAUUGAAUCGACCUAGAACCCAAAAGAUCACACGAAAUCCGCCCAAAACCCAUCAGAUCAAGCCCAAAAACACGGGAUUAAAAUGAUUCUCGAGAUCUAAGAGGCCAAAACAACGAGGCAAAGAAGACCGGAGCUUACGGGAAAAGAGGGCCCGAAACAAGCCGGAGAUCGAUGAGAGACGACGAGGAGAUCCGCUCCUCCUUUCCCGAAACCCUAGCUAGGGUUUUACGCAGCUUUGGGGUCGAGAGAAUCGCGUCGAAAACCCUAACCCUAGAAGGAGAAUGGAUUCGAGAACGAAAGAGGAAAGAGAAAGAGAGAGAGAGAGAGAGAGCGUGAAAGGUCGACCCCGAUCUUCGGGGGCCCUUUUAUAGUUCUCUUUAAAAAUUUUAUCCCGAAAAUGCCCAUAAGUUUCUUUCUUUAUUUACCAACGUGCCCCUACGACCGCCAAAUUUGAAAAUUACUUAAUACUGAUGCGCGGUGGCGUUUCUGUAAAUAAAAAUUUAAAUGCGAGGGUAUUUUUGUCAUUUGUGGCGGACCUCCAUGAAUUGUGCGUGUUGACUUUGAGUUGACCAUGACACGUCGGAAGAGAUAUUUAAAGUGAGAAAAUUCAAAAAAUUUUGAAUCCAACAAAAUGUCAAUUUCUUUUGAAUAUUAAAUAAAUAACUUCUUCUACAAGAAAAAGAAAAAAUAUUAAAAUAAUAUUUAAUUUAAGGCAAUAAUUUUAAGUGAAAUAGGGUGUGAAACACUCUUCUUUUUUUUUGAAAAAACUUCAAAAAACCCCCCUGUGGUUUUGUGGUUUCUCACUUUGCCCCCCUGUGGUUUAAAGUGUAUCAAAUUGCCCCCUGUGGUUUCGUUUUUAUCUUUUCGGUAGCUUUUUCGUUAAUAUUUUAUUAAAUUAUUAUAUACAAAAAACUUCAGAUACACAUCUAGAUUUAUUAAAUAUUCACUUUAGUACCCUUUAAUUUUAACUUUAUCACUGAUUUAAGAAAAAAAUAUUAAAAUUGAUAAGAAAAAGAGAAAAAAGAAACUACAGGGGGGCAAAUUGAUACAUUUUAAACCACAGGGGAGCAAAAUGAGAAACUACGAAACCACAGGGGGGAUUUUUGAAGUUUUCCCUUUUUUUUUCUUUUGUUUGUUUGGAAAAAAUUGUGCAUAGACACCUGAAUUCUUAAUUUUUAACUAAAAGAUCCCUUAAACUUUAUGAUGAAAAAUGGGUUGCUUCUGAAAAUAAGGUUAUAAUAUUUGGAUGAUUAGAUUAAAAUAGCGAAAAUAAAAGUUAUUAUACUUUUAAAUUAAUAAUAUUUUAAUUAAUUAAUAUAAAAUUAUUGCUUAAAAAUAAUUUAAUAAAAUAAUAAAAGUUGUUAGCUAUGAAUAUUGUAUAAGAUAAUAAAAAAAUAUAUUAAUUAAUUAUAAAAUAUAACAAAUUUUUUAAUUAAUUAGUAAAUUUUUUAAUUAGUUAGAUGAUUUGUUAAGAAAUUAAUUUAAUUAGUCAAAAUAUUAAUUAGUUAGUUUACCAAUAUAAAUAUUAGUUAUUAGAUAAACACAUUAUUAAAUAAUUAAUUCUUAAUGAGCUAGUCGACCAUAAAUAAUAAAUUAACUAAUUACUUAACUAUUUAAGCAAUAGAUAAUGACGUAAAUAUAUUAAUUAGAUUAAUUAUCAAAUUAAUACAAUAAUUAAAAUUAGAUUUAAAAUUUUAAUUAAGUUUGUUCCUACUUAAGAACAAGUUUGUUCCAGAGAAAAGGGUGGAGUAGUUGUUCUAUCCUUAUUCCCCUUUUAAGAAUAUGAUAAAGUACAAGAAGUAAAUUAAAGGAAAAAAAAUGGAGUAAUUAAGAUGCGCCGUAAUGUGCGGGUUUUUUUUUUUUUUUUUUAGUCAUAAAUAUAGGGUUGACCAAACGCUUAAAAUUUACCAUUUACAAUUUAUAAAAAACAACUUCAGGGAAAAAAAAAAAAAGAAACUUGCAGGUGCAUUUGCAGUUACUGCAAUAGCACUUGACUGCUCUAUGAUUUUUCCAUUUUUCUUGAAAAAAAAAAUCAUCAUUAAACACUUAAUUUUUUUGUAUAUUUUGUUAUCAUGUGGUUUGUAUUCCUUUCUCUUUUUUUAUCCUAAUUAAUAAUACAUAAAGAUAAAGAAAUUUAGGGCGUGUUUGGUUCGAAGUCGGAGUCGGAAUCGGAAUCGGAAUGAAAAUAAGCUGGAAUCGGAAUCGGAAUGACUCAUUACCUAAUUCUGUUUGGUUCAUCACCUGAAUCGGAAUUGGAAUAAAUCAUUCCUAUUGUCGGUGUUUGGUUCAGAUGGAUAUAAAAACGUAAUCAAAUUAAUAUGCUAACAUUAUCUUUAUAAUAUAUUAAUUUAAAUUCAAAUUAAAUAUUAAAUAUUAGAAUUUUACAUCAAAAUUUUAAAAUAAUGUCAAAAUUUUAGAUCUAUUUUUUUUAAAAAAAAAAUUAAACUUUGAAGUUGAGUGGAUAAUUCAAAAUAUGAAACUAAAUUUAAGUUUGAAAUAAAAUUUGAAUAAACUUUAUGUAAAUUAAAAUUUUAAUUUAAAUUCAAAUUCAUAAGUUAGAUUCGAAAUACUUGAUUAAAUUUUAAUUUUUAAUUUAAUUUCAAAUUAAAAUUUAAAAUUAUAUAUUUAAUUUUUAAAUUAUAACUCAUAUUGUAAUUAAAAAAGUUGAAAAAAUAAAUUUAAUCCAAAUAAAUAUCCAUUCCGUCCGAAUUCAACUUCCAAUCCGGCCUUCUAGGCCGGAUUGAAAAAAGGCUGAUUGAGCGAUUCCCAUUCCACUCGGAAAUCGGAAUCGGAAUGAGACUCCCACGUACCAAACACCCACAAACGAAUUCACUCAUUCCCAUUCCGAUUCCAUGGUAAAAAAGAAAGCGAACCAAACACGCCCUUAAUUACUAUGCCCAAUGCAUUUAAUGUACUAAAUAAAUAUAAUGUACUUGAUAACUAAAAUUAUCAAUUUAAAUUAGAAAAUGUUCUCUUUUGGCUCUAGUGAGUUAUAUAAUGUUAAAAAAUAUAUAAAAUUUGAUUUCUAAACUACUUAAAUAUUCUAAAUUAUGAUUAACGAUAUGAAUCAUCAAUUCAUAAACUUCAUCAUUAAAAACAAAUAAUGAAAACAAAACGGACUUACGAAUUCAUAAGAGUAUAGUGGUCUCGAACUACAAACUAACAACCUUUAAAGGUUGAAAACGCGAAUCAAAAUGGAUCAUAUGUCAGAUCACUUCCAUUCAUUUUUACCAAAUAGAAUGCAGUAGGGAGAACAAUGGAAAAGUUAGGAAAUAAUAUGGAUGAUUUAAUAAGUAUUAACUUUAAAGCGAAAUAAGUGUGGACUGCAGUAGACCAUUAACUGUCAUCAAAUAUCAUCAUCCUGUUACUACAAACAAAACAUUUAAAACUCUAUCAAUUCCCCACCUUUCAAAGCACUGGUUCAGUUGUGGGGGAAAAAGUAAAGGAAAAGAAAUUUCAACUCCCCCAGAUCUGAGGGUUUCUUUUCCUGCUUUUUCCUAUUCACUCCCUCCCAUAAACUAUUGCAGAAAAAAAAAACACAAAAAGAGAGAGAGAGUAAAAGUAGAGAGAGAGAGAGAGAGAGAGAAGGGGGCAUGGCAAUCUCUAACAAAACAAUAUGAAUCCGGGGACAUAUUAGUUGUCAGGAGUUUGGUUUUGAUCUGAAGGAGGGGCAGCCUCGGCCGUGAAGCUGGGAAUUCCAUUACCAUCGGGGCCGGGAAGUUGAUCUGCCGUUUCAUUUCCAUGUAAAGAUUCACCAUCUGGGACGGGCGGCGGCGUCGGGGACAUAUCGCCUGUUGAAGGCAAAGUGAGAGGUUCGAUUUCGACAGCAGGCAGAGCUUCGAACUCAGACGACAUAGGUGGUUCGGAACUCGGGUUGACUGCUCCAGCAGCAGAAGUAGCGGCUGCUGCUGCUGCUGCUGCAGCUGGCAAUGUGUUGUCGUGGUCCGAACUGGGUAGCACAUCAAACAGACUGCGCCGCCUUGGCGUGUGGCUCUGGCUCGGUCUCGGGCUACGGCUCCGACUACGGGGACUCCUGCUCCUGCUCCUCGACCAGCUCCUGCUACGGCUCCGGCUUCUGCUUCUCCAGCUCCUGCUACGGCUUCUGCUCCUGCUUCUACUUCGUGUCCGACUCCUGCUCCUGCUCCGGCUGUCGUAGCUCCUGCUCCUGCUCCUGCUCCUGCUUCUGUCAUAAUCUCGACUGUAACUCCGGUCCCUGCUCCUCUCUCCGAAUCCUCUUCGCACAUCAUACCUCCCCCGCCCAUCUGAAUUUAUGGAUCGAUCGUUCGGGCCGCCACGGUCAUGCCAACCUCGGCCCCCACGGCCACCUCGCCCACCAAACCCGCGACCACCAGGCCCAUCUGAGCCACCAAACCCACGGCCCCCAGGCCCGCCAGGCCCACCGAAGCCCCGACCCCCCCUGGGUCCACGGCCGCUGUAAAAUUCUUGCCGGCCACCGCCACGCCCACCAAAGCCACCAACCCGGCCAUCCCUCAUGCCCCGGCCGCCACCCUCGCCUGAAUCCCAGCGGCUUGGACCCCUGCCUCCUCCGCCACGAGGCUCCCUGGGGAUUGGCGGGCCGCCGCGUGCGGCCAUUUCACGGAUCUCCGGCGGAACACGCUGAUUGGCGCCUUCAAGGACUUUGAUUAGAUCAGCCGCAUAUUUCCAGUCUUGGUCGGAGAAGAAGGUGUAGGAUACUCCCGUGGCCCCCGCCCUUCCUGUCCUUCCAAUCCGGUGGACAUAAUCCUCAAUACCAGUAGGGAAAUCAUAGUUGAUCACCACCCUGGAGAAAGGUAUUACAUUAGGCAAAGUAAAUGACUAGCAACAAAUAUAAAAUCGAAAGAGAAAGCGCAUAAAGCUAUUAAAGCAGGCUUUAGCUAUCCAUAUCUAAGCCAAACCGCAAAAGCUUACUACAGAAUUACUAAACUGAAUGCAUCAUGUUAUAAGCAAACAUACACAAGCAGCACCAUGCAAACAUGAUGAGAAGCUGACACAGAUGUUACAAGCCUUACCUGAUAUCCUUAAUGUCAAGUCCCCGUGCAGCUACAUCGGUGGCAACAAGAAUUGGAGCCUUUCCGGUGCGGAACUGAUGCAAGACAUGAUCUCUUUCACCUUGAGAUUUGUCGCCGUGAAUGGCAGCAGCGCCAAAGGCCCGACCCAUACUGCGGGCAAGCUGAUCGCACAGCCUCUUUGUUGAGCAGAAGAUGAUGAUCUUGGAGCCCCGUUCUUGAGACCUAAGGAUCUGCUCCAGCCGCCUUUGUUUAUCCAUCGGAGCAACCACCUCUACAAACUGCAAACCAUAACCAGCAGCAAAACUUCAUCAUCAUGGAAGUAAGCGUAUAUAAAGAAAAUAUUGUGUAAAAAAAAAUGCAGUAUAACAAGAUAUAAUAAAACUGUAAAAGAUUGCAACCUCAGCAACAAAUGUAAUACCCGGAGUUGAAUGCAAAAGCUUCAGUAUCAUAAUAAAUCAUGAGUAGAAAUAUAAAGUAGCAGUUGGGUUAUUGCAGAAAACAAUAACAGUACUAAGAGAGUUUCAUGAAUACGAUAAUUCAGUUCCCAGGUUUAAUUUCCCACUGGGAUAGUAAUCAUUCCACAAUUCUAGGUAUCUAACUCAAGUAGCCACGUAAGAACAUGGAACAAAUAUUAUUUAACCUCAUCAGGAUUCGAUUAGCUACAAAUAUAUGAACAAAGAAUCUCACAUUCCAUUACAAAAUUAGAAUGCACAUAAAGAAAUUUACGGGGGCUGGUAAGUGACAACCAGCUCAUAUUACUCAUAUUAUGCUGACCACUUACCAGCAUAGUAUUAGCAUGGUACCGCAAUAACCUGCUCUGUCAUUCAGUGCCACUACAUACAGCAUCGUGUAACUAGUCAACCAACUUCUUUUUUUAACCCCUGUUUUCUAUCUUGUCGCUAUCCAUGCCAACCGCUGACAUGGUACGUGUCGUGACGAUACCAUGCCACCGUAACUGUGGCAUGGUGCGUCACCGUCACCAUCAGGUAAAACCUUGGUUUAUGGAAAUAAAAUGGUAUCAUAGGUGACAAUUCUAGUUUCAGAAUUAACUGUUCGAAAGUGGAUUACCUAAAUAAUAAGUGUGAGCAAUCUUUGCCAUUAAUAGAACGCAAAAAUCAGCAGAAGGUAUAUUCAGAUGUUCUCCUUACUUGAGUGAUCGAUUUGUUUGCAACAAGUUCAUUGACGCUGCCGAUGUUCACCUGGACAGGAGUCCUAAGUAGAUCCCCUGCUAUCUUUCUCACCUCCUUAGGCCAAGUCGCUGUGUACAUGAGAGUUUGUCGGCGGGGAGGAAUCUCAUUCACAAUCUUCCGAAUCUGAGGUUCAAAACCCAUGUCUAGCAUGCGAUCUGCUUCAUCAAGGACAAGAAAAGAAACCUGGUGGAAGCUGAUCUUCUUCAUUUCAACAAUGUCAUUCAACCGACCAGGUGUUGCCACUAUGAUGUCUGCUCCUCGCUCAAUUUCUUUUAGCUGCGGUCCCUUUGGAGCUCCUCCAUAUAAACACUAAAAUAUAAGAAAAACAACAAGGAGGAGAAAUUGAAUACAAGUAAAAUGUUCUUUUAUUCAAAAAGUAAUUUAAGCACAAAUGCCAUUCCCUAGUGCAACAUAUCGUCGUAGGAUGAAGCAUCCAUAAUACUUCUUGUCAAACAACGGCUUACUCUAUUCUUCCCUAAGAUAAGACAUACCUACAAUUUAUAAAAUAAAUCAUUCAGAAAUUCCAAUUGGGUGCAGCAGCUGCCCGAUACUCUUGGCUAGCCACGUCCGCAUCAUGAUCUACAACCCUACUUAGUGAAAUUAAUUAACCAGGCAGUGUAACCUCCUAGACAAAGAUCUAAGGACUCUUGAUGAUUCUAAACAUUAAGCCAUAGUUGUUUGGUUCUAUCUAUCUUUCACUAAUUUUUUUCCUCAAUGGUGGCAGAAAGUUGUGUACAACUUCUACCAUCCAAUGAGACUCCACCUAAGAUUCCUCAAAUCCUAAUAAAUGUCCUAAGUAGUGUAAACCAUAUCUACACGUAGUGUGGUUUAGAUGAAAAUAGCUGUUUACCUGAAUAGUACUUAUCAAGCUGCUGAUCUCCUCUUUGCAAGCACAAAAAGCAUUUCCCAGAAAGAAGAAAAGCAUCAUAAAGAGAUAGAUUCACAAACUUACUGUACAAGAAAACCUGGAAGAACGCCCAAAUUUGAUUGCCUCAUCUUGUAUCUGUGUAGCAAGCUCACGAGUAGGAGCCAAAACUAGCACAGUUGGACCGAUCUUAGGAUUAUUUCUGCAUCUUCUCAGAUGUAUAAAUGCAGGAAUAAGAUAUCCCAGAGUCUUUCCAGAGCCAGUUUUGGCAAUGGCCACAAUAUCCCUGUUCUGCAAUGCAACAGGCCACGUCUGUGCUUGUAUUGGUGUUGGAUGUGAGAAACCAGCUAAAUGCAACUGGAACAGUAUAGAUAGUAAAUAUUAUUAAUCACAACCUUAUCAUGCCAAGACCCGACACAGACUAUAUUAUCGAGGGUAAAAUGCAUAGAUAGUGCCUGAACUUUCAACAAAUCGUAAAUUUGAUCCCCAAUCUUCCCAUUUAAAUGCAUCAACCUAUGAAAUUUCUAAUCUCUUGCAAGGCCAUCCAAAAUCUAUCUUUUGCUAGCUUAUAAUUCAGCUCCUAGUAAACGGUAAAGUAUUCGCAAGUGUGUGCUACAGAGAUGACAUUGAAAAAAUUAGGCCAGUUCAGGGACUGAUUUUUUAGAGAUCAGAAGCCAAAUUGCAGUUUGUAGAAAGUUCAGAGACUACCUGUGCAUCUUUCCUUACUAACUAUCAUCUACAUUUUCACAGGGUAAAUAGCUAAACAAAACCCUAAGUGCACAUAGUUGCUUACUGAAGCCACUCAAGGCAGCAAGAAGGUGCUCUUAAAGACUUGGGUUUGAGUAGCAGAGACAAGAAGAACGAAGCCUCCGCCAAUAUUACAUUAUCUGGAAGAUAGUCCAUCCUCCUGAUACUGUUGAGUUAGGGUACCCAGGAUCCAGCAUGUGACAUAUGCUAUUCUAAAGAGCAAUAUCACAAGCUGCAUGUUGUAGUGAUGCAUUAACAGAAAGAAGUUAGAAGGUCGUUUGACCAAAUUCAUACUCGUUGAUCAUGCUCCUAAGCAACAUAAAUCAAUUCAGAAUGAAGAUAUAGAUAACCAUCCACAAAAAAACCAGUUAAGGACAAAAUACCUCUCUCAGAAUUUCCGGAGGGAAGCCGGUUUCCUCAAAUGUCAUGAAUGGUGCAGGAACAUCAUCGCCCUGAAAAGAAUUGUUUUUCUUUAUAUCACAAUCUGAUAAAAAAUAAAUCUAUGAUAGAAUAAGGGUCCUAAAAUAACAUUUUUUAAAAAAAAAAAAGCAAUUUGUUCCUAAACUAAAAAGAUCUUUAAAUGUACCUUCCAAGCUCAUGUAUAGAAAAGACAGUAAAUUUCUCUUUUUGCAGGGAGAUAUAGAAGCAAAAGAACUUUGCAGGAGAAACAUUGAAGCAGCCAUCAUAAUGGCCAGAUAUAAGAACCCCAAAAACACAACAUUGUGCAUAGUAUUCCAUUUUGAUGUCAACCAAUAUAGGUUACACCAAUUAUGGUUAUAAAAACAAUACACAGAAGAAUGCUCAAGUACCGACCAUAUUUUAUCAUUGGAGAUUAACAAGAGAAUAAAUAUUCAAGCAACCUUCAACAUUACGACAUCUUUAUCUAAUCACCAAAAAACAUCAGAUGCCACAAAAACUAAUUUAAGCAAUAUAAGAAGUACUAUCGCUUAAAAUCUUACCGUUGCAGUAACUUCAUGGUGUUGGCGAUAUGCAUCGGCUGCAGACAUAUUUGCAAAGUCUGGCAGACCAAGCAUUCUUGAAGGUGGCCUCAAAGGAGCUGCAUUAGGGAACGCAGCAGGGUUGUAUAUGUUUGGCAUCGCAUGGGGUGGGACCGUAUUCAACCCACCUGCAUGGCCUGGCGAAGUGUACGGAGGACCGCUUCUCAUAUCCUAAUACAACACAACCUUGCUUAGCUUCAACAGACUGUACAUAGUUGUAAGAAUGUACAGGAAGUGCCUAGCCAUUAGCAAAUAGAUAGUCCACUAGAGAUAAAAAGGCCCAUUGUACGAAAACAAAACAAUAUCAUAUGCCCUGAAAUAGUGUACACUCCAAACCAACUUAAGAAUCCGACUAUUAAAAAAUUACACUCUAAAAGCCAUUCCGCAUCAUUAGGAUCCAUAAUUCUGGGAGCUUCUCAUCCUAAUUAAAAUAGGCUAGAGGCACCGAGACAGGCUGGGGAGACUACGUUUAGGCAGCCAAGAAGGUCAUACUAAAAAUAUAUGGAAAUUAUAAUUAAAAGAAAAUGCACUAACUCAAAGAAAAUUGCAUAAUUAUGCAGAUAUAAAGCUAAAUUUAGAUGCUAAAGCACAUUACUAAUUAAUAAUACCAUCUUAAUACCAGAGAAAAUAUUAGAGCCUGAACCUUCGCGACCAUGUGCAUCACACCAGAAAUCAUGUUUCAAGUGAACUAUGAAAAGAAGAAGCCCCUAGAACUUUUAACUAAAGACAAAAAAAAUUGUCCAGCAAAAAAAAAUAAUAAUAAUAAUUUGUACAUAGCAGUUACCAAAAUAUUAUUUAAUCAGGUAGAUAUUUUCAGACUGAAGUAAUUGAUAGGAGCCAAAAGAGCAAGUAAGCAAGUUUCAGCAUGUUUCAUAACGGGAUUUAGCAGCUUGAUUUCCUUCUUAGUAGUAGGUUUUAAAUCUGACAGUAGGAGAAUUGAGCAUGAUCAACAAUGGUCGCAAGGAUUCUAAAUAAAGAAACUUCACCGGUGGAUUUUGCGGAAUGGGAAGAGGUGCAAGUUUCGGUUGCUGUGGCACCAUCUUCGGCCCUUCAAAUCUGCUAGAAGAAUAAAAAUCAUUUCCUACCCGUUCAUUUCGAUCUUCGUUAUAUCCCAUAUUCAAACCCAUUGGUGGGCGAACAGGUGACUGUUCCACAUGACUUGGAACUGCACGACCACUCAUUUGUUGUUGACGAUAGGGAGAUGCCUCAGCAAACUGCCUGUUAGGUUGAAGAGAAUGAACUCCAACAGGUGAAAUAUUAAUCGAAGGCAUGCCACCUGGCUGUUGAUGGCCAGAAGAAAUAAUGCCACCCUGUUGAGCCAUUGGUAGUUGAACACCAGCCUGCUUGCCCUGCUGAACCGCAACUUCUUCCAUCUUUGAAAAACUAGCGGGUGACACCUUUGAUGUUGGACCCUGCUGGCCAGCAACAUGCGCACUUUGCAGUCCUGGCUGUUGUCCAUGAUGAUAAUGGGCCUGAAGACCCUGUUGAAAAUGGGCCUGAGGCGGAAUCUGCGAUGUUUGGGGUUGUUGGUCAUGUCGAUGCAUAUUUUGGGGCUCCUGUGUUUGCUGAAUCACCGGAAUUUGUGGCACUUGUUGCGGCUGCCCUUGAUUAUAAUUAGUUUGUGGCCCUGGAUGAUAUGAAAACUGUAAACCUUGUUGAGGUGGCGGGAUGAAUUGCCCUUGUAGAUAACUCAUAUGCUGGUAUGGCAUCUGCAUGUGUGGGUACUGCUCAUUCCUCGGCUGAGCAAUCUGCUGAUUUGGAACUUGAUAUGGCAUCUGCUGUGGUUGCUGAUUUGGUGCUUGCUGAGACAUCUGCUGAGGCUGUUGCUGCUGCAUUAGCUGGUUUGCUUGCAUUUUCUGCCCAGCUUGAACAGUUUGCGGGGUGGUUUGCUGCGACACAACACUGUUCGAAGGUACGGUAGGCAUCAGAGAAGUCGACGCAAGGUUUGGAGUUGUUGCAGAGGGAGGAGGGCCAGAUGGCAAUGGCGGUGCGGAGCCAGCAGGUCUCUCAUAUUGGGUAACAUUUGUAUCAGGAUUCCAAUAAUAUAAGAGGCCGGUGCUCCCAUCAAUAAGCCCUUUCCAGGGCUUUGGGAGCGUGGGAUCUUCUGGACCAAAGCGCGGACCCAGUGAAUCUGCAGCUGCUCCUGUCGUAGCCAUUCUGAUGCUUAAUUAUACUAAGCACGCCUGUAACAAGUUUCCCACAACGGGAAUAGACAUUUAUCAUAUAGUGAGUUCAGGAGAUAACAACACAAAAAAGAUAACUUUCGUUAGCAAGGAGUUCGCUGCUUCAACAUGCAAAGCACUAAUUUUUUUUUUACAAAAAAAUAGUUUCAUAAAUCUCAUGACAUGAAAUGGGAUUUGUCCCGCGUGGAAGGAUAAGUAAAAUGUAACUUUCAGAACCUCACAACUCAACAUAUCUAAAAGCAACUUGAAUUCCAAUACCUAUGAAAACCAGCACAGUUACAGUUGAGAUGAUUGGUCAAUCUAUAAACUUACAAAUGACCAGCAAAUGCCGACAGAAACUUAAAAUUUCGAGUAAUUAGUGGUUCAAACACUAUUACUGCUAAAAAGGGUAGCUUUCUAUUCCGAAAGGAAUUAAGAAAGUGAAAAUCAACCACACAAAUUCAUUACAUAUAUUUUGACUGAAACAAUCUUUGUUAGUGAAAUUUAGAAAUGCAGAAAACACUAAGAACUUGUACCACAUCUUGUAAACCUAGAAAACCAAAAAAAAAAUCACUAAGAAAAACCAACAUACGCCAUACUCAGCUGCCGACCAAAUGUGAAGACACUCAUCACAAAGCUAUUGAUGUGCCCAUUUACAUACUAAUACUUCAAUUGAAAUGUAACGCCUUAAUGCUUCGCAAUCCACUAAGAAAACACGAGAAAUAGUUAAACGCCAACCUACUCAUACAUCUAAAAUAAAAGAUCUAAUAAACUGAAAGCUCUUGCAACAAUAUAACAGCAAAGAAGGAUCCAAUAAACAGAGUAUGAAACUAUUCAAACAUCUCACUACAUCCACCUACAAUAACAGCUAAAAUUACGAUUUAUCACUUGCUCAUAACCUAAUCCCGCUCAAACACCAAACUUUAUAAGAAACCAUAUACCCUAAACGAGAAUCAACGAAACAAACCACCAUAACACCUACAAGGGCUACGAGAACCCUAUCAAGCCCCAAAAAACCCCAAUCAGAACCCUAGAAAACCCUCGAAAUUGAUCAAAAGAGGAGAAGAGCGUUUAGAGAUCUCACCUUCGUUCGAGAAAGGAACGAAUUAGGGCAAGAUUUGGAGGGGAGAGAGAGAGAAGAGGCGACGCGAUUUCCCCCGCUCUCCUCUCCGCUCUCCUUUUUCUAUAUAGCUUUGUUUUUUCUUUUUUUUUUUCUUUUUUUUUAGAGGAAUUGGGGGAGAGAUGAGAAAAGAGGAGGGGAAUAAAACCCUAGGGCUCGAUCCGUCCUUGCAAUGGUGGUGUUUACUAUUUAGCACGGGGGGCGCACGUGCGUCGCACGUGGUAGGGGAAAAUUAUUUGCGUGCACCCGGUGUAGCCGGUUUGUUGUACGGUGUACAACUGAUUUUUCAAAUUGAAAAUGAUACCAUAUCUAAUGUAAGUGGUAAAACUUUUAAUGAUUACUUCAUAUUUUUAGUUAAGAUAUUAUUUGGUUCCUAAAAAAAAGCAUGAAAAAGUAAAGCUAUAGACGAAUUUAAUUUACGGCAAACUAAAAUAAUAUAAGUAGGUAUUUAUUGACGAAAUAACUGUACCCUUCUCCGCGUGCCGUGAAAUAAAUAUGCUCCAAAAAAGUGGAGAGAUUUUAGUAGUUAUUAUUAUAAAUUAAAUUUGAUAGUCACUUUAUUUUUUCUAAAGUGUUGUAAUUGACAUUGUUUUAACCGGUGGCGAAGUGAAUUACAAGAGGGAAAGAAAAUAGAAAAAUGUAAUAAAAAAUCAAUUGUUGUAAUUUUUUCCAAAUUUCUGUGUACCAAUGUGAAAACUUUAUAUAGAGAGCGGAAGAAUUUUAACUCUAAAAUCUUGAAUCUCCAUCAAACAAACAGCAGUGAAAAAAUAUUUUUUAUUUAAACUUUAGUUUAAUUGAAAAUUAUUUUUAACCCGGAAAUUAGGUAUCAACAAACAACCAAUUUUGUUUAGCUUGAGUGUCACUGCGUUUGGUUCGGGAAUAAAUAAGAACUGUUUAUUUCAGGGAUAGAUAUAAGUUCAUGUAUAAAUAGGAACUAGACCAAUUUUGUAUUUUGAUGAAAAAUGGGUUGCUUCUAGGAAUAAAGUAAAUAGUAUUUGGAUGAUUAGAUUGGAACAAAGAGAAUAAGAAUUAUAAUUUUAAAUUAAAAUUAUUUUAUCUAAUUAAUUAACAUCAAAAUAUUAUUUAAAAAUAAUUUAAUAAAUUAAUAAAUUUAUUAAUGGUUGAUCAAUAUAAAUAUUAGUUUAUGGAUAAAUAUAUUAAAUUAUUAAUAAUUAAUUAUAAAUAAUAAAUUGAUUAAUUAUUUUAUUAUUUAGGAAAUAAAUAAUAAUUUAAAUAUAUUAAUUAGAUUAACUAAUUAAUAAUUUAAUAUUAUAAUUAAAAUUAAAUUUAGAUUUUAAUUAACUUUGUUCACACCUUGGAACAAGCUUAUUCCAGGAAAAAGGAUGGAACAUCAGCUCCAGCCUUACACCAACUUAUUCUAGAAAUUUGAGAACUACUAUUCUCAGAUACCAAACGCAAUGUUUGGGAACAAAGGGGGGAACAAAGGGGGGGGACAAGGACUUAUUCACCCUUUGUUUCCAAACCAAACACUGCCUUAAUUUUUUAUACAGUGCUGUAAUUUUUUUGGAGAAAAAGAUAGUGCGUUACUGCUUCAUUCAUUCAGACAAUAAAUUUAGCUACAUAGAGUGAGGCACCAGGCCUCAAGAGAAGGAAAAAAAAUCAAAAGAAAAAGAUCUAAAAGAAAAGAGUAAAAGAAGAGUAGUAAAAAUGUUAAAAAAAUAAUUGCAACGUCAAAUCAAAUACUCAAAAGGAUGGAGAUAUCACCCAGCUCAACAGCACUCAGUCCAUUCCGCUGCCAGUUUCCUAACGCGUUGGGCAAUAAUUGACAUUGUUUUUGCUGGUGGCGAAGUAAAUUACAAGAGUGAAAGAAAGUUAAAAAAAAAAAACAUAUUGAAAAAUCAAUUGUUGUAAUUUUUUCUAAUUUUCUACAUACCAAUAUAUGAGAAUUUUACAUGGAGAGCGGAAGAAUUUUAACUCUAAAAUUUUGAAUUUCCAUCAAACAAAUAGUAGUGAAAAAAUAAUUUUAUCUAAAAUUUAGUUUAAGUGAAAAUUAUUUUUAACGUGAAAAUUAGGUAUUAACAAACAAACGAAUUAUGUUUAGCUAGAGUGUUUCAAAAACAUCAAAUUUUAUAUUUUAGAAGGCCCUAAAAAAUUAUAUAUAUAUACACGCACACUUUUAUGCCACUGCUGUAGCGUUUAUUAUCAUUAUUUUAUUAUACUCGAGGAGAAAAAGAUUAAAGUGUUUUUAAAUUUGAGUAAUGCUACUCAUACACUCCAAAAUAGGAUGUACAUUUUGCACCCGCUUCAUCAAAAAAUCAUUAAUUAUCUACUUAUCGCAUCAACAUUUUUUUUUUAUUAAAAAGAUUUGAAUUUUGUGAAUUAUAAAAUAAAAGGUGUAAGAUUUACACUCCCAUUUGGGAUGUAUAAAUUUUUUUUUUUUUAUUCUUUUUCAGUCUUUUAAACCCCUUGUGGCUUAAUGUAUUUUCACUAUUACCGCUCUAUGGUCCAAAAGUUGUAUUUAACUAUUUUAGAUUUUUUUUUAUUGUAGAUUUAUACAAUUAAACAGGUUAAUAUUACUUUUUAAAAAUCGAGGUGAUUUAAAAAAAAUUGCUAAAUUAAAGCUCACAGGGUCUUUGUAUAUUUUUUCUAUUUUUAAGGAAAAACAAUUCAAAAGACACAUGAAUUUUUGCACUUUUGCAAACAAAUAUAUGAAUUUUAAUGUUGGUAAUUAGAUAUUCUAAACUUUAUCGAACAAUUUAAAAAGUCUCUCUUCUUAUACAAAGUUGCUUAUUAAACGGCUAUUUUGACCGCAUAUCUUAAACAUAAUUUUGUUUAUCUUUAUUAAAAAAGUUAUUUUUUUCUUCUACCUAGGAUGAUUAAGCAUGAGGAUUGAAUAACAAAAUAAAUCUAUCUCAAAUUUGUAUUACUUUUUCUAUGUGUUAGAAUAAAAAGAAUAUAUAUAUAUAUAUUUAUGUUUUAAAGCUUUACAAUAUGGCACAUGCUACCAAAACAACUACGUAAUUAGUAAAUUACUUGACAAACAAGCAGGUUGAAUAAUUCGCAUGCUGGUCAUCAUAUCGAUCAUGCCAGUAUGGAUUGAAUUUAUCAGCAAAUUUUUGGAUAGUUAAUAUCUAUUUCCAUACUUGCUCACGAGUAUUCGCGGGUUACAAAAAAAUGUCUGCAAUUUAACGGAUGCCAAUCCAUUUUAUCCGCAAUUUUUUGGUAGGAAAAAACUAAUACCUGUACCUGUAAAUUGGUGGCUAAUCCACGUCUACCCCGUGUACCGGUAGAGAUUGCUAGAUGCUGAGAGUUUUUCGCAUUUAACUUCUCAAACUCUUUAUUUUUAAAAUGGUUCGACAAAUUUAUAUAUGCAUAAAUUAUACUCUUCCUGCCACGUGAGCGCAGAUAGAAGAGGGCCAUGUAGGCAUUUUUAAGUUAAACAUAGUAAUCGAGACACCUUAUUUAAACACACUAAUUGGAUUAUCAUAUCUAUAUGCAUACACUUAUCUCUAUUUUCAAUUCGGGACGAUGAGAAUUAAAAAAACACGAUAAAAAAGUACAAAAAGAAGUACAAUAAUGAUUGGAUUAUCAUAUUCAACUUAAAAAUGCUCACACGGCUCUCCCCUGUCCAGCGUCGCUCGACAGGGAGAACAUCAUUCCUACAAAUACGUAUUUGCUAAAGCUAUUUGUAAAUUUUUUUUUUGAGGGUGUCGAAUGCAAAAAAAAAAAAAAAAAAAAAAAAAAACUGUUGGUCUUGGUAAGAUGAACCUAUUGAACUAAUUGCCUAUAUACCCCUCAUGCGUCUGGAAAUAUCCGAUCUACCCCUACUUUUUUUUUUCUUUCUAAAAUGCCCCUCAUAUGUUCCACCGUUAUUGCAAAAUACCCCCGCAGUUAUCUCCUGUUAAGUUAACCUGAGUUAAACGUGAGUUAAAUAUCUAUCACAGUUAAAAAAAAUUAAAAUGCCAAUUUUGCCCUUAUCUUAAGGGCAAAUAAGAAAGGUUGGUUACGGUAGAGGGGUAUAUUGGAAAAGACAAAAAGUUGAAAUACUUUUUGUGCCCCUGACUUUAAGGGCAAAUAAGAAAGACAAUGAUGGUGGAAGGGUAUAUUUGAAAAGGGUAAAAGAGUAAUUUUACAGAGAUAACAGUGUUAUUUAACAGAUUAUAACUCUAAGGGUAUAUUAGAAAUAGGUUGGAACGUAGGAGGGGUAUUUUCAAUAUUAGCCUUCUAAGAGGGGUAAAUCGAAAAAUCGGAAACUUUUCAGGGGUAUAUA
RNAcentral lists this long non-coding RNA (90872 nucleotides) under Ananas comosus (pineapple). RNAcentral describes it as "long non-coding RNA (ACOM_LNC032415)". Lineage: Eukaryota; Viridiplantae; Streptophyta; Magnoliopsida; Poales; Bromeliaceae. The record is from RNAcentral.